GUAAACCCUAAACCCUAAAAACCUAAACCUUCAAAUCUAAACCCUAAAACAUCAACUCUAGGGUUUUAGGGUUUAGGGUUUAGGGUUUAGAGUUUAGAGUUUAGAGUUUAGAGUUUAGGGUUUAGGGUUUAGGGUUUAGGUUUUAGGGUUUAGGGUUUAGAGUUGAUGUUUUAGAGUUGAUGUUUUAGGGUUUAGAGUUAAUUUUUUAGGGUUUAGGGUUUAGAGUUUCCUUUUUAGGGUUUCGGGUUUAGUGUUGAUAGUUUAGGGUUUAGUGUUGAUGGUUUAGGGUUUAGAGUUGAAGUUUAGGGUUUAGGGUUUAGAGUUGAUGUUUUAGGGUUUAGAGUUGAAGGUUUAGGAUUUAUGGUUUAGAGUUGAUGUUUCGGGGUAUAGGGUUUAGAGUUGAUGUUUCGGGGUUUAGAGCGUAUUUCAAAACGAAAUAGGGUUUAGGAUUGAUGGUUUAGGGUUUAGAGUUGAGUUUUAGGGUUUAGGGUUUGAAUUUUGAAAUAGUAUAAUUCGAAAAAAAAUAUAUAUAUAUUUUUUAUUUUUUUAGAUUUUUAUUUAUUUAAAUAUUUAUUUAUUAUAUAUAUAAAGAACAAGGACAUAAGAGUCUUUUGCCGUUUAAUGAAUAAAGUAUUUUUGAAAAUGUCUCUUAAGUGGUGGUAUGAAAAGUGGUAGCAUGAAAGUGGUAAGCAUGUAAUUUUUCCGAGUAAAAUGAAUAAAAGAAAUCUUUAUAUAUUGGUAAUGCCAAAUAAAAAAAAAAUUAUAAAAUUACAUUAUAUAUAAUAUUAAAAUGUAAAUCAUAUAUUUAAAAUUUUUACGAUUAUAUUUAAGCUAUUCAUUUAUAAAUGUAAUUUUACAUGCACGGACGUGCCGGUCAGCCUCUAGUUUUUUUUGUUAAAACUAAAAAUAGGAUCAUGGGACAGAUUGAUUAGUAAAUGGUUAAACGCUAUGGACCAAUUGAAUACAACAUAUUUUGAUAGUCAAGAAAAAAAAAAAGAGAGAGACUGGAUUAUGAAUCAUUACAGUAAAAAAAGAUUUACAUUUGUAUAGGUGUCAAUAAUCUAGGUGUCAAUAAAGAUUUACAUUUGUAUCUAGUAAAUUUAGUCUUUUCUUUUUAUUCACACGCCAUAUGAAAAGCCACUAACAAAAGCAUUCAUAUACCGCUUUCAUAAUUGUGACCGUAAAAACUUCUGUAAAUUUUACCAAAAAUUAAGUAAUUAACUUAGCUUGACCAAAAAAAUUAUGAAUGGCUAGUUGCAUAUUCUACUUCGUGUUGUUCUGGUUGGAUCUUUGGACUAAAUGUUUAUUUUCUAGAAUGUGAAAAUAGGAGACUUAAACCGAAUUAAUGUGAAAAAAAAAACGAAUUAAAGUUUGAAUAUGUUUCUACCGAGUGGAAACAACAGCACUGGAUAUAUUUACAAAAUUUAAAUAACACACCCCUUAGAUCGGUGCUAAACAAAGUACAUUAUUGGUGAAGUGAUUUUUUGAAUUUUGCUUAUGUAUCAUCACCAAGUUCAUUUUUGUUAGAAAAAUGAUAUGGCUUAGUGAAAAUGAUGACAUGGCUAGAAGCUAAUAAUGACACGGACAUUCACAUUUAAUAUUAAUUUUUAUUUUUGGUAAGUUUUUGAAAAUAAAGUAAUAACUCAUUUAUCAUCAUUAAUAAAAUAUUAAAUAAUAUAAUAAUAGAGUCAACGGUUGGAUUUUUAAGUUUUCACAAAAGGAGGAAAGUUAAUGAUCAUUAAAUCAGUGGUUACGGCAUUACGAAAUCAUGUGAUGUCUUGCUAUCGUUCACCUAAGGCAACCGCAAAAAAAAACUGACGAGUGCGGUAGCACAAUUCUCGUGGAAUCCAGAGGCAUGCACUGGAAAUCAUGGGACAAAGUAUUUAUGGCAUCUGAUAGAGAAGCCAAACACUUUAUUUUCUCGAGUUUUCAAAGGUCGGUAUUACAGGAACGCCUCACCCCUGGAGCCGAUUCGUUCAUAUUAAUCAAAAGGAUGGGAUCGGGAUCAUCUAUAUCUGUAUGGAACGAUCUAUGGCUCCCAACCACUCGCCCGAGAAAAACCAACACAAUUUCUACCCAGACCUCACAGUGGAUUCUCUCGUUGAUUCCACUUCGCGAACUUUGAACUCGCAGGCAAUUCGGGAUUUGGUGGACCCACCGGAUGUGAAAAUUAUAGAAAGCAUACAACUAAGUUGGACUCAGAUGAUAGAUAUAGAUAGAUGACAUUUUACAAAAAAAUGGGAAAUAUACGAUUAAAUCAGGAUAUCAAGCGUAACGGGUUUACCCAAACAAGGAAAUACCACCACUAAUGUUUGGACCCACAGUUGAUGUAUUGAAGGAAUUCUGUUGGAAAAUACGAUGUCCACUAAAGAUAAAACAUUUCCUAUGACAAUUGGUGACUGGAUGUAUAGCAGUGAAGAAGAAUCUGCAAACGCGAGGGAUACAAGGGGACAUAUGUUGUACAAGAUGCGUAGCCUAUGAGGAAACGAUAAACCAUGUAUUUUUUGAAUGAGCUUCAGCACUUCAGGUUUGGGAUCUCUCUCGGAUACCAUCAAAUCCAGCUAUUUUCCCAAAAAGUUGUCUCUUCACAAACAUGGAUCAUCUCUUCUAGAGAGGUUUCCCGCAGAUGGAUGAUCAUCAGUUUGCAUGGAUAAUAUAGUACAUUUGAAAGGAAGGAAUAAUAAAGUCUUCAGUAAUAUGGACACUGAUCCUAGGGAAAUGCUCAAAUUGGCAUAAACAAAAUCAACACUCUGGGCUGAGGCACAAAUAUUGAACGAAUAGAGGACAACACCACAGAUAAAUCCUGAAAGAAAGUUUUCUCCGAUAAGAGAUCAUCAAUGAACCAAGGACGCAAAAUUCAAAGGCGAAUAGCCUAGCACGAAGUGUAAGGAAGCAACCAUCUUUUGUCGUUCACAUGGAUGCAGAUCUCUCGGUUUGGUUCACAGAGUCAGUAUGAGUAAGUAUAAGUUAAUGACAAAAAAUAUAAUAAUAGAAAUAUAAAUAUAAAAGUAUUUUAAAAAUUCAAAAUAAUAUUUUAUUUUUUAUAAUUAUAUUUUAUUACAAAAAAAAUCUUCAACAUUUCUACAUUUAAAAAAAAAUUAUUGGAUUGUUAUACCAUUAGUUUCUUUUCAUAUCUGCCAAUUUAAAAAUAAUAUUUGUUUUACGUUUUGAUAAUUAUAUACCUAACAAAUUUUCUCUUAAUUUUAUACAAUUCUAUUUAAUAUUUUGACCAAAACAAAUAUAUAAAAAAAUUAUCCAAAAUUAUAAUUUUAAAUAUACACACAUAUAUUCUUAAAUAUAAAUUUAAAAUAAAUAAUUAUUUUAACUUAAUUUUAAUGUUUGGUUAAAUAAAAUUUAAACUAUAUAUUGGGAAAAUCUAAAAAAAAUAACAAAAACAUUAUUUUAAAUAUAAUUUAAUUUUGAAAACUUUUAUUUCUGCAUAUUGUGUAGGAAAACACCUAGUAGACAAGUAAAACAUUGAUCUAUGGUUCCCAAAUUUUUAAAAGUAGUUUACAUAAACAUAAAUGCUGUCAAAUUCAUAAGAAAUUUUUGAAUCUUGCCCAUAUGCUCUUCUCCCCAUAUUUUAUUCCCAUAUAUACUCUCUUUCAAAAUUUAUUUUAUUUCUAUUAUUUUUAAUUCAAUAUUAAUGUGAAAACCCAACUAAACCUAAAUAAAUCUAUCUAUUUAUAGGUUAUGCUAUUACUGCUUUAAACCUAAAUUUGUACGCCUUCUUUCAUUUUCAUCUCUAUUAUUCUUCUGCUUUCUUCAUUUUCUUCAAUUUUUUAACAUUCUCCUUAUUUUCGGUCGUCUCUUCACUCUUUUGAUCUCUUCCUCAUUUUUCUUCAAUCCACUCCUCCUUAUUUGGUUUUUUUCUUUUGUUCUUCGCUUUUCUCUACUUUGUUCUUCGAUUUUCUCUUCUUCUUUUUCUUCUUUGGUUUUCUCUUCUUCAUCUUAUCAUUCUCUUGUUCUUUUUCAAUCCAUUUUUUCUCUUUGAUUUCACCCAAAGCUUUAUAUUUUAUCUUGUUCUUCGAUUUUUUUUGUUUUCUUAUUCAGAUUUAUCUUUUCUUUUUUCUUUUUCUAUUUCAGACCAAAUUAUACCAUCUCUUGAGUAACCCUUUGUAUAAUUGUACAAUUUGACAAAAUUAAACUCAGUUAUACCAAGUUGUACCAUUGUCUAAGUAUAACUUGGUAAAACUGAAUCCUAGUUAUACCAAGUUGUACUCGGAUAAAUGGUACAGCUUGGUAUAACUUGAACUCAGUUUUACCAAGUUUUACUCGAACAAAGGUAUAACUUGGUAUAAUUAAGUGUUAGUUUCAGGAAGUUGUACUAAGAAAUAAAAAUUAUAAUCAGAAUUAGAAAAAUUGAAAUUUUAGUUUUGAAUUUUGAAAUCGGAGGGAAAGACGUAAGCGUAAAUAUGGAAUUAUCUUAAUUUAUUAAAACUUUAGUAUGUAGAAUAAGUAAGAGUAUCCCAAAUUAUUUUUUCCUCAUUAAAGAAUAUUGAGCAUUUGGUCUGAAAUUUUUUUUUAUUAAAAAUCUUAUUAAAUCGGUUAUAACUUUCAAAAUUUCUAGACUGACUAUAUUCAGCAAAGUACUCAAAAUCAACGGAAAUACCCGAUUAUGUUAAGUUAAUUUUCACUGAUGAUAUGUGUACAUAAGUGCACUGAUUUUAAAAAAUAUGACUUCAUUCUGUAAAGUCUAGAUGUUAUGUUUUACCAAAUUAGAUGCAUAAAAGGCCGUAUAAGUUCGAGUUCACUGAUUUCAAAAAAUAUGACUUCCCUAACGUUCUUCCUAGGUUUUCUAGUGAUGUAGAUAACGUCUUAUACUCAGAUAGUCUCUUUUAUUGUUAACAAAAAUUGCAUUGUGUAUUUGAUCCAUAUGCACGUAGUUGUAAUGUUCUUCCUGUUCAACGUAUCCCAAGUCCUAUCUACGUGAGACACACGGUUAGGUGGAUUACUAAAUAUAAAGGUCACAUAUAUUUUAUAAAUGAUUCGAUCGUGGAGCCAAUGGUAUUUAGGCUUAACCGGUUGCAGUUGGUUUAAAAAAAAAGCAUUUGAUGGUUCAAAAAUAUCUGUAAGCAGUGGGUCAUAGUUUGUUCCAGUCCCAAGACUUGUCUCCCAAACUGUUGAAAACAAGUAUCAACAUCAAUUCAUAUGCAUAAAUACUACAUAAGUAAGAUGGAAAAUACCAUUGACCAUGUUUGGUUAUAAGAUGCAACUUAUUUUUGAACGGGGUAAUGAACGGGAUGAUUGGUAAGUGUUUUGGCUUUUAUUUUUUGGCUUUAAAAUAAUAGCCGUAGAUUUUAUUCAUGUAGCUGUGGGUUAAUUAUUUCAAGAGCAAUAAAUAUAAAGCUCUAGAAAAUUUGAUUUCCAAAGCUAUUUUGUUUCUUAUUUUAGUUUUUAUGGCUGGUUCCUUAGCUCCUUGUGGAUUCGAUCACUAAGUACUAUAAUUAAACCUCUUAUUUGAGAGCGUAAAAUCACUCCUUAGGGUAAUUUGAGUGAUAUCAAAUUUGGCGCCGUUGCCGGAGAGCUUUGAUCGCCUAUUAGAUUUGACCUUGUUAAGUUUAAAAUCAAUUUCUGACACAAAUUUUUUUUUUUGCCUUUUCAGGUACAUGCCCAGCAGUACCAGAAGCAACAAGGAAACUCAACUGCUAUACUCAGCAGAUCUUGCAAGCUUGGAGCGUUCAAUCCGCAAGGAAGUAUGUUCCUCAUCGAUCGACAACAACACUUGUUCGUCGCUCGAUUUUCGUAAGCCACCGUCGACCCAGACACUAGUCUCGACGACCGACACUCGCUCACUACCAUCGACCGAAGACACUCAUCUUCCGUCGACCGACAUCUUCCAUCCGACAUCGAUCGAUACUUCAGUCCUGACAUCGAUCGAUACUGAGCCGCGAGACAUGGUUGCGACUUUGAUUCUUGUACGUGAUGAGAGAGGAGACCUGCAUGACCAGGAAGGUCAUCUGCGUAAUGCAGUUGGUCAGAGGAUAGAUGCUCAGGGGGCUGCAAUCCCUGAGUCUGAUACUGAUUCUACAGGAACUACUCUACCUGAAGAUGAGGCUGCUCGACCCAGAAAAUUGGCUGACUACAACCGUCCAGAUCAGAUCUACACCAACAGAUUCGUCCUCCAACUAUUCAGAGGGGGAAUUUCGAGUUGAAGCCGCAGUACUACACACUCGUGGGACAGACACCCUAUUAUGGGUUAUCUCACGAGCAUCCUAUGGAUCAUCUGGAGAGGUUCGAGGAUCUUAUAUCUGCUAAUAAAGUCGAGGGAGUCUCUGAAGACUACCUCCUAUGCAAGCUCUUCAAGUACUCACUUGUUGGAGAUGCUUCGCAUUGGCUUAAGCAGUUACCACCAGGAUCUCUUACAUCCUAGAGCGACAUCAAGAAUGCAUUCUUAUGCAACUUCUUUGAUGAAGCGCGUGCUGAAGAAUUGAGGAGCAAGAUUGCUACUUUCACUCAAGAUCCUGCAGAGUCAUUCAGAAGCUCCUGGAUCAGAUUCAAGUAUUAUCAGAGAGAUUGUCCACACCAUGGAUUCAAUGAAGUACAACUGCUCAGUACUUUCUACAGAGGCAUCGCGGUGCAGUACCAGAUGGCUCUUGAUGCUUCCAGCAAUGAGAACUUCAACACAAGGAAUCCAGAGGAGGCUGUGAAAGUCAGUGAGAACUUAGUAUCCAGCAGCAGCACCAAGAACACUGACUUUGAGAGGAAGAGAUCUGCCACCAUCCUUGGUUAUGAUCAGAUGGAUGAAGUGAAGGCAAAGCUGGACAGUGUUCACAAGCUUCUCAGGAAGCAGGUCUGCUUGGUUGAAGAUGCAGAGGCUGUAGACAUAGAGGGUAGAGCAGAGGAAGAAGAAGAGGUGAACUUCAUUGGUGGAACUGGAUUCCAAGGAUCUGGAAACCAGGGUGGAAACAAAAACUCUUAUGGAAAUAGGGGUAAUUUAAACCAGAGUUCGCAGCACCAGAAACCCUACAGCAACAAUAGAGGUUAUGAAAAUUCCUACUACCAGAAUCCACCACCACCUACUCAAGAGAGCAAGAUUGAAGAGAUGUUUGACAGAGUUCUUGAGGGACAGCAGCGCAUGACGGUGGACUUCAAUGGGAAGAUUGAUUAUGUCUACACCAACCUGAACACAAAGUUUGAAACUUUAAGUACUCAUGUGAAGAAGCUGGAGAUGCAAGUUGUUCAGACAGGAGAAGUUGUUAAGAGGCAGGAAGCCUUAACAAGAGGGGUAGGAGAUGAUGUGAUGAAACACCACAUGAAUGCCAUCAUAGGAGAUGAUUUCUUGCAAGUAGUAAAGCAAAAGAAGCUGUAAGAAGGAGAUUUCAAAGUAGAAAGUUCGAUGACCUUCGACGGAUCGCACUGGUGUCGAUCGACGCCGGACUUCAAACAUCGAUCGACGGAUUUCAAUCCAAAUCGAUCGACAAGCUCUCCAGAGCAUCGAUCGAUGACACCUACGGAGUCAACCGCAUCUUGCAAUGCCGUGAGGAUUCUGACUCACUUGGAGUUCGCAACACGACACCCACAUCCGCCCAGCCCUGUUUACGUCAAAAUUGAUCGACAUUCAGAUACUCCCGUCAAUCGACAACAAGAGACCACCAUCGAUCGACAACCUCCAGCGCCCAUCGAUCGACGAGCACUUCUUACGUACCGAGUGCAGAUACCAAAGAUAGAUGUUGCUUGUCUAAAUGCACUCAGGCCCAAACCCAAACCUUCAGAUAACCCACCAGAAACCAUCAGGAUACCUUCAAAUGAUGCAGCAGAUCCUGUGGAAGUUGAUAGGGUUCCUAUGGGAAGAACCCUGAGGAAAAGAAAGGAAAAAGUGGCGAAACAUCUGAAGAGGGGAGCUAAUGAAAAGGAAAUGGAAAGUUUCCAAAACAGAGUUUUCAGGAUUCCUUUAGAAAAGCCAUUCGAGAAGACCUAUUUUACCCACAGAUUGUGGAUGUUCUUCAGAGAAACAAGGGAGAUUGAAGAAGACAUUAGGAGAAUGUUUUGUGAAGCUAGAGAAAAGAUGAGGAAGAGGAUUACACUGAAGAAGAAGAGUGAUCCUGGGCAAUUUGCAAUACCAUGUACGGUGAAGGGUAUUGAGUUCCCACAUGCUUUGUGCGACACAGGAGCAUCAGACAGCAUCCUACUUAGGGUUAUGGCAGACCAUCUGGGUCUGCAGGUGGAGCUUUCCAAGGAAUUAUUCAAUUUCGUGGAUUGUUCUCAGAGAAGCUCAAGAGGGAUUGUGAGAGACCUAGAGGUGCAGAUUGGUAAUGCUCUAGUUCCAGUUGAUUUACAUGUCUUGGAUAUCAAGCUAAACUGGAACUCUUCUCUAUUACUUGGGAGAGCUUUCUUGUCAACAGUAGGAGCAGUGUGCAACCUACAAACCAACCAGUUGUGCCUGACACUCAUUGACCCUCAUACCCACUACAACCCUAUUCCAGUCAAGAAGCCACAGACGUCCUCCAGAAAAAUUAAUGAUCCAGUAAUCAUUGCAGCAUGCCACUGUGGAGCUGAGUACGAGACAGAAUACUCAGCGUCGAUCGAAACUCACACAGCAACAUCGAUCGACAGUGCCCACCAGAAAUCGAUCGACAGUGCCCACCAGAAAUCGACCGACACACCAAGAGAAGAAUCGGUCGACAGUAGUCCAGAAGAUUGGGAGAACGACUACUACAACCCUACUAUGGCAGCAUACACCAGACACAACAUGCAUACGAAGGAGUAUGAUGAAGAUUAUGAGGAGGAACGAGCUACAGAGUACAGAGCCAUUCUUGAUGAGGAAGACAAACUUCUACAUCAUUCCUCUUGGAAGAGGAAUGCACCAUCGAUCGACAGAACAAUCUCGACAUCGAUCGAUACUCAACCUCAUUAGAGAAACCAAAAAUGAGAAUCGACCUACAUCGCCUACUACCCAUCGAUCGACACUGGAGUCGACCGUGUACGAGAAGGAGACUACUCGAUUGGCAAUUUGGAAGAUGAUCACCAUCAUGAAAGUUAUGCAGUAGAAACGGCAAUUCACGAGCCAGGAGUAGAUGAACUUCAUGAAGGUUUCACAUAUGAGAAACUUCUCAACAUGCAAAGACGUGAUGAAGCAGAUCAACAUCAAGCAGAAGCUACUGGGGAAAGAACACGUUUCAGCCAUUCUAUCGACAGAGCUAUCCGCCCAUCGAUUGACUAAAGGCAUCCAUCAUCGAUCGACAUCCGUCCAAAACCAAAAUCCACCGUAAGCGAAAAUCCUAAUUUUGAUAACCAGUAUCUAACACCAGACGAAUUUGGUAUUUUCAGGGACCCAGAUGGUUGCGCAAGACCAAUUGGUGUAUAUGCACUGAAAGUAUCCAGAGAGGACAUUGCAGACAUUCUUCAGAUGGCUAAUGGAGCAGAUAAUCUCUUCAUGCAACAACGCACCAUCCCAACACAUCAACAGAGGUUUACAAAAAGAGUUCUAUGACACAGCUGGUGGCAUAGACAAUCACUUCAAGAAGAAGUAUAGACCCCCUACUCAACCGUCGAUCGACGUUAACGUCCCACCAUUGAUUGACAGACGUCUAGAAUUCGGCAGAAGAGCCUUUGACCCUUUUGGAAUCAGAAAAUACUACUGGGAAGAGAAGGAUGAGUAUGGAGUCUACAGAGAUGAUCAAGGAUGUGCAAGAGAUGUGGAUGGACACAUCAUCAAUGUGUCCAAGGAGGAUAUCAGAAAGCUAAUGGAAAGAGCUUCGAGAGAUGAGCACAGCUACAUAUGUCUUCCAGAACAUGCUAGCUCAUUCACACAAACCAAGCUGGUACCAGAGAUCUACACCAAGGAUGAGAUCAAUGAGAUGUUCUAUGGAGUCUGUGGAGCCCAAGAAAAGAAUGAAGGUGAUUUCCAGAUGAAGCUUGAUGGUGUCUACUAUCAACUGAAUGAUAGCAUCAGUUGGUUGACUACAUGCAUGGAGGAGAUGAGGCAAGACAUAGCCAAAAUUCAGCAUUCGGCCGACAAACAUCGACCAGCAUCGAUCGACAGACACCACUCAACAUCGAUCGAUAACGACCCAAAGAACUCACAUCCGAUGAAGUCUCAACCAGAUUUUCACACCAGAGCAGAGAUUGAUCAGUUGGUAGAAAAGAUCUACAGAACUCUGGAAACUACAUAAGAGAGGCUUGACAGGAGAUGUGAUGACAUCUAUUUUCCAAUGGACCUUAGCGUGAAUGCUUUGACUUCUCAUAUAGAAGCAAUACAAAGGGAAUUAGUGGAGAUUCAGAGUUACAUUUCCCGUCGACAAGAAGCAUUCGCAUCGAUCAACAGACGCAACAACAAAUCGACCGACAUUCUUAGACAGACAUCGGUCGACGACGCUACAAACCGAGGCCGGCUAGUACCAAAGGUGACAUCAGAUAUGUCUGAUACACAUAACCAAGGAGAGGAGAUCUCAGCUGACACUAACGCCAGACUCAGAAGACAUCAGUUCAACCUUGAGAGUCUUAGAGAUAGAUUGCAGAAGAUGGAAAACACAACUGCAACAAUAAAGGAAAGAUGUUGCAGAGGAGUUGAAGCUAUGUGAGACUUCACUGGUACAUGGUUCAACAAGCGCAGAGAAGAGAUGGACACUUGUUUUCCAACAAGUUACAGCUUUCAACACUACUAACCAAAUCACCUCCAAAGUCAAGCUAAAUGACUAUAACAAAGCGUUGAGUGGGAUGCAACUCACUAUUAGGUAAUACUUAAUUGGUUUUAUUAAUCUAGUAUUUAUGUUGGUUUUUAUUUAAUAAAAAAAAGAAUGAUCCGAGUAGACGAUUGUCGUGAGUAUCGACCGACGAAACACUGCCGACAUCGAUCGACAGAGAAUCACCUGCCACGACCGAUAUCAACAUCUUUACAUCGGUCGACAUCCAUUCCGGUCUGGUAUAUCGUUCUAACUUGUUACAUUUAGUCCUUAUGAUUUAGUUAUCACCGUAACUCCGACUGAAUAUACACUUGGGACAGUGUCGUUUAAGUCUGGGGGGAGGUUACUGAUAGUAGUUUAUUUAUGAGUCUUGUUAAAAUGUUUUCAAAAAGUUUUUAUUGAGUCAAGAAGGGGAUAAUGAACUCAUUAGAUUUUUGCUUGUUAUCUAACCACUCUUUAGCACCCUUCUAAACUUAUUACUGAUUGCAGAUAGUACUAAAGAUACUAAAGUGGAUCAACCUGUCAACUAUUCACACUUGCUGAGAUUGUAUGAAGGAACCAAAGCUGACCUCCAACACUAAACUUGACACAACUGCUUGUCUUGGGGCUUGGUAUACAUGAGAUCAGAUUCUUCAAACAAGCCUAGAAGGUAAAGCCUUGUGUAGAUAGAUUUAUCACCCUCUUUCUCUCUAUUUUCGAAAUGUAGAUUUAAAAUAUAUAUAUAUCUAUUAGAGAAUUAUUAGAAAAGGAUUCGAACAAGAUUUGGUGGCUACAACCAUUAAGGCUUGCUUCACAAAUAAUCCUAAGAUAUAGGUCAAAAAGAAGUGAACAUGAUUUGGUGGCAACCACCAUUAAGUCUUGAUUCAUGGAAGCCUAGCACUACAGGAAAUGUGGGUAUUAAUAGCGUUGUAGCAUAGCGUUUUUUGCUUCUCUGCUAUUGUAUAUAAACACGGGCCUUUAUAAUAGCGUUUUUGAAAUGUAUAAGCUAUCUUUGUAGUCGCGGGAAAAUAAAAUAAUUCAGACGCGUUAAUUUGGUAAGUGGAGGCGCCUUACCAUUGCAAAUCAAAAACUAAAUGCUAUCGUAUAUGAAAAAAUAUAUUAAAAAUAACUUAAGUAUUAAUCGAAACCGAGACUUCAUUCUCUUCACUUCACUCUCUUCACAUUCCUCAAAAUCAAAACCGACUCAUCGAAGUUCUUCAGAGUUCUCUCGAGUCGAAGCUUCAAUUGGUAUGAGUUUCGAUUUGAUUCUGAGUUUAGAAUAGAGACUGGUUCUCUCGAGUCGAAUCUCUUUGAUUUUGGGUUUCUCUUUGAUUCAAAUCUCUUUUCACAUGCAUGUCCGCGUUAACACAUGAUUCGAUUUUGAUUGUGGGUUUCGAUUAGGUUUUGAAUAUGAUUGUGGGUUUCGAUAAGGUUUUGAAUAUGAUUGUGGGUUUCAGUUUGAUUUUGAAUAUGAUUGAAGGUUUCGAUUUGAUUUUGGGUUUAGAUUUUUUGAUCGAAUGGCUUGAUUUGAUUUUGGAUUUGUUUAUCAGUUUCAGAAAUGGCAAAGACAAUAGGACAAGUUGGUUCUCGUCGGAGUAAACGUAAUCAAGGCUUGGAGGUAGUAGAUCAAGAGGACAAGGCACCGCAACUAAAAGUGAAGAAAAGAACAGCAAAGAAAACGGCUUCCCCUAAAAAGAAUUUAGUUUUAACGCCAACGAGAAGAAGUAGUAGAAUCAAGAAAGUGGCUGCUGAAGAUGAUUACAUAGAAGAUGUAACACCAUCUGACGAUGAUGAGGUAGAAGAUGUUACACCUCCUAAGGAUAAUGAAGUACAAGAUGUAACACCUGCUCAGGAUGAUGAAGUAGAAGAUGUAACACCCGAAGAUAAGGAUGAUCAGGCUGAGAAGUCAAUGUCUGAAGAAGAUAAAGACGAUGAAGAGGAUGUCAAUGGGAAAGACGAUGAAGAAGAUGGCGAUGUCAAUGGGAAAGAGAAUGAAGAAGAUGGAGAUCUCAAUGGGAAAGAAAAUGAAGAAGAACCGGCCAAUAUGGAAGAUGAUGGAGUUCUUAAUGAGAAAGGGAACGAAGAGGAAGCUUGCGAAGAAUAAGCUCGCGAUAUGGAAGAAGAUGGCACUGCGCAAGAUGAUGAGAUUCCUAGUACUGAAGGAGUUAAGCUAGCAGGGGAGGAAGUUUCAAAAAAAAAAAAAAGAGGACCUACAAAGUUGCGUAGAGUGGCUGAAAAUCCCAAUGAUAAGAUUAUGGUCACAUUCAAUGACAUUGGUGAGCAUGUUGGACCUGGUUCAGUAACCCUAUCGUCGUUUCUUGGUCCUCUUGUGAGGGAACAUGUUCCGGUUACACUUGCCGAUUGGAGAAAACUUGAUGCAGCGACUAAAGCAACAAUGUGGGAAGAAAUUCAGGUUUGUAUAUAUAUUAGUAUGUUUUGUUUAACCGCAAGAUGAAAUUAUAAACAUGUUUAACUUGAUUAUUGUGAUGCAGGGGAGGUUUAACUUGCAAGAAGAGUGGCAGAAAGCUGUUAUUUUCAAGCAGCUGGGAAAUGUGUGGAAGGCUGGGAAGUCAAGGCUGGUGUCACAAGUACGUGUGGCGAAGACUGCAGCUGAGAGAAUAGCUUUAAAACCGAGCAACAUCCCAUCCCUUCAACUGUGGAACACUUGGGUUAAGAGUAAGACUACCAAAUCUUUCACAGUGAGUUAUCUACAACUAAGUAAGUUUCAUCCUUAAAGGUCAUGUCUGAUGGAUAUAAUCAAUGUCAUAUUUAUAUUGUAGGAAACGAGUAACAAGUACAGAGCGAUGAGAAGAAAUCAGAUUCCUCACACCACCAGCCGCAAAGGAAUGCUUCGUUUAGCUGAUGAUAUGGUAAAAGAGUAGUCAAACAUCUACAUAUUGUAGAUCAGCUUGUUAGAUUAAAAUGGUAGUGAGAUAUGUUUGUUUUCAUAUAGAAAAAAAAGAGUAAAGACCCAAGUAAGGUGAGUAGAUCCAAGGUUUGGAUUGCGGGACACACUCAUGCUGAUGGCAGACCUGUGAAGCCCCAGUUUGCUGAGACUAUUGUAAGCAUUAUGGAAGUUGUAUAUUGUGUAUAGUUAAUAGACUAUGGCAAUGAAUGAUUUUGUGUUUAAAUGAUUGUAUCAGGAACAAAUACAGUCACUUGACAGUUGGAUGGACUCCACAUCAGCUGCUGAUAACAUAAGGGAAGAUGCUGUGAGCAAGGUUUUGGGAAAAGACAAACCUGGACGAGUAAGGGGCUUUGGUAGAGGGAUUACAGCUAAUAAGCUAGCAUAUCUGCAAUUUAGAGACGCUAAGAUUGCAGAAAUGAAAAGUGAGAUUGAAGAGUUAAAGGGGAUGGUGCGAGAAUUAGCUGAGAAGAAGGUAAUCCUUUUCAUUACCUUUGGUCAAUUAGUUUUAAGACAUUUACGAUUUCCGUUGCCUUUUCUUAGAAAAGUAAUGUUGAUGCUGAAACAUCUGAGAGUAGUGGUGGAUUCAAAGAAGGAGUCAGAGUACAAAUACUGGAUUGGAUUGAAUCAGAGGAUGUUGUUGUUGGUGAAGGAGAAUUCUGCUCUGCUGAACCGAAGUACAAAAUUGGUCGUAUACCAAUUGGUCCUAAUGCAGUGGCUAUCGUAGUUAAGUAUGCACUAAGCGCAUCAGCUUCACUCUGGAGGCCUACUACGGAUGUGUUAACUCUUGAUGAAGCUGUGGGAUACAAGAUAUCUUGGCCAAUGGAUAAAGUGAUUUUGGAUAAGGAUCCAAACUGUUCUGAAGAUUUAUCUAUGGUAAAUUUUCAAAUCUUGUUUUCUUCUUACAACAAUUGAGUCAUCUCUAAUCAUUACUAAAAUUUCUAAUUUCAAAUCUUGUUUUAGCAAAGCAAGGAAGGUGAAUAUCGAAGAUGCAAGAUAUAUGAUUGGACCAAUGAUGAGGACGAGGUCAUUGCUGAAGGUCUCGUGUGCUCUUCAAAAUCCAAAGACAUGGUUAACAACAUACCUCUGGGUCCCAAUGCUGUUAGUGUCGAAGUAGUGAAGGUGUUCAAUGAUCAAGCAUAUUUGUGGAGGCCAACCGCUGAUAUGUUCUUGAUUGGUGAUGCACUUAGCGAGAAAAUAGCAUGGCCAGUCCUAAAGGUUGAAGUCAUGCCUACACCUGCUACAGAAGUAACACCAACUAAAUGUGAAGGGAAGAAAAUAGCAUCACCUUCAAAGCCAGCCAAGAAAAAAGCAGUGGUAUGUAAUUGACAUGAAGUUAAAUUUUUUUAUUUGCCUGAUGAUUGAUGUUGCGUCCUUGAUUGAUGUUGGAACUUGCUUAUGUCAUCUUGUUUGAGUUGUAGAGUCCAGGCAGCACUAGUUCGACCAGAAGUCCGAAGCAGAAGUGCACUCUCUUGGAUUGCAACAACUCUGGACGUAAGGUAGCUGAAGGAAGGGUAGCUUCAACGGAUCCGAAUGAGUUGUGCCACUUUGUACCCCUAGGUCCAAAUGCAAGCAAGGUGUGGAUUGAUGUGGCUAAGAUCGGUGAUGCAAAAGUCUGGAGGCCAAAUUCAGAGAUUGAAUACAUAUCUGAUGCAAUGGGUUCGGUUGUGGCAUGGCCAAAUGACAAAAUCAAGUUUGUCUAAAAUUGUCGUCUGAAACAUUUUUCAAGUUGGUUCUCAUCGGCUAUGUAUUUCUAGUGUGUGAUCGAAUGUUUAGGUACUUUUUUACUCGGUUGAAAUCAUGUAUGCUAUUAUGUAACAGUUAGCAGACAAAAAAACAAAAAUUAUGUGUUAUAUUAUGAUAUAAGGUUAUGUGUGAAAAUGUUUAGCUUGUACAAACCUAUACCCUAUACCCUAAUUGUACUUGAUUUCACAAUUAAAAUCCUAUACCCUAAAGUGAAAUCCCUAAACCCUAAAGUACAAACCUAUACCCUAUACCCUAAUUGUACUUGAUUUCACAAUUAAAAUCCUAUACCCUAAAGUGAAAUCCCUAAACCCUAAAGUACAAACCUAUACCCUAUACCCUAAUUGUACUUGAUUUCACAAUUAAAAUCCUAUACCCUAAAGUGAAAUCCCUAAACCCUAAAGUACAAACCUAUACCCUAUACCCUAAUUGUACUUGAUUUCACAAUUUUGUUCAUUCUUAAAAGGAUAUUGUAAUCUUAAUUUCACAAAACUGAUUAGUUAUAAAUUUUAUAAACACUCAUUUGUUCAAACCCUAUACCCUAAAGCCUUUGUACAUACAAAUAAGUAGUAGUGUUUAUGAACAUAUGAGCUAGAUUGAUCAAUCUUAUAAAAGCUCACAUAAAAAAUUUAUAUUCAUACAAUUUUUUUUUUUGUAAAAUUGGAAAACUGAAUAUUUGAUUUUUAAGAUUUAAUUUAAUUUUUUUUUGCUUCAAAAUCAUAUUUAUAUAUUAAUUUCCAGAUUUCAAACAAAAUUAAUACCUUGAGCCAAUAAGGAGUAACCUCCAAGAUUGCAGACGUGGCAAACCAUAUGCCGAUGGAUGUGUCUUCCCAACUUCAAUCUUAGCCAUUCUUUUUAUUUUUUGAGCCAAUGAGGAGCAACUACUAAGAUUGCACUCGGAUUAAUCAUAGACCGUCCGAUUUCUCUCCAAAUCUUUGAUCACAACCGUUCAUUUUUUUCUGUCUCUGUUUGCACUCGGAAAAUUUCAGAACACAACAUCUCUCUUUCUGUCGAAACUCCUUUCUGUCUCGCGAUCUAAAAUCAAAAAAAACCCUAAAGAAAGCACAUGUAUCUCUCGAGCUAAAAUCUAACCAGCUGUUCCUGUAUUCUCCGAUUGAAAGUAAGCAAAUGGAUAAGUCGUGGAUUUGGCUUCCAAGGUAUAACCUAAAAUCUCUCGAUCUCAUUUCUACUCGCCGAUUGAAAUAAAGCUAACUUCUUUUGUCUGAUUCUUGUAGGAAUAGCCACGAGUAUUCAGAAGGAGCAACUAAUUUUGUGAAUUCGUCCGCAAAAAGAUUGGGAAGUCUGUCUGAAAUGCUAUGCCCUUGUAGAGACUGCCGCAAUCUGAGCCAUCAGUCACUGGAUAAAAUUGUGGAGCAUUUGGUGAUUAGGGGUAUGGAUAAGAAGUAUAAGAGUUCUCGUUGGAGUAUUCAUGGAGAAAAAAGAGAUUCUGCAGAAGACAGUGUUCUUCAAUAUGAAACAGAGGCGUUUGAUUUGUUUAAGACAAUAUUCUCCAUGGACGAAGGUGGUCCAAACCCGACAACUGACAACGAAGACGAUGAAGCACCAGAGGAAAUUGAGUUUAAGAAAAAGCUCAGAGACGCUCAAACGCCAUUAUACUCGGAUUGUCUCAAGCACACAAAGGUUUCAGCUAUCAUGGGACUUUACAGAUUCAAGGUUAAAAGUGGUGUGUCGGAGAACUACUUUGAUCAGCUGUUGGUUUUACUUGAGGAUUUGCUACCUGAAGACAAUGUUCUUCCCAAGAGUUUAGCUGCAAUCAAAAAAAUUCUGAAGAUCUUUGGGUUCGGCUACGACAGUAUUCAUGCUUGCAAGAAUGAUUGCAUAUUGUAUAGGAAGGAGUAUGAGAACCUAGAAAGCUGUCCAAGAUGCAAAGUUUCAAGAUGGGAAAUGGAUAAGCACAGUAAUGACUUAAAGGUGGGGAUUCCGGCAAAGGUCCUUAGAUAUUUUCCAAUCAAGGACAGGUUUAGGAGGAUGUUUAGAUCACAAAGGAUGGCUGAAGAUCUGCGUUGGCACUAUACCAAUGCCACUGAAGAUUGUACAAUGCGGCACCCUGUUGAUUCUAUCUCUUGGGCACAAGUGAAUACUAAAUGGCCAGACUUUGCUGCUGAUCCACGGAAUCUUCGACUUGGGAUUUCUACAGAUGGGAUGAACCCUUUCUCCAUGCAAAGCACCAAUCACAGCACAUGGCCAGUGUUGUUAGUGAACUAUAACACGCCUCCAACCAUGUGUAUGAAGGCUGAGAAUAUAAUGCUGACUUUGUUGAUCCCUGGUCCUACUGCUCCUGGUAACAACAUUGAUGUUUACCUAGCACCACUGAUAGACGAUCUAAAGGAUUUGUGGGCUGAGGGUAUUGAAGUGUAUGACUCAUUUGCGAAGGAGAACUUUAAUCUCAGAGCCUUGCUGCUUUGGAGUCUCAGUGACUAUCCAGCCUUAGGAACACUGUCUGGAUGUAAAGUAAAGGGGAAACAAGCCUCCAAUGUAUGUGGAAAGGAUACACCUGCAAGGUGGCUUAAGUUUAGCCGCAAGUUUGUCUACAUGAGUAACAGAAGGAGACUACCGCUUGGCCAUCGUUACAGAUAUAAAAAAGCUUGGUUUGACAACACUGUGGAGGAAGGGAAUGCUAAUAGGAUACAAACAGGCGCUGAGAUAUAUGAGACACUGCAAGCUUUUACGAAUGAUUUUGGUAGACCUCUAGAGAAGGAAAAAAAAGGAAAAGACUAGAGUUGGAAGAUGAUGAGAAGUUACAAGAAGAAGAGUGUGAAGAAUCAAAUGAACUAUGGCGGUGGAAGAAGAGAUCAAUAUUCUUUGAUCUACCUUACCGGAAGGUAAACUAUAGUAACUGACCUAUAUUAUCUGAUUACUGGAAGAAGAGAUCAAUAUGUCUAACAGUUUCUUGUUUAAUGUGUUAGGAGUUGCCUGUUCGUCACAAUAUUGAUGUUAUGCACGUAGAAAAGAAUGUGUCUGAUGCUAUAUUGUCUCUGUUGAUGCAAAGUGUGAAGUCAAAAGAUGGGUUGAAAGCAAGAAAAGACUUAGAAGAUAUUGGAAUCAGAAAGCACUUGCACACAGAGGUGAGGGGAAAGAAAACAUACUUACCUCCUGCUGCCUACUGGUUAUCGAAGAGAGAGAAGACCAUUUUCUGCCAAAGGUUAGCUAAGUUUAGAGGCCCUGAUGGUUAUUGUGGUAAUAUUGCGAAUAGUGUUUCAGUUAACCCUCCAAAUAUUGGUAGUUUAAAGUCGCAUGAUCAUCAUGUCUUAGUACAGAACUUGUUACCAGCUGCAUUAAGAGGGUUGUUACAUAGGGGUCCCAGGAUAGCCAUAAAUAGAUUAUGCAGUUACUUCAACAGGUUGUGUCAGCGCAUCAUUGACCCAGAGAAACUUAUAUCCAUGGAGACAGAGUUUGUGGAGACAAUGUGUCAGCUGGAGCGCUUCUUCCCUCCAGCCCUUUUUGAUAUCAUGUUUCACCUUCCACUACAUUUAUCAAGAGAGGCACGGUUGGGAGGACCAGUUCACUUCCGAUGGAUGUAUCCCUUCGAAAGGUUUGAUCAACAUCUCUCUUCAAUAUAUCCACUUCCCACAAUGAUGUUUGACUAAUAUUCAUAUAUCCUGAGUUAUAGGUACAUGAAAACACUAAAGGCUUUUGUUAAGAAUUAUGCAAGGCCAGAAGCAUGUAUGGCUGAGGCGUAUUUAGCUGGAGAAUGUGUUGCAUUUUGUUUAGAGUUCCUUAAAGAAUCAGUACCAGUUCAAGAAGCAGUUAAUCGUAAUGAAGAUGUUGAGGCUGAUAGAAUGGUGGUUGAAGGCCGACCUCUGCAGAAGGGUAUAGAGGUUACCCUGUCAGAUAAAGAUAGAGACAUUGCACAUCGAUAUGUGCUAAUGAACAUGGCAUCUUUGGAUCCCUUUCUUGAGUAAGUAAUUCUCUAUGUUUCUUCUACUUGUUUUACUCAUAAUUUCAUUUUCAUAUACUGUUGUUUAAUUUAAAAUCAGGAUGCAUUUGGAAGAGUUGCAAGCUAAGGAUGCUCGAUUGGCUAAAAAUGAAACUUUUUUAUGGAAAAACCAUACUGAACACUUUACAGAAUGGCUUAAAAAUAAGGUUACAAACUCCAAAUUCUUUUCUUGAUUAUUAUUGUAAAUACUGGUUAGCUUGUUUGGUGAUGACUAGUUAGCUUGUAUCAUGAUGCCUGGUUUGUAUCUUGAAGAACAUGUCCAUAUUUUAGCGAAUUGAUGUCUGAGUAGCCUAUAGCUUGAUGAAACUGUCUGGAUUUUUAGUAUUUUUAUGACUGGUUAGCUUGUAGAUUGAUGAUUGGUUUCGUGGUACAUAUUAUCAUGUUUUGAUUAUAAUUUAAGUACCUCGGCUUGAUGAUAAUCCUCUGAUUUCCUGCGGCAGAUUCAUUUAGACUCAAAAGAUAUCAUUCUAAGGAGAUAAGGUGGUUGGCAUUUGGACCAAGAAAUGUUGCUUUAGCACAUAAAGGAUUCAUCAUCAAUGGCCAACGGUUUCAUACUGAUGCGGUCAAGCUGAAGACACAAAACAGUGGAGUAACUUAUGAAGCCUUUAGCAUGUGUAGAUCAAGUGCAAGAGAUAUGAGACAGGUCGCGGAUAUGAUUACAUACUAUGGAGUGAUAAAGGAGAUUUUGGUCAUCGACUAUCACAUGUUCAAAGUGCCACUCUUUAGAUGCAACUGGGCAAACACAGCGAAUGGUGUGAAGGAAGAAGAUGGCUUCACUCUUGUUAACCUUCAUAUGAACCAAGCAGCCUAUUUGAAAGAUCCAUUCAUUCUACCUUCUCAAGCGAAACAGGUUUUCUACUCUAGGGAGGAUGAUGCUUCAAAUUGGUAUGUUGUUAUGAGAGCACCACCUAGAGGUUAUCAUGAGUUGGAAACAGAAGAGGAUUUAGGUGGUGCUCCUAUACCUGUCCAAGAAGUUGAUGAUAUGGGUGAUGAUAUGGAUGAUGAUAGUGUAUAUGUUAGGGAUGAUUGUGAAGGUUUAUUAGUGGUAGAUUGAUGAUAUGUUGUAUGCUUGUGUGAUGGUUUGUAUGAAUGUGAUAAUGUUGUGUUAUGGGAUUUGAAUAAUUAUAUUGAUUUUUGGAAUUUUAAUAAUUUAUAUUGUUUUUAUUUCAUAUUUUCGAAUUAAUUAUUUAAAAAUCAAUUCAAUAAUUAUUAUUAAUUAAUUUUGGCAUAAUUAUAAAACUAAUUAAUAACACGAAACAUUUGCUAUCUUUGCUACUAGGAAAAAUCAAAUUAUUUGGUUCUAAUAACAUUUAUUAAACGUUAUUAUAAAUACUAACAAUUACGAACACAAAAGCGCUAUUGUUAUACACUUAGUAAUAGCACAGAGGAAAAUCGCUAUUAAAAGGGUUGGACUUUUUAUAACGGGUGAUGUCAGAGCGUCCAAGGAAACGCUAUUAAACCAAAAUGAUAGCGCUUUUUGUCCGCUAUUACUAACCACAUUUCCUGUAGUGGCCUGUCCAAUUUUGGUCAAUGAUCUUGCAAAUAUAAGCAGACUUUGACUAAGAGGGAAAAUUAGUAGAGAGAGAGGAUAUGAACUAAUGUUUACAUGCAGGUCCGGAUACUUGUUUGAAAAUCCUUGCAUCCUGUGAUCGAUACUCCCAAAGUAAAGCAUGCACUUUUAUUUAUGCUAAGAAAUGAGGUUGGUAGAGGGGAAUGUCAGACAAGAUUUGCUAAGUUGUUGGCUAGGUGAGUUUGAUUGCUAAGCUAAGAUAUGGUAUAAUGUGCUUUUGUGAUUAGGACUUCUUAGAUAUGGAUUGCAAUAUUGUAGAUGUGAUGAUUCUAAGUUUUAAAUCAUGUGAGUCCCUGCUGUUUUCAAACCUCUUUCAGAGAGACUACCUGUUUGUUUUGCUUGAGGACAAGCAAAAGGGUAAGUCUGGGGGAGUUGAUAGACCAUGGAUUUGACCUACUUUUACUCAUGGUUUAUAAGUGUUUUAAUUACUAAUUAUUAUAUUAUAGAGUCUAUUUAGAGUAUUUAUAGGAUCAGGAGUGAUUUGGAGGAAAUUGAUGAUUUUGGAGCAUUUUGGAUAUAUUUGGAGUAAGCACCCGAGAUGACCAUCGAGCUCGACCAUCGGUCGAUAUUGAAGAGGAAUAAUCGAUCGAUGUUCACAUCUUGACAUCGAUCAACAGCGAAGCGCGCAGAAAGCUCGUUUGGUCAUAGCCGACUUAGAGCCCAAGUCUUCAUCGAUUUACGAGAUUACCCCUGACGAGUUUUAACCUAAUUAUAUAAGUUUUGCCAACAUGUUAGAGGCAAAGUGUGCUUUCUUAUUUUACUAUUUUCACAGCAAAGAUUUUCUAGGAUUUUUAGUAGAUUGGAGAGAAAGUCCAAAGUUAUUUGUGAUUGGAACUCCAUUGAUAUCUAUUUAUUAUUCUAAUGCAGUUUUCAUACUUUAUUGCUGUUAUGAAUUGCUUGGCCAUGUCUGAGUAGUUCUCUUGUUAGAUUUUAGGGUUUAAAUGGGUUAUGAGGGAUUAGCCCCAACUAUAGAUUGCUAAGUUAUGAUAUUAACAAUUAGGAUUGUCAUUAAUGUCUGAUUCUAGAUUAGCUACCUAGAACUUGCCCUAGGAUUGUUAGAUAUAAGCGAUAGCUUUCAUCUCAUCCUGAAACCAUUCUAAUUGAGCUAAGAUUAUUGCUAAGAGUAAGGCGAGAGCUGAUCUAGUAAGCUUAGUGAGCACAUUCAACCCGCGCAUUAAUGUUUGACCAACAGCGUCGAUCGAUAUUCAAAUAGAUUAAUCGGUCGACGUUUCUAAUAGUGCAUCGAUCGAUAUUCAUAUAUAAUCAUCGAUCGACACUGGCCAAUAGACAAACCUAGAAAGCGAGAGCCUAGUGGUUCGUUUAUAAGUGUUGAGCUCUACAAUAUCAUGCAUGCAACUUGUUAGGCAUCUAUAGGAUUAUAAUUCUGAACUUCCUGAAUAAAAACCCUAAGUCUAGCUAUUUCCUUUUAAGCACCAAAACCUCAACCAAUCAAUCAAGUAAUUACUUGCUCAACAACUGCAACAUUACAUUUAAACAAUUAAACCAUUUAGCUUAACAAUUAUGAUUAGAUUUAUUAGGUUCCUAGCUCCUUGUGGAUUCGAUCCCUAAGUACUACAAUUGAACAUCUUAUUUGAGAGAGUAAAAUCACUCCUUAGGGUAAUUUGAGUGAUAUCAAAAUUCACAGGGAGCUAAGACACACAAUAGAUCUAUCUAGUUAUGUAGUUCAGCUAGGUUGAAUGAUUUAAAUGUAAAUUAGCAAGGGGUGAACAAGUAAUUGUUCGAUUGAUUGAUUGGGUUUUAAGACAGAUAUGAGAAACGUUAGACUUAGGGUUUCUAUUCAGACAAUCAGGAUUAUAGAGAUAUAAACUACUAAGCAAAUAUGGAUAUUCUAGAUCUCAAACAAAUAAGAAUAGUCGAUCAACUUCCGUAUAUUUAGACUAUCUAUCGCCGGAUCUAGGACCUCAGAUGUUUCUUGUUGGUCCUGAGAAAAUGUCGAUCGAUUCCAACAACGGGGUGUCGAUCGAUACACCUUUCAGCUCAUCGAUCGAUGCAACUAAUGAGUUAUCGAUCGACGUUCCUUCCAGGGAGCGUUACGCACGGGUUUGACGUGUUCACUAGGUUAAACUAAAUCAGCUUCCGCUUGUUUCUAGCAAUCCUACCAAAACCUAAACGAUUUCAGACAAAGAACCAGACUUCCGAAUGCGCCCUAAUGUCUAUAGGGAAGGUCCUACUUAGCUACUCUAGAACACAUGCAUUAAGAACAGUUUAGUUGAUUAAUAUCCUGACACUUAGCAAUUCUAUACUUUAGGCUAAUCCCUCAUGAAUAUCUGAACCCUAAAUCUAACAAGAUGAACUAGUCAGACAUGGCUAAACAAUUCAUAACAACAAGAUAAGAAAACUGCAUAAAAUAGAAUAGAGUAUAGAAAAUGGAGUUCCAAUCACAAAUCUCUGAAGGAGUUCUUGGAUCUUCUCUCCAAACCUAGGACUCUAAGUAUUUUGCCGUAUGAAAAGUAGAAAGUAUGAAAGCGUGUGUUGCCUAGAACAAUAGCAGAGCACAUAAAUAUUAGGUUAAAACUCGUCAGGGGUAAUCUGGUAAUUCUUGUGGGACUUGGGCUUUAAGUCGCUUGGAACCCAAUCUGGCUUCCGCGCGCUUCGCCGUCGAUCGACACCACAGGGUGUGUGUCGAUCGAUUGUUUCCUUCGCCCAACGAUCGAUAGUCGUGGUCGAUGGUCAACUUCGGGCCUUUGUCGUUUGCUCUCCAAAAUACCCAAAAUCACCACUUUCUUCCAAAUCACUUCAAAACCUGAAAACAUACUAAAAACUACAAAACAAAUGUAUUUAAAAACACCUAUAUACCAUGGAUAAAAAUGGGUAAAAUCCAUAGUAUAUCAAUUAUUCUAUAUGGACCUAUGAUCUGCAAUAAUACUUUUAUACCCUUAAUGAAAUUAAUAAAAGUAAAACAAAGUUAAAAAAAAAAUGUCCACUUCCCCUGCAACCUCGACGUCGUCUUCUUCUUUUCGUUUUCUUCUUCACGUGUUCAACCUCGACACACGCAGAGCCUCCGGUCACAAUGCUUUGUACUUGGCAUGAACUCGACUCCACAACGUCUGCGUCGUCGAUGAAUAUCUUUAUCCACCGUGGGCAUCUCUCUUCUAUGAUCGGAGCUCCAAUUUUUAAUUGAACCACUGCGCCUCUACCGAACACCUAUUCACCACCGCGACAUGUCCUCUCCAAUUUCUCCUUCUGUCGAUGUGCCUUCAUCUCUCCUUCGCGACCUCCGGUGAGGUGCAUUUUUCCGAUCAUUUUCAAAAUCCUCCUCCCAGUUUUUGUUGACAUUCUUGGCUUCAGCUAGCUCCAUCUCUUGUUCUGUUUUGUUUCCCCUCUGUUUUGUUCUCCUUACUCUCUGUUUUUCUCUUUACUUGUGGUGUUUGUCUUAACACAAGCUUUAGUUUGUUUUAGAAAAAGAAAACACGAGCUUUGGUUUAUUCUCUUGCCUUUGUUGUAAUUUAAAGACAUAAACGCUUUUGAAGAGAAAAGAGAGAACUUGUUAGUGUUAGAUGGGGAAAAGGGCUUAUUCAUGCCCGCACUAUGAAACCAGGGAAAAUACAUACCCAAACAAUAUUAACGUGCCAAAAUAUUUUUAAACUAAAUAGAAAUUUGAAAUGCAUACCUAAACUCAUAAUAAAUAGCUAAAACAUGUCUCGUAACUGACACGUGUCAGUCAAUUUUAAAAUAUAUUGAUUUAUUUUUUUAAAUUAUUAUCUUUUAGUUUUUAGCAUUUUAUUUAUUUGUAAAGUGCCACAAAUAAUUAAAAUCAUCAAAUUGGCCUUAUUUAUAAUUUCAAAAUUGGAAAUAAAUUUUAAUAUAUGGUGAUAUAUAAAAUAGAAAUAUUUUUUAUCAAAUAAAAUAGAUUUAAUAUUAUAAAUAUAUUAUUUUAUUAUUAUUUCAUAUUGUAAUAUUUGAUACAAAAAAUUUAAAUAAAUAGAAAACAACAUAAAAACAGUAUCAUAAUUUAAAGCCUGAUUUAAUCUCACUAGUUCUUAAAGUUUAUAAAAUAUUUUUUAUAUUUUCUUAGGUUAUUUUAGUUGCAAAUCUUAUUAUGUGCUUGUGUGAUAUAUAUAAUAUAAAUAAAAUUAAAAAUUUGUAAUUUUUGUUUGUAGUUAUUAAAACCAAUGUUAAUUACACUAGGCAUAAUGUGUGCGCUUGACCCUAACCUAGCGCCGAAUCAAUUAUUUGGUAAUUAUACGAGAAUUAAUCGGAAAAUGGUUUUGUAAACUUUUUGUGUAUUAUUAAUAUUACAUACUAGUUUUGUAGCAAAAUAAAAAUAAUGUAAUAUGGCCUAGUGGUUUUGUGCGAUAUUUAUUUUCUUGAGAUGCUGCGUUCGAAUCUAUUUUUGGUUAACUAGCCAUUCUUUUCUUUUUAUUAAAUAAGGGUAAUAUUAUUAAAGAUCUCUACUGUAAAAUAAAAUUUCUAAAGAGUAUUUUUAGUUAUGUUGAUUAAAAUUUGAAUGACUAUAUUUGCAAAGAAAAUUUUAUAUAAAUAUAAAUCGAGUGGUAUUUCUUGUAAAUAUUACAUAUGAGUAAGAUUAUUUAUAAUUAAUUCUCAUGUUUUAAUAAGGUAGAUAACAUACUUUGAUAACUAAAUUAAUUAAUAUAUUGUAUAUGAUAACUAUCUAAAUUUCUGAUAAAUAAUUAAAUUUAUUAUUUAAAUUUAAUUAAAAUCUGGUAAAAAAAAUAAAAUUGUACUUUUCAAAUUAAAAUUAUAAAUACAAUAAAUUUGAUUAUUUAAGUUAUUUAAGGCAUAUUAACAAAAAAUAGAAUUAUAGAGACUAAACUACAAAAAAAAAUUAAAAAAUAGUCCAAAUCAUCAUAUAACCGGCUAUAGGCAUGUUUUAGCUAUUUAUUAUGAGUUUAGGUAUGCAAUUCAAAUUCUUAUUUAGUUUAUGAAUGUUUUGGCACGUUAAUAUUGUUUGGGUAUGUAUUUACCCUGGCUUCAUAGUGCGGGCAUGAAUAAGCCGUUUUCCCGUGUUAGAUGUCUACAUUGUUACUUUCUUACAUGAAAAAUAAAGUGAUCUCUUUUAUCUCUACCAGAAAAAAAACGUGCGAGAGUAAACAGAGAGAGUAAGUUUUUGUAAGUUGAAAUAUAAAUACAAAAUCAGAGAGAGUGCGGAAAAAGAAUGUUAGACCAUCUGCAACAAUGAUCCUUAGCACAAAUCCUUAAGAAACAAAUUAUUAUAAAAUUAUGUGGACCCCAUUUCAUCUAUGUUUUUGUGCCAACAAAAGCUCUUAAACUCCCUAGCUAAGGAUUCGAUUUGCUGAGCCUCUUAACUAUUUACGGACCCCACUGACACGUGGCGGCCCGCGAUUGGUUAGUUUUUUUUUUUUAAAUCCACAAAAAAAAAAAAAAUAUUCAUAACUACUAUUUCUAAGAAUUUGUGCCUUGAGUAUCACCAUUGCUAAUGCCCUUAAAUGAACAAGAGAACACAACAAAAAAAAAACAGAAGUUGGCCGUGUAACCUAAUACAAUGGAUAUUAUUAUAGGAUAUAAUGUAACAUGUACAAUUAAUAUAGUUAAUAUCAAUGAUGGCUUCUGAUGGCAAGACUCCUCCUAUGGUGAUGUAUUACGACUCCAGUCCGGUUUGAUGGUCUGGCUCUCCGGUAGUGAAGAACGGUGACCGUGGUGAUAAGAUGCAGCAUCUCCGAGUCGUCUCUUCCUCCAUGCACUAACGUAUUAAAAUUAUGUAAAAAGAAAGGAGGAACGAAAGAAAAGAAGAAUGAGAUCAAGCGGAAAGAAAGGAAGGAGGAGAAGUACAACACCAAAACCAUCUAAUCACCCUUGACAAAAGUGAUGCGGCUAGGUUAGCGUAGUGAGGGAGAUGUUUAUAUGUAUAAAUGUUGCACAGUUUGACCAAAAGAAAAGACGAGGUUUUUAAUUUAUUGUAAAUAAAUAAAACCAAACUAGUUUGGCUCAACAAAAUUGAAUAAACUCAACCAUGAAUUAGAAAAGAAAAAAUCGGUCACUGUUAUAAAAGAGAUGCUAUGUAAGCUUAUUAUUACUCAUGACCAGGGGUCUAUAUAUAUACAAGUAUUAGACCGUCUUAUUUAGACCGUCUUAUUUAGACCGUCAUAAGAGAAAAUGAAAUUCUAUUCCUAAUAAGAAUAGGAAAUAGUACUUAUCCUAAAUACAUAUGGAAAAGGAUAAACAUCAAGUAUAGAUAAAUGUAAACUCUCAUUCGCCUAAGUCAUUAGCGAAUGGGCCGGAUGGAUAGCUGAUGGGCCGGAGUUUGGGCCUGAUAUGGGUCGAUCACCACUUGGUUUAUAACACUCCCCCUUGAUCGACACAUCCGGUUCAGGGCUUGUAACAUGCAUAAUGUUGCCUCAUUAAAACUUUUCCAGGAAAACCCAGUGGGACAAAACCAUGGAUAAGGAAAAAGAGUACAACACAUGAACUCCCCCUGACUUGUACCCCCGUGUAUGUUCUUCAAGUUGGCGCAUGGACAAUUUGAUAGUUUAGCUUCAUGGGCGCCAAGUCUUGAACUGGUCCUUUAAUUGGCACGUCCCAAAUUGAUAGAUAAAUUUCAUGGACGUGUGGUUGGUGUAGACAUGGUGAAGAAGUCGGCUGACAUAUCAUAUGACUGAACUUGUAGUCCUUUGAGCUUCUUGAACGUUGAUGUAGGGAUAGCUCUUGCCGAAUUGUAACUUGAGUUAUCUUGUAACUCUCAUAUCUUCUGGAACUUCAUUAAGACAUGGUCAAGAUGUGCAACUUGGCAGCUGACCACUCUAUGUCCUGGUCGGACGGAUGGCACUCGACCAGUACUCGGAUGGACCUCUAAUCUGCGAUCAAACUUUACUCGCAAGUCCUCUCAUGUCCCACGGAUCCUCUAGUCACAUGGCUUUGCCAUACCGUGGACACUUUAAUAUAUAUUGAGUCAUCGACCCAAACACAUACGAAUCACUUGGCUUCUCACGGACAUGCCUUCGUCCAUUCGGACAUACAUCACCUGUAUGUGCUAAUGGCUUAUCCAUUAUAGCCGAUCUUUCUUCAUUGGUCGAUCCAUGUUGAGUUAUAGACCUUGUCUAUACUCGUCCAUACCCCAUGAGUGUCUAAGGUCAUAUCAUUAAUAAUCAUUGCUGCAAUGAGUUUUAUAAUCUCAUCAAACUAUGGAUCUGCAGUCAAAUACACUCAAGGACCUUUAUACAUGGUUAUCGAUCUUUCUUGCCUUCAGCAAUGCAAUAUCCAUUUGACAUCGACCAGACAUACUUCUGGUCACUCUCUUGGACCAUUAUGGUUUCCUUUUAUCCACUGAUAUAAACAUAAUGGCUUGUGCUUACAUUGCAGUCCCAUACUAUAAUCUUAUUACUUGAAAAACAUCGCAGUCCACACUUUCUUUGAUGGCAUCUCAUGACCUACUUGCAGUGCUGAUUUAUUAUAAACACAAGGGAUUUCUUUUAUAAGAAUAUAUGGACUGAUUUGGAUUGUUCUUUAUCGAACUCAUUCACUAAGUUUUACUUAGUCUUAUCAUAUUCAAUGCAGCUGCUUUUGCUUCAGUCCAUGAACAGCUUAGGAACAAUGCUGUUCUUUGAGAACUUCUUUUCUCAUCUUUCUGGUACAUUUAUUUUCUUUAUCCAGUGAUCAAUAUACUGCUUACUACAUCAUUAUUUCUUUUGUUUCCAGACUUCAUCAAUUUCGAGUUUGUGUAGUAGCAUCCACCACAUAGGAGCAUAUUUCCUUAUAAUAUUUUCCUUUGGUCUCUAUGAGUAUCCUUGUGUAACAAGCCAUUCUUUGAAUGCUGUAAGUAGUAAUGUGAACGACCUCUUGACUACUUGGUCACGUUCCACAUCUCACGAUUUUCUUUCCCUCACAAGACCCAUUUAUCCACUGGUCUAUAUCAUCAUAUGGUGUUUCUAUAUAUUUGGCCAAUACGUCCAUCUCUUCUUUAAACUCUUUAAACCUCACGUUUUCUUUUAAUCUGAUCUUUAUUCUUUAUGAGUACUUUUACGUGGGUUCAUGAUCCUCGCUUUAUAUCUUUAAACUCAAGUGCUACUUUCUUUUAUGAGCUCUCUUAUAUGUAAAUAUAUCAUUGGUGUUAACACUGUUAUGUAGUUCCAUAGUGUUCCAGACAUGAUCUAAUAGAUUUGAGAUCUUAUUAUCCAGGACCUUUACUGCCUUGCAGUUUGGCGUCCCAAACUACAUGGUUUGGUACCUUAGAUGUUUAGCUGGCCAGUCUUAUCUCUCUAUCUGGACUGGUUUCCUUUGAAUUCGGAUUUGUAUCAUUCUAUGCACCUUUCAUUUCUUUCCGAGGUUUCUUAUCUUUUGGAACUUAUUGGUCUAUCUUGUAUAGACACUGUAGCAACUUGAUUGUGUCUCUUAGGACAUCAAAUUCGUGGUGCUAAGCUGGUAUGACUUAGUCAUUCUUUUCUUUUCGGGUCAAUGUGUCUGACAUCUAGUUCUGCUAGCUUUUGUAUCAUUUGAUCACAUUCCUUGGACGUCUUAAAUCAUAUUUUCUAGUUCGAGGAUCUUUCCAAGACAAUGAUGGUAAAUACCAUUCUAUUUCUCUUAUUCUCUUUUACCAGCUUAUUUCUUUCUCCCCCUGAUGUUGGAUAGUCGGAUUCAUCAGUCAUGCGAUCCGUGUACCUGGCCAUAAUUAGAUCACCCAUAUUUGGCACAAGGUCUCUUAAAAAACGUGGGAGAAAGAUAUGUUCCUAUCCAACAUAUAUUCCCAAUCUUUUUCUCAUCCUCUUCUGAGGUUCCAUCCUAGACGGCACAUAUGUAUGUGGUGGUUUAUUCAAAAUCUCUUAUGAUGGUAUAUGUCUGGUUUAUGACCCGUAUUCAUUCUGAGAUGGGAUUAUCUAUGCUCACUUAUAUGGUCUGAUGCAUAUUAACCUUACACAUGUAAAUCCUUGUGUCCCCAAGCAUUAGGUAGUGGCCUUUGUAGUAUAAAGAAUUCGGCCAAGUCUUACUAUGGUCAUAGACCAUGUCACACGGAUUUAUAGUAUGUUCAUGGAUCACAGUUUGUCCUCACUCCCCCUCAUGGACAUACUAUAAUGACGUGGUACUUGGGACAAUAGAGCCUUGUGAGUUUCCCUUGUGUACAUGUUACACAACGUGAGAUUUUAUGGGAUAACUCUUUGUGCCUUUUGCAAUAUGUGCAUCAAUUUUUAAAGACCUGGAUGGCUAAUCCAGUCAUGCCAUAAAGUGUAUAAAAUUUCGUGGGUAUACAGGUUACCAUGGCUUUUGCCUUUAUCAUACUGAUCCUUCGCAUAGUCUAGAUCAGUAGAGUAUGUAGGUAUAGUCUUGACCACUUUCUUAUAAGGCCUUAGGCGAUUUUCUUAUAAUCUGAAAGGAACUUUUGUUUCCUUUGCCCAUUGGUUCAAUGUGGAAACCAUUCAUGCUCAAGUCUUUAUAACUCAAUGGGUCUUUUAUUGGGUGAAUAAAUUUGUGCCCCUAUAGGCAAUGCCGUGGUCUAUAAUAGACUGACUAUCCUUUUAUUAAGUUUUCACUGUCAUUUAUCAAUCAAGAAAUCAUCAAGCAAAUCAAACAUGAUAACUAAAAACAACUCUUAUUAUUGCUAUAAAAUUGUAAAUGAUAAGCAAAUCAAAGCAAAACAUAAAACAUAAAAUCAGAAUGUCGAAAUCUCGUUUCUUUAGUCAAUGUAUAAGCCGGCCUCACAAUCCAUAUAUUUUCACACGGCUUCCUUCGAUUCCUCCUUAUCAUUUUUAGCCUCAUUGGCUUCAGGAGGUCUCAUCUCACUGUUUCGUUGCUCAAUGUAUCUUUUCUGAAGUUUUUCAAAUCUGCUAAUGGUAUCUAUAACUUUCUGCUCUCUCUGCUCAGUUGCCAAUAGGCAUGACAAUAGGUCAUUAUAGGUGGUGAAACCCUUAGCCUUAUGUGAUAACAACAGAUCCUUUGGAUGGAAUGUGGAAUAGGUUUUAUAUAGUAAAUCCUCAUUUGUUACCACUUAACCACAUAGUUCAAGACUAUAGGCGAUUUUCAUCAGAGCAGAAUUAUAUUCGUCCACGGAUUCAAAAUUCUGGAACCUGAGAAUCUUCCAUACAUUCAUGGCUUUUCGUCAUAAUGCCAUUGAGUAUCUGGAAUUUAUUUUUGUCCAAAGGUCACAAGGAUCCUCAAUAUUUAAGUACUGAUCUCUCGGAUCCUCAGUGAGAUGAUAGCGCAUAAUUGUUAUGGCUCUAUGCUUUUCACUUUCAAUUGCAUUAUUGCCAUCAAUGAUACAUUUCCCGAGUCCUUUAGACUUCAGGAAAACUGAAGUGACCAUUACCCAUUCUAGAUAAUUAUCUCCAGAGAGAUUUAGGGCAGCAUAAUCCGAAGGCUCAAAUUUCGACAUCUGAAACAUAUUAUUAAUCAGUUCAAGAUGCAACCGAGUCAAUAAAAUCAAUGCAUACAGUUUCACAAGUCUCUCGACCAAACAAUUAACUACUCGACCAUGAUGCGAGAAAAACAAGUAUGCAAGGUCUAUAUGAUGCUUUAGGCCACACGGCCUUACAAAACUGUGAUGCAACAACCCUAGAGGUCGGAUUUUAUAUCUGAAUGCAAUCAAAGCAUCAAUCAUAACAACAAUCAUAUUCAGGCUGAUUUUUAAUCAAUGUUAGACCAGGUCAAUAAUUCUUAUGUUUUACUUUUCUUAAAACAUUUAGUAUGAUCAAGCAAUUAGAAUAAUAAUGCAAGUAUCAUCAGAUCAUAUUAGGGUUUCAAGGCCCAUUUUUCGGUUUGAUUUUAUCAAUAUCAAGCUUUACAAAAGAAUUAAAUCAGAUCAAUCAGUCAAUUUUAGCAAUUCUCUAGCAAUCCUAACAGUAAAAAGAAAAUUUCCAGCAAGUAGAAAAUGAAAUUUCAGGAAAAGGGAAAUUUUCUACUUUUAGCUAAAAGGAAAUUCACAAUUCUGGACAGAUUAUGGUUUUAAUCAAAACUAGCAAUUUUCCUAAUCAGUUCAUUCGAUAUUCAAACAAUUAAUCACAAUAUGAAAACUUGUUUAUCAAUCGAUUUAUGCAAAAAGGAAAAUUAGGGUUUUCAGCAAUUUAACAAUUUUAAGAUCAAAUUCGAUUCUAAACAGUUCUAUUUACUCAAACAAUCAUCAAAGAUAAUUCAAGGUUUUAAUCUAGCAACCUAAACCUCAGAUACAUCAAAAUCAAUCAAUCAAAACAGUCUGAUCAAUUUAGGUUUUUGAUAUUUCAGAUUUUCAAAACAUCAUAAAGGAAACGGAUCAUAUAAUUUAGAUUUAGGGUUUCAAUGCCCUUACUGAUCAAUCAAUGUUCUAGCAACCCUAACAGCCAUUGAUCUAUCAACUUAACAGGAAAACAAUCUAACCAAAACUUAGUUCUAUAUGUUAGGGUUUCUAUUAUCCUAGAUUAGGGUUCUUCAAAUUUUAAUGGUUCAGAUCUUUAUCAAUCAACCAAAUUCAGUGUAGGUUCUUUUAAGUUUCGAGUUUUACCUUUAGAAACUUAUGGAGUGUAGAUUUGGACCACCAAAGAGAGAAGGAGGCCGCGAGCUGAUCGUUCUUCGAGUCGGGUCACAGACGGGCUGCUUGCUUGGUCGGAUCACGAACAGGGAAGAAGGAGAACGUCUGGUUUACUUGAUCACGUCUAGAAAGAGCUAACUUCAAGAGAGAGAGUGCUCGGAUUUGGGUUAGGAAAACGAUUAGGGUUCCAAAGCAAAUCGGCGACGCGUACUGUAGCAGAGCAUGACGGCGCGUCAGUGAUCGGAUCGACAAGCGGUUUGCAGCAUCUGAUUCGUCUCGGCGAGAGCUUCAAUUUGAUAUAUUGCUUGUCGUCUGGGUCCUCGCGGUUUGGGAGAACGAUCUCUUUGAAGUUCCGCCGGAAUUAGGGUUUUGUGAUAUUCGGCUGAGUUUAAGGAAUUUCGUGGGGGCUUAGGGUUAGAGGUUAUCGUGCUGAUAACGUGUUAUAAAAGAGAUGCUAUGUAAGCUUAUUAUUACUCAUGACCAGAGGUCUAUAUUUAUACAAGUAUUAGACCGUCUUAUUUAGACUGUCAUAAGAGAAAAGGAAAUCCUAUUCCUAAUAGGAAUAGGAAAUAGUACUUAUCCUAAAUACAUAUGGAAAAGGAUAAACAUCAAGUAUAGAUAAAUGUAAACUCUCAUUCGCCUAAGUCAUUAGCGAAUGGGCCGGAUGGAUAGCUGAUGGGCCGGACGGUUUGGGUCUGAUAUGGGUCGAUCACCACUUGGUUUAUAACAGUCACUACAGUUUUCCAUUAAUUUGGUUAAAGUUCUAUAAGUCCUAAUUUUAUUAAGGUUUCAUAAUUUUUUUUUGCAAUUAUUACACUACCUUAUAAGUUUACAUAAUAUAUCUUAUAAUUUUAAGGUUUCUCUUAUUUUGCUAGCCACAUUAUUUUGGAAAACAUACAUCGUAUUUUUUACAAAUUUGAUGAUUCUAAAGUAUGUUAGACAUAGAUUGAUACAACUCGUUAAGCUAAACAUAUAAACAACGGGUCGAACUAUAUAUCAAACCAUACAUGUUAUACUUGUAUAACUGGUACAACUAUGUUUUAUGUACCAGAAAAGUGAUACUUGUAUUACUGGUAUAAUUAUUCAGUUUCUGAAACUUAUAUAUAUUCCAUUAGGUAUUCCAUAUGAAAAAAUAAUCAAAUGCCCAAAUUGGUAAGUGCUAAGAUAUGUUUCUUAUUAUUUUUCAUGAUUUUUUGUUUUGUUUGUUUUUACAUUAUUACACCAUCACAUAAGUUUCCAUCAUUUAUCUUAAUACUCUUAAGGUUUGUUAACUUGUUUGUCCACAUAAUUUUUGGAAAACAUACAUAAAAUAUGUAUUUUUACGAAAUUGAUGAUUUCAUUGUAAUCGGGCACAUGCAUAUAAACAUAAAUAAGUGGUAAUAGUGAGGUAACUAUAUUUAUUAUGUGGUACAAUCAAUAUUUUACGAUUUGAUUGCCAACGUACAGCUAUGCACAAACUGGUACAACUCAAAAACUAGUAUAACUAUGUUGUUAUUUAAUCAUUAUUGUUUUAAAUGUGCAUCACGUUUUAAAUUAAUGUUAGUGUAAUGAAAGUUUUUAAGAGUUUAAUAUGAUGCUAAUAUAAGUUAAAUCAUGAAAUUGCUAAAGUAGUGGGUUAUAGAAGAUGGUACAACUAGUACAACUCAUAUAAUUAAACAUAUAACUCAUAUACUAGACAUGUAAUAUUGGUUUAACUAGUACAACUUCAUAUUAUAUACCAUACAUGUAAUACUAGUACUACUGGUUCGAUUUCUUCUUUAUAGAAAUUUUAAAUUUCCAUUUGAUUUUCCAUACAAAGAAAACAAUCAAUUGACCAAAUUGGUGUGUGUUUAUAACUAUUUUAAUUUUUGUUUUGUUUUUUUUUUUUGGCAAUUAAUGUUUACUUUAUACUUUAAAGGUUUGUUUACUUGUUUGUCCACUAUAUUUUUUAAAAACAUACACCGAAUGAAUUUUAACCAAAUUAAUGAUUCGGUGGCCAAAUUGGUAGGUGUUUAAAAUGGUCUCUUCUAACUAUUUUAUAUUUUAAAAAAUAUUUUUUUGACAAUUAUUACACUAUCACAUAAGUCUUCAUGUUAUCCCUUAUAAUUUAAAGGUUUGUUACUUGUCCAAUAUGUUUUAGAAAAACAUACAUUGAAUGCAUUUUAACAAAAUCAAUGAUUCCAUAAUAUGUAAUAUCAGAUAGGUACAACUCAUACAUAUUAUUUCUAGUGGGGUACAACUAUAUUCGACAGUUUCACUGCCUAAAUACAACUACGUGCAAAAUUGUACAACCCAAACAUGGUAUAAAUUUAUACACAAUUGUACAAUUUAAUUUAAAAAUUGAUACAACUAUGUGUUAUUACGUUUGAAUUGUUUAUCACGUUUUAGUUGUGUAUUAUGUUUUAAACAUGAUAACUGUAUCAUUCAUUUAUUAUUCUCGACCUCCUUCUCGGCAUGGUACAAGAAACAAAAAUUAUUCUCGUGCUAUGGAAGCGAGAAGUCUACCGUCUAAUAUUAAAACAACUCAAGUAUUGUCGUACUUAGACUGUUAUACUACUAUAUAUUAUCAUAGUUAAACCAGUUGUACCAGUGAAACUAAUAUUAAUAUAAUUAAACUAGUAAUACUACUUAUACCACUCAUUUGCAGAGAAAAUACAACAUUGUCAUGGCUUUUAUAUCAUCAUUUACAAUAUGCUCUUUUGAAUCCUCCUUUACUGGAACAUUUUCCGGCUCCGUAGCUGUUCUUAAAGUUUCGAGAGAACAUAAGUUAAUGCAUUUUUUUGAAAAUAGUAUAACUAAUGUAACUAGUACAACUACUAAAACAAAUAAUUCCAUACUAAAUUUUACAACUAGUACAAUGAAUAAUAGUUGUGGUAGAUAAGUUUCACAUACUACACAACGAAUAAUAAUUGUGGUGGCUGAGGUUUCAGAGCCGAACCUUCUUUUCAAAGCUUGCAUUUUGUGACUCUGGGAUACCUCCAUUGGUGGUCUCGAAGGCGGCAGCUCUACAGUCUAGUCUUAGACACGCCAACUUUGGUGAAGUCUCGUUCAGAUUUUUUCUGCCACUUUUGUCCACCGGACUGUGAAGUUCUACUUCACAUGUCAACUGUACAACUAGUAUUACUUGUAUAAGUAAUAAAGUUGCAUAACUAGUACAACGGUACAACUAGUACAACGGUACAAGUAGUACAACUGUACAACUAGUAUAAUUACUAAAAAAGUUUAAAUAUUUAAAAGAUUAAAUGGAUUUGGGCCGGAUUUUGGGUAUAUGGCUUUGGAUCCGAAUUUAGGUGGUUGGGUUGAUAAAUAAGUUAAAAAUGUUAAGUAUAAAAAACAUUUUACCAAUUUUUGUAUUAGAUUUAAUUAAAAAAAAAUAUCAUAAAACAAUGAAUUCAUAUUAGAUUUUUUGGAGUCCAUGUGGUCCCAUGCUAGCAUUUGAUCCGCUUUUAUCUAUCGUUAUUUCGAGAAAUGAGUCGAGUCAUGCUUUGUUUCCUAGAAAGGACAUAGUAACUCAUGUUCUUUCAUGUCCUUACUAUUAAGGGAUCCAUCAUCUCAAAUUAGUUCUUGCAAGUUUUCCUAUAAUUAAAAAAAAAUAUCAUAAAACAAUGAAUUCAUAUUAGAUUUUUUGGAGUCCAUGUGGUCCCAUGCUAGCAUUUGAUCCGCUUUUAUCUAUCGUUAUUUCGAGAAAUGAGUCGAGUCAUGCUUUGUUUCCUAGAAAGGACAUAGUAACUCAUGUUCUUUCAGGGCAUCUGUAUUGGCAGUCCCUUAAGGCAUCCUUUAGGAGAAAGGGUGGGAACCGAGGAAGAAAGAGAAGGGAAAAGCCCUUAAUUAAAGGCUGUCCCUUACUCUUCAAUGACCAAAAAAAAAAAAAAAAGCAAGACAAGGGACUCUUUCUCCCUCUCUCUUCAUCCCACCAAUAAAGAUGUUCUUUCAUGUCCUUACUAUUAAGGGAUCCAUCAUCUCAAAUUAGUUCUUGCAAGUUUUCCUAUUUAAAGUACUGAAAACAAGAAGAAGAGGUAGACAUAACCACUCAAAGAAAAUCUCGUGUCAUUGUUAUGUUCUAAUAGCUUUCGACAGGGAUCACAUCAUACUUUCAAAUCAAGAGAAAUCCAUAAGAUCUUUUCUUGCCAAAGUAGAAGAAUGCUCGUGUCCCUAAUAAUAAAAAUUAGGUAGUGACCCGAGACAUGCUCGGGAUGAAAUAUAUAUACAAAAUGUUUUUUACAGGAAAACAGUGAAUAAAAUGCAAAAAAUGAAACUUAUAUAAUUUGUGUAAUUUUAUACUUACAAAAUUAUUGCAUUUUGCAAACGAAACUUACACACAUGUUAUUUAAAAAAUGAGAAAUUUCAUACACGAUUUAUUAGUUGGUUUCUAUAUGUAUUACCAGUUAGGAAUCUAAUAUGGGAAUACAUUUAAACUAAUAUAUUUUGAUAAAUGAUAUAUUGAAUAGAUGGAUGAUGGCAUAUGUUGUAAUUUUUCUAAUAAAUAAAAGGCUGUUUAAAAUGUAGUGUGAAAUGUCUUGGUGUUGACACAUAAACAUAACUACAAACUUGUUAAUGAUACAUAAAAUCAAGGCUUUUUUUAAAAUGCUUCUCUUUUAAUAAUAAGGUGAUCAUGUAUAGCAUAUACAUGGCUUUGAAAUAUUCCGUAAACAAAAUGGAAAUUGUCCCCCUCCUCUCUCUCUCUCUCGUAUUUUUGAGAUGGAGUCGAUCAAAAUAACAAGGAUAUGGAUGAGCCUUGUCAUCUUCAAUCAUCCUCGUCGUCCAGAUCAAGUACCAUCUUCAAUUUCCUUCUGCUAAGCGGACUUUGAGUCAGUGAAGCACCACCAGCUUCAGAGUCAUCACCGGAAUCUGCUAACUCAUCAUCCUCCAGCUCAUGAUCUGAAAAAAGAUUUUGAUCUUCUGGAGAUGAAGCAGAUGGACCAUUCUCGCUGAUGUGAACAUAUGUAUCUGAUUCUCUACUUUUCCCGGUGAUAUAGUCGUGACCACUGUCCUCUUCUUUGCUAGUGGCAAUCACAUCUGGACUUGUUUCAUUCCUAUUCACAAAAAGACUCGAGUUUAAUUAUGAGACAUCUCUCGAGAUCAAUCAAUCUCAGACGUUAAUUUUGUCAAUAAACCAGAUAACAGACAAAACAAGUGGGUACUGUUACCUCUCUGUUUUGUCUUCAGAACCUUCUGGAGAAAUCUCAUUGCUUGGUCUUGUGUGCUUCUCAAGUUUUCGUCUUGUCAUGCUCUUCCUACAAAAGACAACUCACAAGUGUUAAUUUGCAUCGUUCAAAAGACCCAAGUUCAAUCUUCAUGAGAGUCAUCUUGUUAUAACAUAUAGUUACCUUUUCUUGAAUGCUAGUAAGGUUUCGUUAUCGGAUUCAUCAGCUGAAGAGUCAUCAUGGUCAUCUUGCAGCUUCAUGCCAGCUUCUGACUUCUUACCACGAGGGAGACGCAGCCCAAGUUGCUUUAAUUUACGUGAAACUUGGCCAGUGGUAUAUGUGUUCUCAGACCCCAAUUCAUUGGCAAUUAAAUAACAGCAGCGCCUUUCGUUCUUAAAUCUGCACAUAGACAAAUAUUUGGGAAAAAAAAGGAGUCAAUAAACCUGUUGCACAUAGAGAGUUUAUGCAGAGGAGGCGAAGUUUGACCACUCACUUCUCGUAUAAUUCCUUAAUAAGUGUUUCUUGUUCUUUGCUAAAGGAACUCACUCUUUUUCUGCUGUCUCUGUUUCAAAAACAGAAGAUAAAAGUCAUUAAAGAGAAAAAUAAUGUAUUAGGGUUUGGAAAUUCUGUUAACUUUUAGGAGAUACUCACGAAGGUUUCUGAUCUGAUGCUGCCUCUACGUGAUCUGGAUCAUCAUUUCCAUUACUGCCUUUACUUGCUUCCAUAGAGUUCGUACCACGCCGAAGUCUUUUCCUUGUUUCUAGACCUAGCUGUUUAAGCUUGUUGGUUACUUGCGCAGCAGAUAUUCCACCAUCAGGAUCCAAAGUUUCGGCAAUAAGCCUGCUGCAAUCUUUAUCAUCUUUGAACCUGCAAAGACUUUUAUUUUAAUCAACCAAUUGAAUAAACUCUGAACUACCAUGGCUCACAUGUAAAAUUUUGAGUUUUACUACUUCCAGUCCCCUUAUGAAAUCCCAUGGAUCAAUACUUAUAUUUCAAAGCGCGAAAUAGCAGAAACUCCACACAGUGAUUUGUGUUAUUUGCUUCAGUAACUAACUCUACACAUCGAACAAAACAUACCUUUCGUAUAGAUCUCUAAUUUUUGUCUCCAUGUCAGCAUCAAGAACAAGUCUUCUCUUUCUUUUAGAUGGUCCUGCAGAUUCAUUUUCGACAAUGUGAUCGUCCUCACUGCAGCAAGCAAAAAUCGCAAACUUUGACAAAUAGAAAUGAACAGUUUCUUCAGCUAACAAGAGGUAUAUAAAGUAGUAUCCCAAGGGGAAGUUUUCUUACUUUUGAAACCCUUGAUCAUAAGAUAUCACAACGUCAGCUUCAUCAUCCCCAAGAGCAUCUGCUAUGUUUCUGCGGGCCCACCCUUUGUCCGAUGACGAAACAUUUUCUUGAGUUCCUGAGGCCUUUUCUUGAUUUCCCAUUUGUUUUCUUAGAUGGCCAAGUUCAUGCAACAUAUAUUCGGCAUUUAUGUAAUGGCAUUCUUUGCGACUCUUUGGGAAGAGAAUUUCCACAAAAAGAAGAGGCUGUGACUUCAUUUUCUUCAACAUAUUUCUAACCAGAUCUGUCAGGAAGGUAACUAUGUUUUCAUAGUCUUUACUAGGACAAGCUUUCUGCUCAUCAAGGAUCUUAUGGAACGUUAUAAGCAGUGACAGCUGAAAAAAAUAACACAAUAAAACAGUGAGGAAGCUGCAAAGUAAUAAAAAGAAACUUACAAUUUGGGGUGUGAUUUAAUACACUAACCUGAUACAACAUGGGAGACAGUUCCAGGUCUUCUGUAAUCCUCCGCAAAAUGCUUAUUACGUGGUGAUUCGUCUGUUUUGUGUUGCUUCUGUAAAACUUAAGCAACCAGCAUAUGUUUUGAAUGAUGCUGUUGUUUGCAAAAGCAGAAAUAAAUGUGGAAACCUUAAAAUCGACUUCAUCUGUUGCAGUUUGGUCUUCUCCAUCAGAAGAAUCGUCAGUACCGCAAGACAUAUCAUCGACCACAUGAUUUGAUUUAGGGCCGUGCGUUUGUGGAGUUUCAUCAGCUUCAGUCCCUAGGUUUGAAUCCCCUGGAUUGUUGGGAGGUCCAUCCUCAAUAGGAACUGUAGAAUCAACUACCGGUAUGGUUUUGGCGGUGCUAUCUUGGUUUGAUGUACUUGGAUGAUUUUCAGACGGUUCAUGCAAUGUGGCCUCCUUAUUUCCCAUGGGUUUCUUCUUUCUUGCCUUUCUUGAUUUUUUAGAAACCUGGGGCAUUAAAAACAGACAUUUGGUUGAAACUUUGCAUAAAUACACCUUGUAAUUAAGCUUUGUAUAUCAUCUAAUCAGAGUUCUAUAUCCAAUCAGUAACAUACCCUCAAAGUUCCACGCCCUUGAAGGUUUUCCAUAAGGCCUACUAUUAUAUGGAUGCUUUCCACCAGAUCUCCAAGUUCACUGGCAAAAAAACAACGGUGAUGUCAAGCAAGUUAAUUUUACAAGUUAGGUAAUCGUCAGGGACCAUCACACAAGGCAAAAUAUAAAAAUGAACUUUUCUAUCAAAACAUUUAACAAGUCAAACAAGAAAGCAUGCAUGCUGUCACGAAGAUGUAUAUGUUCCCAGAUUCACCGAUUGUAUAAAUCACACUACAAGAAUUGACAAAUCACUGAUGGUGCAAGAUAAAGCAUGCCCUCAAGAUUCUGGAAUAAGAAGAAACAGAAGCUGAGGCCAAACCUUUUAGGUUGCUUGUGCGUGUCAAAACUUCUCACCAGAUUCAGGAUGAACUGACACAUCCCUUGAUCAGUUUGGUCGUAAAACAACUUAUAAAGCAAGAUGCGAACAGUAAAAGCUUCUCUAGAGUCUUCAGGUCGCAAUUUAAUAACCAGAUCUAACAAGCAAAGCUGCAAAAAAGACAAGUAAACAAUGAAGAACAUGAGUCUCUGCUGCUAAUUGCUGAAUAAAAUGCAGAAAAAGUCAACAAUAACUUUUAACGUCUCCUAUUGGUAAACCGCUCAUACAUAUGCAUAUAUCUACAAAAACAUUGAGCUACAGAAACCGUUUAGGAAAAUAAAUAGACAUCCAGAAGCAACAUUAUGGUUUUAACCAGAAAGAGAUCAUGCAUAUUUUCAUACCAUAAUUUUUACUAGAGAGCCUGCUGCAGAUAGAAACUUAAAAUCUUUAGUUUCCUUCAGACCAUCAAAUGCAGUGCGCCAUUUUGAAAUGACAAGCGAAAACAUUCUGUCAUUGAUUGUUGCUGCAAUCGGCGCGCAAAUGUCACUCUUAGAAAAGUUUCCUCCGGUAUUCUGAUUGGUAAAAAGUUCAGGAGUUUCUUCGGUAUCCCUUGCUGGCUGAAAAAGAUAAUAAGCAUUUUAUAAACAACUAUCAGGGAAAAUUAAAUGCGGAAAACUUAGACAAAUCAAAGUGAGACAAAACCAACGUAGUUCAAUUACUCACAGUGGAAGCCAGAGACUUGUGAAACUGAAAAGAAGUGACUGCCUGAGCAACCUGGAAGAAUGUAACGAUGUCGCUAUUCUGAACGGAAGGAUGCUCCUUUUCUAUAUCUUCACAUACCGACUGCAUCAAAACUAAGAGAUGGUACACUGGCAUCAGUAUGAAGGUACUUAAAACCAAGUAUAAACACAAAGGUUGUUUCUCUAUUGUGUCACAUACCAUUAUAUCCUCCUGACAUAAACUGGUUGAUGAAAUCAUGCAGCAACUUCAAAACAUUGUCAUUUGUCACGGGAAUUGAUCCAUGUUCCCAGACAAUCUUCUCUCUGGCUCCACCACUUAUGUGAGGCUUUAGUAAUGUGCUUUCCUCAUUAGAAGGUAUUCCCGUCAGUACAGCUUUAGUACCACCCUACCAAAAAAAAAAUAUUAUUCAGAUAACACACAACUUACAGCAAACUUUUAAGAACCAUCGCGAGGAACAAUACCAUGGUAACUCGGGUGAAUGUCCCACCAAAUUGUGAAUGACGCUGAUUUGCAUUGUUGAGUCUUGCAAGCUUUCUUUUGGCUUCCUCCGCCUCCAUUAACUUCUUCAAACUUUCCACAGCAGCCUUUUUCCCUUGAUCCAACUGUCAAAACAAAAUGAUCGACGACAGCAUCAAUACCAAAAGAAACUCGUUUCAAUCCUGGGAACCAUAUAGAUCCAGUUGAAAGACCGACCUUCUCAGGAGCCAGUGCAAUGAGCUCCAUAUCUUGACCCAAGAGAAUAUAGUGAUAGAUCUCCAACAGAAGCAGGUUGUCAUGUCUCAACAAGUUGUUGCACUCGAUAGUCUGAGUGAGUACAAUAAAUAUAUCCAUGACGUUCUCACGGGACAGGAGCUCAAGAAACUGAUCCCUUAGCGACAAAAAGUAACAAGUGGAUUCUCCAGCCUUCUGAAGCGGCGAAAUAUCAUGGAUAGCCAGUAGAUUCCUGAACAGAGUGAGCACAAGCUGAACCAAUUUCCAAUCUUCCUCGUUGAAAUCGUCUCUGGAAGAGCAUAAAGAUGAGCACCACACAGCAAGUAGUCAACGCAAUAAGUUGGAUUAGUAACAAGAACACUUACAAUUCUAAGUUCUCUAAAGGAGUUUCUAACAAAGACACAACCACUGCAACGAUGUUGUUGCUUACAGUAAAGGCAGACUUCAAACCCCAUAGAUACUCAAUUUGCUGAGGAACAUCAUCUGAAUCAGACUCUACCGGCAUUGUGAGAAACACCAACACCUUAACUGAACAAUCAAAUUACAAUAACCAUUUAAGAAAAUUAAAUCAAAACGAAGCAGAAGAAGAACAGUACCUGCGUUUAGAACUAAGCUAUGUUCGUCUUGGUAAUGCUCUAUGAUCGGAAUCAAAUCUUUGGAGACUAUAUUCCACGCACAGACCUGCUUGAAAACGUCCCUGCUCUGAGGAUCGUCCCGUCGCAGAAACCUCAGCAAGUCUUUCAGAUUAUCUAGCGCCAGUAGAACAUUAUUCAAAAUUAAAACUCAUAGAGCUCAAAUCAGAUUCAUUGGCGAGGAAAGAAAAGUAAGAGUGGGUUACCGAGACAGUAGUCGCUUUUGGAGUACCCGAUUCUUCUUCCCUCUCCGUCUUCCUCGGGUUCGCCGAGAUCGCUGCAGAUGACUGAUAAACCCUCCAGAUCCAUCUUCUUCUUCGUUUUGGUAGAGGUUCUCUCCUCCGUAUCCAUUUUCUCCCGACAGAAAUCAAAUCGCUCUAUGGAAUCAACCAGAGACUAUAGCGAACACACAAACACCGAGCAGCUUCUGACUAGUCUCAGUGAUUUAGGGCUCUUGUGGUGGCGCGUAUUGUUUCACACAUUUUCCCGCCAUUUUCCUAUCAUCAACACACCGAAGCCCACAUGUUUGAACGGGCUGUAUGAAAGUUAAUGGGCUACAAAUAUAAGCCCAUGGACUUAAACGGCCGAAAUGUAAUCGAACCAGUACGUCGUCGUUUUAAAUCCGUUCGUGUCGUUUCCUUGUUUGAUUUUUCAAACCUACUUUAUAUGAUUUGUCACUCUUCCGACACUCUCUAAGCUUUUCCACUUUGUAAGUUCCGCCGAUAAAUCUAAGCUUUUCGACCUCUCUCCCUCCUUCCUUCUCCUGCAACGUCUUAGAGUUCCUUGAUCCUUCGGUAAUGGCUCAGGUGGUUGCUACUAGGUCGAUUCAAGGCUCAAUGUUGGCCCCCAACGGUGGAUCUCUGUCUACGAGAUCCGACAAGUUCUUGAAGCCGGCAAGUUUCGCGGUGAAGGUUCUGGGAAACGAAGCGAAGAGGAGCGGAAGAGUCUCUCUGAAAAGCAGAAGAGUGGUUGAUACUAGUGUGAGAUCCUCCGCUCGUGUGGAGACUGAAGUGGUUCCAGUGUCUCCCGAAGACGUGCCUAACGUAUGUAACCUUAUAUAAUCUAUGUUUUAGGGUUUAAUGAGAAGUUUCAAUCUAUAAAGUUGAUCUCUUUUUCUUGUAUUUUUGUGGAUUUUUAGAGGGAGGAGCAAUUUGAGCGGUUGAUGGAAAUGCAGAAGUUCAGUGACACAUCUGUAGGGAUCUGGUCCAAGCCGACAGCGAGGAGGAAGACAAAGAUUGUCUGCACAGUUGGUCCUUCAACAAACACAAGAGAAAUGAUAUGGAAACUGGCGGAAGCAGGGAUGAAUGUUGCACGGAUGAACAUGUCUCAUGGGGAUCAUGCUUCUCAUAAGAAGGUUAUUGAUUUGGUGAAAGAGUACAACGCACAGUCUAAGGACAACACUAUUGCUAUCAUGCUUGAUACCAAGGUUCGUUUUUUUUUCUUUUGUUUCAAGAGUUUUGUCUUUGCAGUCAUUUCUCUGUUUACUUUGACAGGUUCUUUUUAUGUGUUAUUAGGGUCCAGAAGUUAGGAGUGGAGAUUUACCACAACCGAUUAUGUUAGACCCCGGUCAAGAGUUUACUUUUACAAUUGAGAGAGGAGUCAGCACACCAACUUGUGUGAGUGUUAACUAUGAUGAUUUUGUCAACGAUGUUGAAGCGGGAGACAUGCUCCUUGUUGAUGGUAUGUUCAUCUCAUUACUUGGUUGGUGAAAAUGAAUAUUGCUUUGUUUCAGUUAUUUUUAAUGAUGGGUUUUGUUCCGCUGUUUUAUAGGUGGUAUGAUGUCGUUUACGGUGAAGUCUAAGACUAAAGACUCUGUCAAAUGUGAAGUUGUUGAUGGUGGAGAACUUAAGUCAAGGAGACACUUGAAUGUCCGAGGGAAGAGUGCAACCUUACCUUCAAUCACUGGUUCGACCUUCUGUCACACCCUCUUAUUUAAGUAUGAAUGAUGUUACUCUGAUGCUUCCUUUGUUGUAAUUAUUUUCAACUUCAGAGAAGGAUUGGGAGGAUAUUAAGUUCGGAGUGGAGAACAAAGUUGACUUUUAUGCAGUUUCUUUUGUCAAAGAUGCACAAGUGGUACAUGAACUCAAGAAUUACCUUAAAGGUACUGAUCAUGUCUUAACUGAAUACUUUGCCUAUGAUACUUCUCUUUUUUUUUUUUUUUGAUCUUUUUGGUUACAAAUAUUUGGCAGGUUGUGGUGCUGAUAUUCACGUGAUAGUAAAAAUUGAGAGCGCAGACUCCAUCCCUAACUUGAAUUCCAUUAUCACCGCAUCAGAUGGGGUAAUCUUUCGCAUCAACCUUGUUUGUUCUUCCUCUUUUAACAACAACAGAUUAGAGAUUGUAAUAUGAAACUGAAUAUAUAGAAUGUGCUGCUUAAUGGGAUUUGUGUUCUUCUUCUUCCACAGGCAAUGGUUGCAAGAGGUGAUCUUGGUGCAGAGCUUCCUAUUGAAGAAGUACCCAUUCUUCAGGUUAGCUCUUGCUUCUCAUUUCAGAUAAACCAGAAAACGGACAAACUUUUUCUUGCGUUUAAAAAUUAUGGUGUUGGUAUUACAGGGAAAGAUCAUUAACCUAUGCCGUAGCAUGGGAAAAGCUGUUAUCGUUGCGACUAACAUGCUUGAGAGUAUGAUAGUUCAUCCAACUCCAACCCGGGCGGAGGUUUCUGACAUUGCUAUUGCUGUUAGAGAAGGUGCUGAUGCAGUCAUGCUUUCAGGAGAAACUGCCCACGGAAAGUAAGCUGCUGAUUCUUUUUGGUAAGUAUUGAAGGUUUAUUAUAUACACGAAACUGAACUUUGCUUGGUACUAGAUUCCCGUUGAAAGCUGCUGGAGUGAUGCACACUGUUGCACUGCGAACAGAAGCCACCAUUACUACUAGUAGUGAAAUGCCAGCUAAUCUUGGCCAAGCCUUUAAGGUAAGCCGCACCAUUUGAGUAUUUAUAUCUAGGGGUGAGUCUUGCUUUACUCACAAGAAAAAUGUUAACAGAACCAUAUGAGUGAGAUGUUUGCAUACCAUGCAACCAUGAUGUCAAACACACUUGGAACUUCAACUGUUGUCUUCACAAGAAGUGGUUUCAUGGCCAUACUACUAAGUCACUAUCGCCCUUCCGGCACUAUCUAUGCUUUCACGAACGAGUGAGUAUUCCAUGUUUAUUCUUCCAGAUCAAAUGACUGUGGCAUCUGGUAAAUUUAAGAACUCAUGGUUAGAGAGGUUUUUGCUUCCGCAGGAAAAAAAUACAGCAAAGAUUAGCGUUGUAUCAAGGUGUAUGUCCCAUAUAUAUGGAGUUCUCAGAUGAUGCAGAAGAGACUUUCGCUAAUGCUUUGGCUACACUACUGGUAAAUUCAAAAGAGUCCCUUAGAAAGAAACUCAGUGUUAAAUAACUAGAUUAAACUCGGUAGACGUUGUGUGGUUGUGGGUAUAAAAGUUUGGUAACCUGUGGAUAAACAGAAACAAGGAAUGGUGAAGAAGGGAGAGGAAAUAGCGAUUGUGCAGAGCGGGUCACAACCAAUCUGGAGAUCUCAAUCGACUCAUAACAUUCAAGUCCGCAAGGUGUAAAAGCCUCUUAAGGCGUCUCAAUGUUUCACCUGGUCAGAGUGUUCUUUUAAUUUUUCUGUGAAACUGGUUUGCGGUUAAUUUUCUUUGCACGUCCUUGUAUUGUGUACUCUAAAACUUUCUGUUUACUGUUUCUUAUUCAGUUUGCUUUACCAUGAUUGUGUUUCUGGCAGACAUUUAUGGGAAGAUUUUAAUUUAGAUGAGUAAUAAAUGUUUUAGAAACGUCUAAAUACAAACCUAUAUUGUUUUAUUGUAAAUUUGAAGAUGCAACCAAGUGUGUAAGGACUAUUAAAGAUCAGAAAAUUAGGGGAAAAUUGACUUUUUAAUCCUAAACUUUAAAAAAUAAGCCAAAAAAAACCAUGAACUCCAAAAUACGUCAUUUAAAUCAUGAACUCUUAGUCAAACACGAAAAAAACAUGAACUAUCGUUGACCAAGCCCAUUUAACUCCAUAAUUAAUCAGCCGUUAAUUAAUAGCUAACAGACGUUAAAUGUCUAACCGUUGUCAUUUUGACAAAACGAAAUAACCCUACUCUAGACCCAAAAAUCCCUAAUUCAUCUCCCUCAAAUCUCUAAUUUUUCAUCUAUUUCUCUCUUCACAAAACACAGAGCUCAAUCUCAAACAUCUCUCUAACUCAUCUACUUCUUCAUAUCUUUCUCUAGCAUCAUGAACCGUGGAACAUAUCCAUGGAACACACACAUACACACUAUCAUACAGACAAUGAAAAUCAAUUGAAUAUUGUUGAGCGCAGUGGAAGAAGAACAAAAUAACAUACACCCGAAUCGGAAAUAGACCACCUGAUAAACACCAAACAAAUUAUGAGGGGGAAAUGCUGAGGAAGAAGCCCAAGUUCAUAUAGAAAUAAACUCAUAAACACUCAAAAGGGCUUUGUCAAAACGACGAAAUUUAAACACUUAACGUCUGGUAGCUAUUAAUUAACGGAUGGUUAAUUAUGGAGUUAAAAGGCUUGGUCAACGAUAGUUUAUGGUUUUUUUGCGUUUGACUAAGAGUUCAUAAUUUAAAUGGCCUAUUUCAGAGUUCAAGAUUUUUUGGCUUAUUUUUGAAAGUUCAGGGUUAAAAAGUCAAUUUUCCCGAAAAUGAAGACAAAAUAAGUAUAAGGAUGAAAUUAAAAAUAGGCAAACGGUUUUUGGGAUGGAAAUUUGCCAUGUAAAAUUCUUGAUAUGCAAACUUCUGGUCUUGGCAAUUUAAAUCAAUUAAUACGAUUAACUGGAGAUUUAAUAUAAAAAAAAAUCAAAGUAUUCUAGCUCCAUCUUCUAUGACUGAAAAUCAAGGUCUAUCAGAAGCUUUUUAAUCUCAAAAUUAUUUUGUUAAGAAAAAAUAUAGAAACACAAAUUAUGCAAACUUCUGCUAACAACAGUCUACUACAUUGACAAGAUUUCUUUAAUUCAAUUACAAUGAUUCUAUCUAUAUUACAGAUUUGGAUUAUUUGGUCCUGUUUACUACACAAAUUUCUAACAUAUACAACAACUCUGCUCAAUCCCAUUUCUUAAUGAUCAUCAUUCCAUAUUCCCAUUUCCCCUUUUAAUUCAAGCUUCCAUUUCAUUAUCAGUGGAACUUCAAUGUAGUCCUUACUUCCAGUUUAAAGUCUUUAAGAUUACAAAGGGGAAAGAGUUUACCUAAGAAUCAUCUUGAAACAAAGCCUUUGGUACUGAACUACGAGGCAAAGACCCACCCUCGUGUUCAUCUUUCUCAUCAGUUCGUGUUCGUUUGUUAUCUGUUGUCGUCACUGGUGUCUCACAGACUCUGUCAUAUUCCACUGACCUUUCUUCUUUCUUCCUUUUGGCCAUUCUCUUUUGCUGAUCCGCUUUGUCUCUAGAGUUCUUCGCUUGUUUCGGUGCCCAAACUCUACAAAGAUCAGGCAUCCAACUUGUGAAACUCGAGAAUCUUCUUGCCCUCUCCCUCCUUUCUUGUGCUUCAACCACUUUCUUAGCUUCUCUGCACUCCCUGGUCUCUUUCUUCAAAUAGUUCUUCUUACUCGAACCGGGAACAUCUUUACGUCUCUGGCCACGAUGAUGACUCUUGAUAUUGCUAUGAAUGUUAUCUCUCCCUGAUUGACUACUGUCUUCAUUGUUCAUGAAACUAUCUUCAAGAUCCUCGUCACUGAACAUAAGCAGAUCCAUCUCUGUAUAAAUUAUGCUGACAGCUUCUCCAAGAAUAUGUUGAUACCUGAGAAGGGCAAGUCAAUGGCAUUAGCAUAAAUAAACAUUCAAAAACUUCUAUACUUUCUGAGAAUGGGAUUGUACAUACCUAUCUUUAAUAAUUUUGUCCACAUACUUAUCAAGGCUCCAAUCACUAAAGAAUCCACCGUCUAACUUGCACUGGAUGGCCUCAAGAAGCAUGCAAAUCUGUUUUGCAAACUUCUGAGUCACAGACUCCUCACUUCCCAAACCUAUCUCUGAUUUUAAAAUCUCCAUUCGGAAUAGAAUCUGCAGCUCGUAUCUUAUAGCAAAUCAAAGAAAACAAAACAAUAGUGCCAACAGAAUAGAUAACAUAAAGAAAGCAUCAGUAAAUGGCACAAGAUUAAAGCAUAAGAAUUAGUGCGUAGUAUAACCAAACAAAGCAAAAAGGAUACUCUCUAAUGAUGCUACUGGGUGAAGCUUCAUCAGACUUUUGCUCGCUUGCCGUGGAUGAUAAAUGUUUCUUCUUAAACUUGGCAACUAAAUCUUUCGGUUCUUUCAGUAACAUCUUGGUUAGCUCCUCAGUCACCAACAAGAGGCUUCCACUCUCACAGCUAAAAUCCUUCUCAAGUCUUUGGGAAGAAUGGAGGAGACAGGACUUGACCAGGCGCUCGGCCAGAGCUGCCAAGUCUAUUUCCUCAGACUCGAUCCCUUGCUUAAUUUUACUAGGAAGACUAGCAAAGAAAAUAUCCGAUGACUCUGAUGCUAUAACAGAUAUAUCAUUCUCCUGCCUUACGGAUAUACGAUUUCCACUUAAAGCAAUGUCCUCCUCAGAUACAGGUAAGGAGGUAGUCUUUUCUAUCCCUUCGGAUGAGUUAUGAUUUUUGUCAUCUGGAUCUGCUUGCACAUCCUCCUGUGCAUCGCAAUUACUACCCAUCGACAAACUGCAACCUCUGGGUUUCCUAGUCUGUUUCAUCCAACAUUUCAGAAACUUAAAUUUCUUCGAGUUGCUUAACUUGGAAAAAUAUGCAUCCUCUAUAUCUAUUUGACCAUAACCUUUCACUGAUCUGCAGAACUCCUCCCAGCAAAUGUCAUGAAAUGAAUUCAGAAUCUUUUUGCUUGGUUUUCUUUUAUUUUCGCUACAACUAACUUUCUUACUGCUAUCUUCAUGAUCCACAGUUUGAGGAGAGACUUCACUGUCAAAAACACAGAUUAAAGCCGAGGAGAAAGUGAAGGGCUUGAGGAUUCCUGUCCGAGAACCACCUUUUCUAUUCGUAAGAGAUACCAAAGCUGAGUAACCUUCCCUGUAGAGAUAACUUAAUAAGAUCUGCCAAAUGGGCGAUGACUUCUUCGCUACUUUCUCACCCGUCUCCUUCUCUAGUAUCUGAAGAACCCGAUCAGCCCAGAAUCCACUCUCCUGCUCCUGCUUUUUGUCUGAUUCCUGGGAGACUUGAUGAACAACAAAAGAAUCACAAGUAUAGCCCUCAAGUUCGACAAAAUCAUCACACAUCCUCAAGGCUUUAAUACUGACUUUGGUGACUCCAUUGCAGAACUCUCCAAUUAGAGAUUCUGAACAAGGUUCCUCAGAUGCACUACCCAAGUUGAUGAACUCAUCACACCUCUUCCCACUAGAUAUUUCAGAAGAAGAAAACUCUAGCUCGCCGCACUUGCAUUCCAUUGGCUUACCAUCAAUAUCAGCAAUCUCGAGACUGGCCUGAACAGUAAACUUGUGGCUAGUAGAUAGCAUUGGCGAAACACCGAGUGUUGGGUAUAUCAGUCCAAAGGGAACGAUUAAAGAACCAUAAACCAACGAAUCCGUAGAGCAAUGUCCCCAACCAAAUCCUCUAACUCCACUAUCGAAAAACUCAGACUUCAAUCCUAGUUCGCGUCUUUCACCAAAGCUAACAUCAAUCCAGCUCAAGUGAAUAUCUCUAUCGUCAAACAAGUCGUUCACACAAUCAAAAACCUCCCCAAACUUUGACUUGAACAAACUCAACUCGUGCAAACACUCAUCGUUACUCUUAACAUCAAGAAACUCAGAAACCCAUUUCAAAUCCCUAGAAAUUGGGGAAAACAUCACGACUAGAUUCGACCUAACGACAUCGACUCCUCCACCAUCCGUAAAUCCAGGAAUCAAACCUCGAACCACAGGCUCCCAAGCGUAAUCGUAAACGAUCUGUCGCAAAGACGCCGCGACAUUGACCCCACGAGGCGAUGUUGACGUGGAAGGCGAUCGGAGUUCGCAUCGCUUAACGGCGUCGAUGGCGCGUCUGAGAGAGACGAGUGUAGGGGUAGGGAGGUCAAACGAGAGUUUGGAAGAUGGAAUUGAGAGUGCAGAGAGCUUCGAGGAGGAUAAGAGAGAAGAUAAAGAAGAGAUGAAGAACUUGAAAGAGAAGAGAGAAGCGGAGAGAGGAGGAAACGAGAGGAGCUUCUCGGCAGCGGAGAUUACGACGGCUAGGUAUUGAUUCGAAUCGGGUGAGAGUAGAAGCGGAUUGAGAUCUAUGAGGAGGAUGAUACGCUGCGUUUUGGCGUAUAACAGAUCUCCAGCCAUUGAAAUUGAAACAGAGAGAUCGGAUUUUAGAUUUGGGGUUGAAGAAGAGAGGAGAGAGGUUUAUCGUUUUGGCGGGAAAAUCAUGUUGCCAAAAUUGACAGAAUUGUUGGGCCUUAAUUUUAUUAAGCCCACCAGUAAAGGGAAAAUUCAAUCUGCUGACGUGGCAAGUUCUAUACAACACUAUCGUCCGUCCCCAAAGAUAGAACGAGAACAAGUUCAUCGACUUGCUUCAAAUUUUCAGAUUCUUCUCGAUUGAUUGUCCGGGAAAAUAGCAGUUUUCUCGGUGAAUUUUCUUAUCAUGAACUGCGUCUCUGCGUUCAAGUUCGUACCAUCCGGUGUUCUAUUACCAUGUGCACAAGCAAACCUUCACAUUUCGAGCUCGAAUGCCUCGUUUACGCACAGAUGGCGUAGUUUCGCUUCUUCUUCCCCAAUUCGAAGGAAGACCCUAACCCUAGUUUCUGCGAAAUCUUCGGAAGCGGAGGAGAUAUCCGAUACGGAGGACGAGUGGCUGAAGAAGCUACCGGAGAAGAACAAGCCACUGUAUUCGCAUAGCUUGCCGUGCAUCGAGGCGUGGCUGAGGAAGUUAGGGUUUUACCAGAGCAAAGACGAUAGAGCUGUUUGGUUGAUUCAGAAACCUGAUUGGCACGCUCAGUUAUCUCUUGACGUCACUGAUCUCUGCAUAAGGUACAGAGUCUUAUUGAGUUCGUAAAAAUUUCUAUUUUUUUUUAAUAGUCUGUGAAUGUGAAUGUGAAUGUGAAUGUGAAUGUGAAUGUGAAUGUGAAUGUGAAUGUGUUGUUUUGACAUUAAAGUAGUGUCUUUAAAAGACGAGGAGGAUACUGACUCUGGAUAAUGUUGUCAAGUUUAGUACUUCGCAAGUGCAUGUAUUGAAUCCUUGUUCGGUGCUAGUACUGUGGAAGCCAUGGUUCUUGCUUGUGAGUAUCAGUAAUAUGCUGUUGGUUCGAUCUAGGCUAUAUCUUAGCACGAGCUUUGAAUGUUUUCGUUUACUGGAAUUGAGAUUUGGAAAGCUAAAUAUGAACGUGUGCAACUCAAUUGAUCAAACCAAAUAAGUCUAGACAUUGACAUUCCCUUUGAGAGUGUGUGUUUAAUCCACCAAGUUGGGAGUUACGCAGAUUGAUUUGUAACACAGGUACUUGAAAAGCGGGCCGGGAAAUCUAGAGAGAGACAUGGAAAGAAGGUUUAGCUAUGCAUUGAGCAGAGAAGAUACUGAGAACGCCAUACUCGGAGGACCUUGACGAAUAAAGAGUUCGUUGAACAUCUUUCUUCUUAAACCUAUACUUAUGUUACUCCAUUAGUUUUUAUGCUGAUGAAUUUGCUUCUUUGAUAAAUAAAAGAAAUAAAAUUAAAACUUUUUUUUAUUCACGAUUCAUAACUUGACAUGUGAAUGUAAAAGUUCGUAUGCAUUUGCAUUUGGAGAACCAAUGUGCACACCUUAAAAGAAUAUCUGUUGAUCCGUAUUAUCAUUUCUGAGCGAGGAGCUCCUCUACAAUGUGUAUAUAUAAUCAUUUUUGAGCAAAGAGUCUCCUCCAGAAUGUGUAUGUACAUAUGUCCAUACAGACCGCUUCUAAGCAAUUAUCAGAGACCGUAGAGAACCAUUUUGACUUGUAAAGAUACCCUUUGUGAAGCUGAGAAAGUACAACUAAAUUUCACAAAAGCUUUGCUUCAAUUGUUUAAACAUAUAAAAGAUAUAAAAUUUCAUAAGAUAAAAAAAAAACUUCAUAUGUAUUUUGACAACUUUAAAAUCGUGUGUUUUGGACUAAAAUUUCCCAAAAUUGGGUUACUAUGUGGAUUCGAAGCUUAAACCUCUACAAAUAUCUUUCUCAGUAGAACUGAAACGAGAAGGCAAAAAUCAAAAAGUUCUAUUGAUUCUUCUUAAUAGUGGGAGUGAAUGACGAAUUUGAGGAUGAGGAUGAUGAUGAUGAUGAGUUAGAGCUCUGAAUCUGAUCAUCUUUAGAUGUUUUGAUUAUAAACAGAAGUGUUUCCACAAGCAUCGCCAAAACUAACCCAAGUAUCCCACCAGCAGCACUCUGAAACCCGAAACACGCAAUGAUUCAAAAAUCACACUUUAACCAUAUGAUAGGUUUCAAGAAAGAAAAAGAGAGCACAAAGAAAACAAUUACGAGAGCGGGGUUGCGGUUGAAUAAAGCUCUGAAGGAAGCGUAUCCAACCAAAUACCCAGUGAACAUUGUAAGACCAACGUGUAAACCUAUCAAAAACGAAAUUCAUCAGUGACGUAAUGUGUAAAUACUAUUCCAAAGAAAAGUUAUCAAGGAGAAGGGAGUGAAAUGGGUUUACCAAAACCGAGCUGGUCUUUGUAAGAAGAGAAAGGCUCUUCAACUUGUUUCCUAGGUGUUAUAUCUUUAACAAGCUCAGCGUAUUCCUUCCUCUCUGCUAUUUCCCUCAGCUUAAGCAGUCUCAGUUUCAGUUCUUCACUCUACCAGGAGCAACGAAUCAAAUCAAAUUAAACAUCAAAUUCACAAAGAAAUGGUAAGACGUGCAGAAGAUAUAUAUAUAUAUAUAUAUAUAUAUAUAUAAUGAAUUACUUCCUCGCCUCGAUUAUUCCCAUUAACCAAAACAAAAAUGGAUUCAAGCAAAAACACAAUCGUGCCCAUCUUCACAAAUGAUAACUAGAAAUGUUCCAUGAAUCAUUCGCGUUGUUGGCCCCUAAAAUUUAAUAUGAAUGAGCCUGAUUCUACAAUCGAACACGGAUGGGAAUACGAAAUCCCCAGAAAGAUCAAUCGAAAUCGGAUUCCACGUAACAUUCGAACUUCACAUACCUUUUCCCUGGGUUUGGGACUGGUGAAUACGAAACCGGAGCCGGAGAAAAGUCCCAACAAAUCCGGUCUGGUCGAGGGAUCGGAUCCGGUCCAUAUAGCGCGCAGCAAUUUGUAAGGGACGGUGUUCCUCGACCGCAGAUCCGAAGCGAUAUCUCUGAGUUCGUCGGAGAGACGACGAUCAUCGCAGGCCGACGCGAGAAAAGAUCGCAGCGGUUCGGUGACGGAGAGAAUCAGGCCAGACGCAUUUCCCGGGUCGGGUUGAUCCAUCUUUUUGAUCGAGAUGGUAUUCGUUUCUCACGCGCUCUACAAGAUCUCGGAGUGAAAAUCACGCGCGAACAGUAGUAGCAUGCAAGAAAUGGGCUUCGUUUCGGCCGGCCUUUAAAGAGUCUCUUGGAUCGUCGGAUAUGAGCAGGGUCAAGUAACCCGAUCCAAAAAUAGUAAGUAAUUUUAUCACGUGACAAUCCACGUAGAAACAGAGCCGUGAAAAGUUGAGGGUGUUCUUGUAAAUAUCAAAUGGUGGUUUCACUUUCACGAAGACGAAGUGAGAUGAGUGAGUCACACUGUAUAUUCUAUUCAGAACCUAUCGUUGUCGCUGCUUCGUCUUUCUCCAAAAACAGUUGAUAGAGAGAGAAUCAGCAGAAAACCAAAAUCAUCUAAUCUCUCAUAUUCGAUCGAUAUCUCGCAACAUUAAUUAUCCUUUUGUUGCGAUUCCAUCGAGGAUGAUUUCGAAUCCAAGCCUAUUAUCCUAUACUUGCAUCGCAAAAGGAACCGUCGUCCUCGCCGAGUUCGCGUCAGAGGAAGAGGCAGGAAUCGAAGACGUAGCUUUGCGAUGCAUCGAGAACACGCCUCCGCACCAUUCAAUCUUCUCUCACACCGUUGGCAAGAAGACCUACACAUUCUCAAUCGACGAAGAAUCCUUCGUGUAUUUCGCGAUCCUCGACGAAGCGAUGGAGAAACCGGAAUCCUUCUGGUUAUUGAACCGGUUGAGAUCAGCUGUCGAAGAUCUGGUCAGAGGAGGGGAGACGUUGACCAAUCCUUCUCCUCGUUGUCUCCAAGCUAAGAUGGAUCCAGUUUUCGCGGAGAUCGUUGGUGGUGUUGAUGUGGAUUUGGAGCUGGACAUGGAUUUGGUUGGAUCUCCGAGGAGCGUGGCCAGGGAUAGUCGUAACCCUAGCAUUGAUUCAUCUAAAGGGAGGAGAGCGUCGCUGAUGCCGCUUCUGGGGAAGCAAUUGAAGGCCUUGAAGAAGAAGAAUAAGAGAUUGCAUACGGAAGAUUCCGGUGACGUUGGCAUGAUCAAGGAGACGUCGGAGAGGAAGGUGGAUUUGUGUGGGAACGGGAACGGUGGAGUGUCACGCAAGGAACUGAGAAAUGGUUUGUUAACAGAUCAUCAUCAUCACAGGCAAAAGGCGAAACAGAUGUGGAAGAAACAUGUGUGGUUUGUGUUGAUCUUCGAUUUCUGCAUCUGUGCUCUUCUCUUCGGAAUCUGGCUUUGGGUUUGUGAAGGGUUCCAAUGCGUCAAUGGGUAAAGUAAUCAACCAGUCUCGGUCUGUACUUCUUCAUAUUCAUUUUGUUCUCAAGCUGCUUCAGCAUUUGAUCACUAUCAGUUCAUUCUUCUUCUUUUUUCCUCCUGAGCCUAAGUGCAUAUAGGUAUUCGUUUUUCUGGAUCAAAAAGUCUGAUCUUUUUUUUCCCUCUCCUUUGUCAUUUUUUUGUUUUGUUAUUUUUUAAAAUCACAACAAAGUGUUGUUUCCAGGAUGAAACUUAGGUAAGUUGAGUCCUGGCUUUACAUGUUAGUGAUAUGUUCAUUGUACUUUGAAAGUUAUCAUUCACAAGCAACAUGUGUGUUGUAUUAUUGUAUAUCUCUUUUUUUCUCUUUUGAUGUAUACUCCCAUAACUUGUGUGCUGUGAUUAUUGAACAUGGGUCGCACAAUAAUAGAUGACGAAGAAAGAUGGUUUCAGAUCCAGUCGCACGUUACACUGCUUCUAUGGUCGGCGGAUUUAAAAGAAAACAGAAAUAUUCCAAAAGUAAGGUAACUCCAGUACCUAACUCAGUCUAAGGUUUACAUUACAAGACAUAAUUGAAAGAAGAGGAGGAUUCGGAAAUAAGUAACGAAAGAAGGAGGGAGAAAGUGUUGUAUCUUCUCAAUCUCAUGUUCAGCCACAAGGAGUGAGUUUCUUGUUACCUGCACCACGAGGAUUAUCGUCCUUCCAAUCAUCGAAAGCCCUAGCUUUCAUCACAGCUUCUUCAUCUUCGUCUUCAUCUUCUUCAUCCUCUUCCUUUCUUCUCAGAGGCCUAUCAUUGUGCCAUGAGGUGGUUGCUUCUUCAAUGGCUUUUUUGGUCUGUUCUUGCCAAUCAUUCAUUAUAUUCAUCUCUGUUAACCCAGCAUCCUCUAUGCUCAUCGUCGGCAUCCUACAAAGCCCCCCCAAGUUUAAGCACCUUUUUAAAGGUAUUUGCGAUGAGUUGUGACUCUGUGUUUACCUGUGACUUGGUUGGAAAACUUGGGCUAUCAUCCUCUCUCUCUCCGUAGAAAGAGAUCCAUUCACAAUGCUUGCUGGACCGAAUAUAAGAGGUUGGUGCUUGUGCUCGUGACCCUGUGAUACUGAGGCUCUCCCUUCUAACACAUCUUGUGCAAAUGUAGCACAAGUGAUUGGUUGCGCCGGUCUAGAGUACUGUACCCUCGCAGCAGCAUCUUUGUGCCAAGUUUCAGCCUUCUUUGUGCGAUCAUCAAGUGCAUCCCGAGAAAACACAUCCUCUCCAUCCUGAUCAUCAUAACACCAUUUUCUUAGAUUAUCAAAGAGUCAUAGUACCAUGUAAAGAAAGAAAGCAAACUUACCUUCAACUGUUUUUCCUUGAUUGCAGAGAGCAUUUCCUCUUCUCUCUUUAGCAUUUCCAACAGAUCAAUAGCCUGCAACGAAGCUUAACCAUCAGAUAAAGGCCACAUCUGGUGACAAACCAUAGAGGAUUCCACUAAUGAUGUUUAGACAAACCUUGCAAAUAGCCAAGUUUAUUGUGGCGAGCCACGCCUGCAAAGAAAAGACGUUCAAGAAAAAGGUUAGCAGUAAUCUGAUUUACCAAAAAAAAUAAUAAUAACACAGAGCACAAAAACAAAACUGUGGACGUACAUCUCUUUCUUCUUCGCUGUCAUCAUCUGGAAUGUCUUCUUCUCCAGAUUCAACCGGAGUUGACAAGGCAGCAGCCCUUUUUGAACGCCAGCGUCGCUCCUUCCUCUCUUUAAUCUCAAGGAGCUUCGCCUCUGCAGCCUUCUGACGUUUGAACCGAGCUAUCUAUAAAACAUGGAAGAUUAUGAAAAUCCGAAAAACAUAACAUAUUCUUCUCAUUAGAAUGCAAACACAAAGAACGGCGGUGGAUGAAUAAUCUACCUUGAGAGCUCUCCGAUCAGCAGGUGGAGCAGAACCUCCUCGUGAAGAAGCCUCCAACUCCUCUUCCGGAACAAGUUCCAUUGCCUCACAGAAGGAAAAGAACUCCUACACACAUAAUAAAGACUCAAUGUUCAAGAAUACCCACUAGCACUAACAUCAAAGUGAUGCAACAAGCUGCAGACACUAAGCAUACCUUCAACUUAGCAUACGAAGCCUUGACAAUCGGAAUCCGGUCCUCCUGUUUGAUUUUCUCUGUCAACUCCGCAAGAUAGAAAGGUACCUACAAUCACAGCCUUCGUCACUUCAAGAAAAUGUCGAUACAAACACACACAAAAUCUUAUGAUCUCUACACAAUCGGAGCUUUAGUAGCUAGAGAAAGCAACUAUAGACACGUCCUCUCACAGAAACAUAAAGCCAAACAAGAGAAACAAUAGAAGAUCAUACCAAAAGAUACUUGAGAUUGUUGGUGCUGAUAUCUUCCUUAGUCUCGUUAGAAGAGAAGAGCCCCAGCUUCCCAACCAUGUCUUCGCAUUUCUGUAACAUCUCACAUCCUUUCUUCACAACAUCCUAACACACAAACCUCCUCCGAUUCAGUAAAACUCUUGAUUCCGAAGAAUCCGUUUCACAUAUAAUCAAUAAAUAAAUAAAACCCUAAUCGAAUUCGUAUAAUAGGUAGAAGCUUUCCAACCUGAUCGGCGCGGGAUUCUGAAGCCCCGAGAUGAAUCUUCCUUGCUUCCUCGAACAACGCCGAUAAUGGCAUCUCCUCCAUAGCUAGACCACCCAUCACUGACGAAACUUACAAUACGAGAAAAAAUGAUUCGAGUUUCUUCGAGAAAGUGGAUCGGUGAAAUCUGAGAAAAAAUGUUGUUUAGGGUUCAACUUAAAAUAAUCUGAACUAAUUAUUUUAAAAGGACGGAUGAGAUUUUCCCACGUCAAGUCAAAUGACGAUAGUCAGAGUUAGUUUCAGCCGUUAGAUCUGUGGACAAUUCUUUAACCGACUCAGUUGUAAACAUUCCGGCCCUGUUCGUUUGUACAUCCAGAAGAUGCAUCCACAUGGUCCAUCUAGAUAUUUUAUCCAGAUGCUCUAUCUAGGUGUUGUUCGUUUCUUCAUUUUGUCCAUGCAUCCAGAUGAAUCAUCUGAAUGUAACUACGUUCGUUUGCUUUUCAUUUUUUAACUUUCAUCUGCAUCCAGUGGACUUGUUAAUAAAAUGAUUAAAAUAUAACUUUUUUUACGUUUCGGCGAAAAAAUAGCAUUUUUACGGUUUUGACAGAAAAUAUUUUUGCGGUUUUUGAGGAAAAAUGUGUUUUUGGCGAAAAAGUGCAUUUUUGUUGUUUUGGCGGAAAAAUACGUUUUUUGUGGGUUUGGCGGAAAAAUACGUUUUGCGGUUUGGACGGGAAAAUUGUGCUUUACGGUUUUGGCGGGAAAAAUGUUUUUGACGGGAAAAGUUAUUUCGCGAUUUUGGUGGAAAAAACAUUUUCGCGAUUUUGGCGGGAAAAGCAUUUUUGCGGUUUCGACGAGAAAAUACAUUUUUUCCGGUUUUGGGUGGGAAAAUACAUUUUUCCGAUUUUGGCGAAAAAAUGCGUUUUCCAGUUUUGCCGAGAAAAUGUGUGUUUUCCAGUUUUGGCGGGAAAAUUCUGUUUUCCAGUUUUGGCGGGAAAAUUCCAUUUUCCGGUUUUGGCGGGAAAAUUCUGUUUUCCGGUUUUGGCGGGAAAAUGCGUUUUUCCGGUUUUGGCGGAAAAAUUUUGCUUUCCGGUUUUAGCAGGAAAAUUGUGUUUUCCGUUUUUGACGAGAAAAUGCAUUUUUCCGGUUUUGGCGAGAAAAUGCAUUUUUCCGGUUUUGGCCGGAAAAUGCUUUUUGGAGUUUGGCGGGAAAAUGCGUUUUUUGGGUUUUCGCGGGAAAAUACGUUUUUUUUUUGUUUUGACGGGAAAAUGCGAUUUUUCGGUUUUGGUCGAAAAGUGCGGUUUUACUGGUUUGGCCGAAAAAUGUCUUUUUAUGGAAAUGUGUGUUUUACAUUUUUUUGCGGAAAAACGCAUCUUGCGGUUUUGGCGGGAAAGUGUGUUUUUUCAGUUUUUGCGAGAAAAUGUAUUUUUUGGUUAUAGCAGAAAAAUGUAUAUGCAAAAAAAUAGAAUUUAGGGUUUGAAAAUAAUAUUUGAAUCUUAAAAGGCCAUUUUUGUCAUUUAUCAUUUUGGACUGAACUAGAUGCAUCUGCAUCCGGAUGCACCAUCAAGACUAACCUUCAUUUGGGUGAGAAUUUGAGAUGAGUUUUUAAAAAUUCGGCUGGUUGAUCCAUCUGGAUGUAGCAUUAUAAUGCACAAAACGAACAUCGAUUUGCCUCUUUAUCCAAAUGGAUCAUCUGUGAGCAAACGAACAGGGCCUCUACCUCCAAUAUCUAGUGCGAGUGGGUGUAGCGUAAACCCGUAAGUAAUUGGUUUCUUGCCGCACGAUCUAAAACAUCGACGGCCAAUAAAAUUAAUGUAUAUAUAUAUAUAUAUAUAUAUAUGUUUGGUUUUACUUUUAUUUAUUUUUUGGCUAUAAAAUGGUUUACUUCAAAUUCGAUACCAUCUUUUUUUUUCCAGCAAACAAAGUUCCCAGCUUUACAGAUUUCAUCAAAAGGGGGAAAAAGCUUGAUUGAUUCUCGAAGAAAGAUCCCAAGAGAGAAGCCUAUCUAAACAAUGCCUUUCUUUCUCACGAAACCUUCUUCUCUGAUUCAACACUUUAAUUUACAGGUACUUCAAUCUUAAUCCUUACACUACUUUAAAUCUCUUUCUCUGUCUGAAUAUCAAUCUUAACUAGUUGAUUUGUCUCUGUCACAUCUCUAUUGGAGAUUCUCAAUCUCGAUUUCAUUUUGGAAAAUAAUGCAUUUGGAUUUUGAUGUAUGUCUGUAUCUGGAAAUUCCUUUGUAUUUCACUAUUUCAUUGGGAUGAAAAUAGUAAGUGUUAGGAUACAUUAAAAAAAAAUUGAUGGUUUCUUUUACAUGUGCUGUGUAUGAUAUGAUAUAGUUCUCAAGUGUUUGCAAUAAUGCGUCAACAAAGGCCCAUUAUAAGAAAAAGCUGGAAAAUUAAGGAUUUAUUUCUUAUGUAAAUUACAAAAACUCUAAAAAGUGUUAUUAUUGAUAGUGAAAUGGAAUGAUUGCAUUUACUUGGUCCACUUUUAGAUAUCUCUAAAAACAUUUGUGGUGUAAAAGUCUUUUUAGUUCUAAAUCAUCCAUCAAUUCAUACCAGCUUUGUUGAUGAUGGUGAUGAGUAUUUAUGUCUGAGAAACAGUAUUUACAUAAACAAAAUAUACAACAGACUUUUCUAUCUCUGCACCCUUUGUAACUUUUAAGAUUAAAAAGUUUUUCACUGUUAAGACUCCGAUUUUUUAGGUUCAGGGAUUUCUAACUUCACUCUAUUUUUUAUUUUAAAAUAGAAUUUAGAGCACAAAUGUGUAAUGGUACUCUAUUUUUUACUCUAUAAUAUAAUAAAAAAUAGGUUUAUUUUAUAUAUAGAAUAAGUUGUUGUUUUUUGUUCAUCAUUCUCUUUUUCAUUCUAAAAUAAAGUACUUUUGGAAUAUAUCACAACUCUGUUAUAGAGUUAUUCUAUUUUAGAGUAAAAAAUAGGGUGAACCUUUGGAAAUAAUUUCUAAUGAGAUGGAUCUUACUACAAAAACCUAGUUAAGUAAUCUCAGUUAUUAAUGGUGACUAUUGAAGACGAAUGAAUAUGUAGUUUGGUUUUGCUUUCCAUACCAACCAAUCGUUAUUGAAAUGAAAUGUCAAAAACAAAAAUUAUAAAGAGCAGGUGGGGACACAUCUAGGGACCUUGUGUUAACAGAAAACCAGGAGAAGCAUACAUUUUUCUUGCCUUUAUCUAUCUGUAAGGAUGAUCUUACAUUACAUGAUUCUUUUGACAGUGUUUCUUUUACAUGUGUGUCAGAUAUUUUAUUUUAUUUACCUAACUUUAUUCCUCUGCCAUUACUAUCUGAAAAAGAAGAAUAAAAAGCUUAUGUAACUCCCACCCCAACAAUAGAACAUGCCUUACCACAUGUUCUUCCCUGUUUUUCCUUGUGCUAAGACUUUGCAGUUUCACUCAACCUUUGCUUAAGAUCUCGGUCAUCUUCUUCUAUGGUUAUGUUCUUCUUUCUUUUGGUUUCAUUUUGAAUCCUUUUUGGUUCUUGCAUUUGAUGUUCUUCUGAUUCUUUGCUUUUGAAUCUAAUUUUCACAUUCAUUUUUAUCAAAAGUUGCUCUGAUAGGAGUUUUUUUUUUCUGUUUUCUUAUCCUGACAGAUGGAUGAUAAAAAGGAAAAUGCAUCUUGAGAUUCAGAUUUAGUCAUAUCUACAGAGAUUAGAGAGCUUGGUUUUGUGUUGUUGCUCUUUUGUUUUUUUAUUAAAGAGCAACAACCAUGUCCAUGGGAGAUGAGAAACAGUGUUGUGAGAUGAAGAACAAAAUGAUGCUAUUCGCUUUGCUGAUUAGGAGAAUCUUUGAUGAAGAGAAGGGUAAUCUUCUUCAGAGGCUAGAGGAUGCCAACAGUGAGAUUACAGAGCUGAAGAAACUGAGAAACCAAGAUGCAAAAGCUAACGAGAAGGUAGUUAGCAUAAUCGCGUCUCAAAAACAGAACUGGUUAAAGGAGAAAUACAGACUAAGGCUGCAGGUUGAAGCUCUGAUGAGGGAGCUAAGGAACAUGGAGAAGAGGAAGAGAACAAGCUUAUCUGAGUUGCAAGAAAGACUAAAAGAAAAGGAUGGUUUAGUGCAAUCCAAAGAUAAAGAAAUUGAAGAAGAGAAGCUUAAACGCCAAGAGGUAGAGGAGAAGCUGGUCAAGUCAGAGAAAGAAGUUCAAGAUAUGAGGGAAAUGAAAGAGAGAGAUGUGAAAGAACAUUCCUCUGAGCUAUGGAGGCAAAAGAAGACAUUCCUCGAGCUUGCUUCUAGCCAGAGACAACUUGAAGCUGAACUGAGUCGUGCGAAUAAGCAAAUCGAUGCUAAAAGACAUGAAAUUGAAGACUUGUCUUUAGAAAUGGUCAAGAUGAGAAAAGAUUUGGAAGCAAAAGAUCGAAUAUUGGCGGUGUUGUUGAAGAAGUCAAAACUGGAUAUAGCCGAGAUGCAUACAUUGCUUAUGGAGGCAAAAAUAAAGCAAGAUGAAGAUGAAGCAAAGAGUUGGAGAUCAAACUCAAAGUCAAGACGGUCACUAAGAAGCAUGUUUGCUUUCGAAACCACAAGUAAGCCUACUAAAACCAACAGUGUUGGUUCCAUUACUCACAUUGAUGAACAUGUGGAAUGGAAUAAAGAUCCUAAUGUCGUCCCAGAGAUCAUGGGUUCCUACUCUAAUGAUGAUUUCAGUGAACUUGGUAAUGGAGUGGUGCAUUUUGAAGGAGCCAAUGGAGUUGCAAGGAAGCGUGAGAACAUGAGUUUUGGUGAAGAAGAUUUUUGUAUAAGAGUGAUAGGGAAGAAGCAAGAGAUAGAGAUAGGGGUUUUGCCAGAGCAUGAAAAGAUUGAAGCUUUGUGUUUGCAUCUGAUGAACUCUGAGUUAGAAUCAAACCGGUUGAGAUCUUGUAUAGAAGGACAGAGCCAAGAAAUGUCACAGUCGAGACACAACAACACAAAAGUGGAAGAAUCUGUUGCUAUGAGGAAACAACAUUUCAAGACACAGCUAAAAAGCUUCAUGUCCCACAAGAACAACACGAGUUAUAGAAGAAAGAACACAAAAGCAGAAGAACUACAAGUGCAAGAAAGAGUAUUUGGACCAAAGGAAGGUUCUAAGGAACAUGCGACGGAGAAAGGAAGGGAAUCAUAUUCUCCUGAUGAACUGAGACAUUUAACUUUGAAAGCUGCUCAAUCUGAUGCUGAAGAAGAAUCUGAAAAGGACACUCUCUUAACAGAGAAUGGAAAAGCAAAUGGUAAGGAGGAGAGUGAGAGCCAGCCAUCAAGCACAAACAAUCCACCUUGGAGAAUGGAUCUUCAUGCUCUUGGAGUCUCGUUCAAGAUCAAAAGGCUGAGACAACAGCUGAUGAUGCUUGAAAGAUACAUCGGCAAACAAGAGAGCCAAGAGAUUGACAAGAUCAGCAGCAGUGAUACCGGGAAAAGGGCUUUGUUAUUGCUCAUUACACUGCUCAACAAACAAGUCACUAGGUAUCAAUCACUUCAAGAGAAGAUUGAUGGUAUCUGCAAAAAAAUGGUAAGCAAAUCAUUUUUCCUCAUAUCAAUUACAUUAGUGCCUCUGUUAACAUUAACUGAUUCUUUUCAUUAUAUUUAGCAUGUGAACGACACAGGAAAGACAUCACUAGAGCAUUUCUUAGAUGAGACAUUUCAGCUGCAAAGAUACAUAGUGGCAACAGGACAGAAACUAAUGGAGAUCCAGUCCAAGAUCACUUCCGGGUUUGUAGAGGUUCUAGUAAGCUUCAUCGCUACUGAAUCAUCCUCUGCCAGUAGCAGCUUUGAUCCAGAACGUUUUGCAGAAAGCAUUAGAAGUCUGUUUCAGGAAGUGCAGAGAGGGCUUGAGGUUAGGAUAUCUCGAAUCAUAGGUGAUCUUGGAGGGACACUAGCUCGUGAGGGAAUGAUACAUUUGAAGCGACGGGAAGACGGCGUUCAACGACUAUGAGUAGCUACUACACUACAUGUAAAUCUUUUUUACAAUUCCACUUCAGCUCUUCUUACGGUUAGUGAGAAGCCUUUUAGGUUUUGUUUGUAUAUAGAAAUUCACUUAUUUUUAAUCGUUUUUUAGCUUUAGUCUCCGUAAAGAUGUAGGAAGAAACAUUCUCCAUUUCGAUAAACUUGUAUGUUCUUUACAUCAUAUAGUAAAAUCAUUAUUACUGAGUUUUUUUUAAAGAAAAUCUAUGUUAUAUGAAUUAAAAAAAAAAAAUCUUCAAAGAAAUGAAUUAUUUAAUCUCUUGCAAUGGUUUGCUUCAUAUAAUAAAGGUUUCUCUUAGUUCCUUACUUGUCUAAAUCAUGCAUUACUCAAAAUGUAGGUUCUACUACAACAAAAGGAGAGAUGUUCACUCCGGUUCGGCUUGGUAUCGGUUAGCUAAUUGAAAAGCAAACUAUAUAAAAAAAAAAAGUAGCACAAGAUAAAAUUAUAAAGAGAGAAAGAUUAAAAGGAUUAGAGAGUGGGCUAAGGAGAGGAUGGGGCUUAAAUUGGAUGUAUUCACUUUUGGAAGUGAUAAUGAAAAGUAUUUGCAUCUGUUGUUUUUGCUUUGCCCUCUUGUUAUUUUGUAAAAGCUUCAAACAUUCUAUCAACAAUGUUUGGUACUUGAGUCUUGAGAUUAACAAAAAUCAAACCCUUUAACGAAAAAAAAAAGAUUAACAAAAAUCCAAUAAUACUAUAUACUAUAAAAAAUCUAGAUGAUAACCCGUGCGCAUACGUGAAGUGAGUUUUUAAUACUAAUGUAUGUUUAUUAAAUGGUUUUAACACUACAAUAUUUAUCGAUUGUAAAAUGACGUAUACAAAUGUCUUAAAUGGUAUCUUAAAUGUAUCAUCGUUGUUGAAGAGUUAACAUAUUACAACUCAUUUUAAUUAUUUUUAAGACUUCGAAUGCACUAAAGGAAAUUUAAUUUUGAGGCUGAUACAAAUCACCAAAACGCAACAUUGAUUGUAAAAUUACAAAAGGGGAUUAGGUUUUCUAUUCUCGAUUUGUUUACUAUUGACUCUCCAUAAGUGAUUUCAUUUCUACAUCUAUAAAAUUGUGCUUUUGUUCUAGUUUAUAUUUCAAUGAUAUGAGUUUUUUUUAUUUUUUAACUUCUUAUGUGAAUCGGUAAAUUACAUAAGUGUCAAUUUAAAAAAUGAACAUCUGUAAAAAUUAAUUCCACUCCAGAUACAUAUCUAAGAAUCAAAUUUUUGAAGAAAAUCAGCGGCAAACUCUAUUCACAUGUUAGUGUUCAAAUAUUAUAUAUGAAGCUGCUAUAUAAUAUAAGUACAGACUCGAAAUAUAAAUGUCUAUCUAGUAUAUAUUCACAUGUUUGGUCUAAAAAUCAUUUAAUUCUAGAACAACAAAACAAAUUAUUUAUUUUAUUAACCUACGCAUUUGAGGUUUAGUUACUUAAGAGUAUAUCGAUAAAAAAAAUAUAAUACUUUAUCAUUCUAUUAUAUGUAAACUAUGUAUAAAAUAAGAACUGUUUGAUUUAUUAAAUGAUAAACCAGAAAAAAACAUAUAAUAAAUAGUUCAAAUCUCUCAUUAUAAUAGCUAGAUCGGGUAUUAGGGAGAAACAAAUAUUAGACGAAUGACCAAAUCUCGCAUUCUUCAAACAAACUCAAAAGGAGGUGAUUGGAAUAUUUCAUUAAAAUAUUGUAAGGAAUAAAAAAACUAAAUUAUUUAUUCUAAAUGAAAUAAUAUAUAUAUAUAUAUACACAGUAGAAACUCUAUAAAUUAAUACUCGAUAAAUUAAUAAACACUAUAAAUUAAUAAAUUUCUUCAGUCCCAAAUUGGGCCGGUUCAAAAUAUGACACAAAUCGAUAAAAUAAUAAGAUAAUAAUUUUUUAGAAAAUCCUAUGCAAAGAUUUGGUCCCAUUAAAAGUAUAAAUUAAUAAUUUAUAUCUAUACACAUUUUAUAUAAGUAUGAAUCAACUAUUAUAAUGUUUGUUUUAUAUUCACAACGGAAUUAUUUAUAUAUUUUCUUAACACAAAAUAUAUUUUAAUGAUAUCUAGUAAAAUUAUAUCUAAAACCGUAUUUAAAUUCUAUGAAACAUAUUUUACAUACACCAAAUAGUAUAAUAAAACCAAUUAAAAUGUCGAAAUUCAAAAAAAAAUUAAUGUAUAUAUAAUAAUAUCAAAUAUUUCUCUAAUUUUAGAUAAAUAUAUAUCUUAAAAUAAAAAAAAAUGUAAAAAUAAAUUUUUUUAAAUUAAUAACUCCAUAAAUUAAUAAAAUACUACAGUCCCAACAUUAUUAAUUUAUAGAGAUUUUACUGUAUAUAGUGCUUCCAAAAUUAAAAAUCACUUCGAUUUGAAGAAGUGUAUUUAUGGGAUUGUCAGGCUCAAAUAGCAUAUUAGAAAACACCUAUUAAAAAAUAAUUUGUAUACAUAAAAGUAUAUACAUUAGAGUAAACACAUAAAUCAAAACCAAUAUCUUUUGUUUGUUUACAAUCAUGUUUUUGGUAAAUAUAUAAAAAUAAUAAUUUUAUUUACUUUAUAUGGUAUAUAAUUAAAUUUUAGUGACAUUGACAUAGAUAUAUAUAGUAUAUUUCAAUAUAAAUAUUUACUAUUGAUACUUCAUACUCAUAUGAUUUUAUUAAUAUAUGUAUAUUUGCUAUAACAAAAUUUUAACUGAUAAUCACAAAAACUUUAAUGUGAGAUUUUCAAUAGAAAUUUCAAAAUUAAAAUACUAAGAUCUCAAUAAUUUUUCAUUGAAAAUUUUGAAAUUAAAAUAUUUUUAUAUAAUAUAUAGUUUAAUAUAAAUGAUAUUAAUAUAUAUAAUAUGAAUAUUUAUUAAUGAGACUUCAUGUUCAUACGAUUUAUGAUAAUUUGUAUCUUGAUUGCACAAAAAAAAUUAAACCAUUGAUCACAAAAUUUUCAAUGUGAGACUUUUACUAUUUUAGUAAUUUAUAGUCGUUUUAAAAAAUUCAAAAUAUAACAUGUAAGAAAAAAUCAAAAUUAUUUUAUUAUAUGCUUAAUGUGAUUGUUUAAUUUCUUUUAAUAAUAUAAAAUUGAACAAAAAGAUAGAGGAUACAAAAAAUGCUAUCAAAUAUGUAUUAUUCAUAAUUAUUAACUGUCAUAUAUAUGUUAAUCAUGUUAGGUAAUUCCGUAGUUUUUAUUUAAGGAAAGAAUUGAGAAUAUUUUUUUGUACACUACUAAUCAAUUUGAUAGUUAAUUUAAUAAAAAUAUAAUAUAUUUAUAUGGACCGAUUUAUUUUGAUGAAGAUUCUAAGAAUCAUUCUAAUGAUGACACAUUGCUACAAAAACAGUUGUAAUGCUUCAUGAUUAAUAUAUAGGAGAUAUAUAGAACUCCAAAUCGUUCAUUUAAAAGGAAAUUAAACCUCUUUGAUCAGAUCGACACAAUACAUUUCAAAAAUCCAAAUCCUUGAUCAACGGAAGAACAAUAGCAUCAUUUGUAUCCAAUAAGGUGCCAUAGUGGAACUCUUAUUCUAGCAAUAUUGAGAUAACAGUCAAUCAUUUUGUUUUGUUUUCAAUUAAAUUUAUUAAGAACUCAUAAACGUUGAGGUAACAUAUAACAAAGGAGAACUAUAUAUAUAAAUAUUUGUGUCCAAAUUUACAAUUAAAAAAAAAAUUGUUUGCUUUAGGUUCAGGUAUCCUAGUUUAUCAAAAGAAAAAUCAAAAUGACUUUUAAAAGUUGUACUUUUGGUUCGGAUAGCAAUACAUAUUUUCUCCAGACUUUAUUUAUUUGAACACUGCACGUUUCGUAAACGCAACCAAAUUGCUUUAUGAUAAAAAUGAAAUAGGCCCCAAGUGACAAAAGAUAAAAAGGUCUUCCUUAUGGUUAUCUCUAUAAUUCCAUGUUCUGUUUCGUAUUACCUUGUAUAAAAGUUUGAGAGAAGAAAGUAACAUUUGACUAACGUGAGUGGACUCUCAAUUCUCAUAACCUAAACAUGUUUAAUACAGAGCAGUUAUCCUCAACUUAUACCAUUUAUCAACAUGACUUGCUUCUGAUUAUUUUUCUGUUUACAACGGAAAAUCCGAAGCAGAACUACUAAUUUCGGUCAUGCACAACGUUGGAUAGAACUUGCCACUUAUACUACAAUAAUCAACUCUCUGGGCUGAGUCUAUUCUCUGGUCAUCGUGAUCUAAUUCUCUUUAUAUGUCACUAAAUACUUUCUGAUACUAACUAAUUAAAAAAACUAAUUAAAAUGUUUUAGCUAUAUUAUACGCAACCCACUUUGUUUUAUUGUUUUCACUAAAAGUUUUGACAUACACCCGAUCUAAAAAUAUAAUCCCGUGUCCAAAUAAAACUUGAAAUGCAAAAAAAAAGAUAUUCCACUAAUUAACACAUGAGACUCCUGUCAUUUUUACUUCCAGAAUAUUCAUAUACAUAUAUAAUGAUUAUACCUAUUAAUUAUAUAGUUGUAGUAUAUAUUUGACUUGUAAUCUUGAUAAUAAUGUGUAAGCAUCGCAAAUUCCGUGAAAACUAUAAGAUUUGACCUUAAAUUUAAUUCACACAAAUGAGUUUUGACCUUCAUUGAGUCAUCUUUGUUAAGAAGCAAACCAGUUAGCUAUUGAAAAGAAACCAACCAAUUUUUAUUUGGUUUAAAGAAGAAAAAUAAACAUAUCCGUCUUUUAAUUUAGAUAUUGAAAAGCAAAACUCAUAGCACAUAGUACAUGAGAUUAUUUUAUACAAAAUAAUGUAUACAAUUUAUGGUAAAACACACAAUGUAAAUUCAUUUGUAAAAAUAAAUAAAAAAAUCAUUUGUAAAGUCUAAAUUAUUGUAUUGUCUCUACUUUUUUUUCUUGUGAAAAUGCAAGUGUGAUAUAUAAUUUUUUUUUGAACUAAAAUGCAAGUGUGAUAUUGAUCAUUAAUCAUUUAAGUUGUGGUAUUGGUUCAACCUCUAGUUUAUAAGGUAUUUUGUUCUUGCUUGUGCUUAUUGAGACUAAUAAUGCAAGUGUGAUAAAAAAAAUAUACAAGAUCGUAUGUUUUGUAAACAAAAAAAUAUAUUUCAAAACUUAAAUGUCGUUUACGGUAGCUUAAAAGUUACUGCCGUUUAAUUUCUUGAAAUAGUGCCUGUUUUUUUGUUCACCGAAAUAGUGCCUACUAUUUGAAUUUGACCUAAAUUCCUAAUGAAAUACUUGAAGAAGUGAGAUAUCAUUUGAUAGAUUCCAACAGACAUAUAACUUGCGGUUUAUAAAUAUAAUAUAUAAAGUAAAUGUACAUCAAUAUAUAUGUAUGUGCAUGGAAGAUGAAAGCAAGAGAAGGCGAAGGAGCAGGAGAUUCGCAUGAUUCUCCUAAUCUUAGAGCAGCAUUAACGCGAGUUGUUAGGGAGAUGCUUAGGUAAUUUUUGGUUUUAAAAAAAAAGAAAAUGUUGUUAUUAACCAAACGUCGACGCUUAAUUAAGGUCACAAAACAGCGGUGCUUGCCAACACGUGUCACUCUCUUAGAACUCCGCAUUUCUUUCUCUCUCUCUCACGAAACACGAAACACAGGUCGUUUGUGUUUCUCUCUCGACGACUCCGCCAUCUUCUCUCUAGACGAAACCAAUCUCUCCGUCGACUCCACCAUGAUGGCGGAGUGAUCAAUCGCGGCUGAUGUCGCCUCGUGUCUCUCGAUCUCCCCGACGGCUCCUUGAUCAAUCGGCGCUGAUGUCUCCUCGUGUCUCUCGGUCUCCUCGACGACUCCGCGACGAUGAUCUCUCCUGGUCUAUGUCGAUCUCCUCGACGCCUCCUGGACGAAAUCUACGAUGAUAUCUCCUCGUCUCUCUCUCUCUCCUCGACGAAUCCGCGAUGAAUCUCUUCUACGAAAUCAAAAAGAAAGGUAAAGAGACAGACGGAUAUGUCUCUGUUUUUGUUUCUGUCUCUGUCUAAUGAUAUGUCUCUGUGUUUGUUUCUUCAGAUGGACGAACCAAGAGACGGAGGUUGGCCAAACGAGACAACAACAAUGAAGCGUCUGUGAUUCAGGUAAAACUUCAACAUGAUUUGAUUGAACUUUUGAUAAAAAAGACUUGGUUUAUAUUGUAACUGAGUUGAGAUAGUAUGAACUGAAUGGUUUCAUGUCCUAAUUGUUUAAGAGUUCUCAAUUGUUUCAUGAAUGGUUCUUGUCUUUAUUGUUUAAGAGUUAUAUUAUAUUGAAAUAGCUUUUAUCUGAAUUGAAUCGAGUGUCCUAAAUUUGAUUUGUUUCUGUUUGUUUGUCUCUCUACCUCAGUUUCUCAUUGUUGUUUUGUUUUUGCUUGUCUGUCUGUGUCUUGAGCUCCAUCACUGAAGCAAAACAGGAAGGAUCGUCUGCAACCAGAGGAGUGUAUUCCCCUGCGCAAAACAGGUAAAUGUUUAAAACUUUUACUGCCAUUGAAAGCUUUAUGGUUAGGUAGUUAAUGUGUUUGGUGUGUUUGCAUUGAUGUUGUUAGUUAGGUUAUUUAAAACUUGUUGUAGUUAAAUGACUUUCUUUGGUUUGAAUUGCCGAUAAUAAAUUGUUUGCUUUAGUUUGAAUUGUCUAAAUUUGUGGUUGAUUAUGGUUGUGAAACUGUAAUAAAUGGGAGUUAGAUAAAUGUCAACUCGUAGACUCUCCUUAAAACUUCUUCCUUCUCAUCUAUCUAAAACAGAUUCCUAUCUGUUUUUUCUCUAUUCUUUAACCUCGGAAAUGGAAUUUAAUCCGUUUACUGAGCCUUCAAACUUUGUUGACCUGCUUAGCAGUCAACAGAAUGUGGUCUUUGGUAAUGUACCCGAGUCACAGCUUCCCUUCUUUGCUAGUCAAGCCACGCACGAUUCGAACAUUGGUGAAGAGACUCAAGGCAGCCGUAAGGAGAGGAGGACGUGGUCUCCAACUGACGACAUUGUGCUCAUCAGCUCGUGGUUAAACACGAGCAAAGAUGCAGUAGUGGGGAAUGAACAGAGGUCUAUUGCAUUCUGGAAGCGAAUUGAUGUGUACUACAACGCUAGUCCCAAGCUUGUUGGGUGUGAAAAGCGAGAGGCAGCUCACUGUAAGAAUCGUUGGCAGAAGAUAAAUGACCUUGUUUGCAAGUUUUGUGGAGCUUUUGAAGCUGCGACCAGAGAGAGAACCAGUGGGCAAAAUAAAACUGAUGUUCUCAAACUGGCCCACGAAAUCUUCUUCACCAAUUAUAAAAAAAAAUUCACGCUUGAGCAUGCUUGGAAAGAGUUGCGUAAUGACCAAAAGUGGACUGAGUUGUCUACGGCUAAAGCUGAGGGAAGCUCUAAAAAGAGGAAGAGUAUGGACGUUUCUCACUCUGCAAGCUCUAAAGCAAUUGAUGUAGACUCUGGUGAUGAAGCAACAACUCGUCCCCCUGGAGUUAAGGCAUCAAAAGCUCGUUCUAAGAAGCCAAUUGGUGAUGCAAAGGACUACGAAGAGUUUCAGUCAAUGUGGUCUAUGAAGAAGGAGGAUUUGACUAUAAAGAAGGAGCUGUCUAAGAUCAAGCUUCUGGAGACUCUCAUUGGUAAAGAAGGACCACUCGCGGAUUAUGAAGAAACUUUGAAGAAGAAACUCAUUAAUGAGUUAGGGUAUAAUUAAAAUAAGUCACUGUUUGUCUUGCUUGUGUUGCUUUUCUUGCUUGUGUUGCUUAAUUAAAAUAAAUCAUGUAUGCCUCUGUUUCUAUUUAAUGAGUAAAAUGUUCUCUUAGUGAUUUUAAUCAUCUAUGCCUCUGUUUCUAUUUAAUGAGUAAAAUGUUCUAUAGAAUGUUUACUGAUUGCUGUAAUGAACUUGUGUCCUACUGCAGGUGACUUGUCUAGUCUUGUAGUCUUGUGAAGUCACGGACAGUCUUGUGAAGUCACGGAGGAGGCUUCUUGUGUAGUUGUGAAGUCACGGACAAUAACGAGUGGAGGAGGCUUCUUGUGAAGUCACGGACCUGCAAAAGUGAAAUGUCUAGUGUUUAAGGCAUGUGUAGUGUCUUGUUUGUAUGCAUAUGUCACGGACACACUUCUCAUUGUUUAUCUAUUUUGUAACUCACUUGUAUAAAUUAGACACGCUUCUCAUUGUUAUAACAAACACAAGACCAUCUCCUCUCUUCUCAUUGUUAUACAAACACAAGACCAUCUCCUCUCUCAUUCUCACCAAACCAUCUCCUCUCUCAUUCUCACCAAACCAAACGAAGUGUCUCUUUAUCUGGUUCUCACAAACCAAAAUCACUAAUCAUAUGGCUUCAUCUUCUUCUCAAAACCUUUUAGAUGAAGCUUUUGAUGAUAGAUUUGAUGAAAUAUUUGAUCAACGUUUUGAUCAAGCCUUUGAAAAACUUGUCAUUGGUGGUGAUGAAGAUGUACGAGGUAGAAAAAGAAAAAAACGACUUUAUAUCGAAAGAAAAAUGGAAAAAGGCAAUGAACGUUUAUGGAAUAAUUAUUUCAGUGAAACGCCAACGUAUCCUGAAAAUUAUUUUCGACGACGUUUUCGAAUGAACAAGCCAUUGUUCAUACACAUUGUUGAUCGACUUUCGAACGAAGUUGACUUCUUUCGCCAAAAGAGAGAUGGUCUUGGAAGGCUUGGCCUCUCAGCACUCCAAAAGUGUACAGCAGCUAUCCGUGUCUUGGCAUAUGGUACUGCGGCGGAUGCGGUCGACGAAUACCUCCGGCUCGGUGAAACGACAACUCGGUCAUGUGUGGAGAAUUUUGUGGAGGGAAUAAUUUAUUUGUUCGGAUAUGAAUACCUACGAAGACCAACACCGGAUGAUCUUCGACGUCUACUUGAUAUAGGAGAGUAUCGUGGAUUUCCCGGGAUGAUAGGAAGCAUCGAUUGUAUGCAUUGGGAGUGGAAGAAUUGUCCCACCGCUUGGAAAGGACAAUAUUCUCGUGGUUCGGGCAAACCAACAAUCGUAUUAGAGGCAGUUGCUUCAUAUGAUCUCUGGAUAUGGCAUGCGUUUUUCGGACCUCCAAGUACCUUAAAUGAUAUCAAUGUUCUUGAUCGCUCCCCUGUUUUUGAUGACAUAAUAAAGGGUCAAGCUCCGCAAGUUACCUUCUCGGUUAAUGGAAGAGAGUAUCAUAUGGCUUACUAUCUCACCGAUGGUAUUUAUCCGAAAUGGGCAACUUUUAUCCAAUCUAUUCCAAUACCACAAGGACCGAAAGCGGUUUUAUUUGCUCAACAUCAAGAAGCUGUCCGAAAAGAUGUCGAGCGUGCUUUUGGAGUCUUGCAAGCUCGCUUUGCCAUCGUUAAAAAUCCAGCACUUUUUUUGGAUAAAGUCAAAAUUAGUAAGAUUAUGAGGGCAUGUAUCAUACUCCAUAAUAUGAUAGUAGAAGACGAACGAGAUGGAUACACUCAAUUUGAUCUUUCCGAUUUCCAACAAGGAGAAGACAAUGGAAGUUCACAUGUCGAUCUCACGUAUUCUACAGAUAUCCCUACAAAUAUCGCUAAUAUGAUGGGUGUUCAAACUUGAAUUCGUGAUCAACAAAUGCAUGAACAACUGAAAGGUGAUUUGGUUGAACAUGUGUGGCAUAGAUUUGGAGGUGAUGAAGACAACCAAUGAGUUCACAUGUUUUUUUCAAAUUAAUCUCCUUUACUGAUCUAAUCUUUAUUUUAAUGUUUUUUUUUAAAUCUAUGUUUAAAAUAUUAUCUUUUAAUAUGUUUGAUGUAAUAAAUAAAUUUUAUCAAAAAAAAAAAAUUAUUUUUUUAAACAUCUCAUAAUAAACACCUUGCAUUGGAAGAUCAAUAUAUACAACUUUCUUAAUGAAAUGCUUAAAUUCUACUUAAUAAUAAAAAAGUGAUUAAGCACCCCAUUAGGGCUGCUCUGGUUAAUACUGCUCUUAGCACUCAUUUCUUCACAAAAGUCACCACAAACAUAACUGAUGCAACGACAAACAGAGAGAGUGAUUGAACAAACAAAGAGCUCCCUUUGACUUUUUCAAUCCCUAAACCAAAUUGACCGUUUGUCCAUCAACACGUCCUCGUCAACGUCCAUCAAGGAUUACCUUUAUUAAUUCUCACCCAACAAUAUUAUCUUCUAUGUUUUUUCUCUUAUUACAAGUUACAAAAGACUACAUUGCCUAAACACAAAGUAUGUGUAGUGAUUAUGAUGAAAUGCCCAAAAAAUGUGUAACCUAAUCAUCAAUUAUACUCUUAGUUUCAAAAUUAUCAUAUUGGUGAUUGUGAAGGUACUUAAUUAACAAGUCGUUUUCAAUAAUAAACCAAACAAAAAAUAUCAUCCCAUCUCUCGUGAACAAGAAGAAGCACAAGAGAGGAGCGUUUCAUUUAUUUAUUCCUAAAUUCAGUUCAUUUAUAUAUUUUUCUUUUCUUCUCCUUCGUGUCUUCUCUACCACUAUACAUCCUCCUUAACUUUUCCUUUUUCAUGUUCAAAUGAAUCCAAUUCCAAAAAAAGGUUUUCUCUUUCACCUAUAUAAUCCCAACCCAUUUCAUAUAACGUAAAAAAAAACAUUAUUGGGUUUCAUUACAACAACACAAAACAUGGGUUUCACUAAAGAUCAAGAUCGGUUCCGUUCCACGCCUAAGCUUCCUCUGUUUUCAUAUCCAAUGAACAUGCCAUAUGAAACUCCGGGACUAGCUACACCGCCCGUUAACAUCGGCGGAUCUGUUCCUUUUCUUUGGGAAGAAGCUCCGGGAAAGCCAAAGGCUCGUUCUUCCGUUAGAAAACCGCCGAGGUCGAAACAUACCGGAGAAAAAAGAGGAGUCGUGAGAAGCUUGGACCUUCCUCCGAGACUGCUUUUGCCCGGGGAGUCUUGUAAAUCGUUUGCGGCAAACGAGCCUUCUCCGACAACUGUUCUCGACGGUCCGUACGAUUUGCGUCGACGUUCGCUGUCGCUUCCGAGAUCGGCGUAUGUAGUCAGGAAGCUGAGAGGUGUUCCGGCACCGGCGCCGGCGAAGGAGAAGAGAUUGUUUGGGUCGAGUAGAUGGGGAAGUUUCGGGAAAUGUAAAGAUGUCUCUGAGGGUAUAUUUGACUUUCCACGUUUUAGAGACGGCGGCUGUGAUUGCCGGAGGGAUUGGACCGGAGGAGGAAGUGACUUCUCCGGCGACGGCGGCACAAAAGUGAAACUUUUUAGACUAAAAAGGAAAGGAAACCUUUUUAACCUCUCUCAUGCAACAAAGUCAGAGUUCUGGGUAAGUUUUGCUUUUUUCAGCUGAUUAAAUAUUCAAAAGUUACAUACUUUUUCACAAAAUUAAUAACCUUUUUCAGUUUUGAUGUAAGCUCAGCUAUAAAGAUUAGUUUUAAUUAUAAUUUAUAUUCUUGCGACCAAAAAAAUAUCUUUCAUUGUCAAAAUCGUAUAAAUAAUUAUAAAAGAUUUGUUUUUGGUAUGAGGAGGAAGUAAUCGAGUAACCCAAUUAUUCGAUAUUUAAAAAUGCAGGAAAGGGUUUACGAAGGGUUUAAGCAAGCGAUUCCAUGGAGGCGUAAGCAAGAGAAUCUGUAAAGGAUUUAAUUAUUCCACUAUUUAAAUCGAAUUUCUCUUAAAUUUCUUCGAACUUUAUAGUUGAUCUACUAAUUAAUUAGUCGUCUCUUGUUUAUAUAUAUAUACUACUUUAAUAAUAUGUACAAUCUGCUAAUGAAAAAACUUAUAUUAUAAAUCACAAUGAAAAUUAGGGGAAUAUGUAUUUUUUGCAGUAAGGAAAAAAUGUGAAAUGAUCGAAUUAUCAAAAUUUUGAAUUAAAAAAUAAAUAAAUUGUAGGGAUAAUGGCAAAGAAUUCUUGACCAAUAAAAUUAUAAAAGAGCUACAUUCUUGCUUUAAAAUACUACUGUAUAUAUUAUUCAACCAUUUUCUUAUAAAAGAGUAAAAUUUUCACCCAACGGUGAAAGAGCAGCAUAUCACCUCUGAAAAAGGUGUAAUGAAGUUUUAUUUUAUAUAUUGAUAUAUUUAUAAAGAAGUUUAUUUCUAUAUCUUUUUUUGGGUAAAAUGUAUUUCGAUAUCUUUGUUUAUAAUGGACAGUUUGGGUAAAAUGUAUUUCGACAUCUUUGUCAAAGUUGUUUAGAAAUGGCAGUUUAAUUAAGGAGCACAAAUUUCAACACAUUCAUUAUAUUACUUCAUUUUUAAAUUUGAUCGUAAUUUAUUCAACUCACCAAACUUGAUUUCAUUCAACAAAAUAAUUGAUAAACGCGUUUUAGUUCAUCAUGUAAAUGGCUCUAAAUACCAAAAGAAUGAUCCCUAGAUAUUCUUCUGACCCGAAAAAACUCUAGAUUUCCUAGAUUUGACCAAUUGGGUCACUAGAAAAAAAAAACACCAGUCUAAAUAAAAUGAAAACAUGAAUUAGAAUUGUGGAGAAAUUAAACUCGAAAACAGAUUCAAUAGUAACCAUCGUUGGCAAGUGAUUUCUUUCUCUUGUAUUUGGCUUUGAAACAAGCUUGCCUCAACUUCUUUGUCCCAUCAGUCAGCUCGGCAUCAGGUUCUUGCUCUAUAAGAACCCUAUGUUCCUCCAAAUUCUUCACUUCUUGAUCCAUUCCAACACACUAUCACCAAAAACGUAUUAGAUGUUGUUCUUAUUUAAUAUGAAAACUAUUAAAUCUCAAUAUCAAGAAAGCAUUAAACCCUAAAAUGCAAUUGAAAUCAUAUAAGCAAACGUUAUUACCUUGAGAUUACUAAUGAGAGAGUUAAGACUCUUGAGCUUCCGGUGAGGCCACCGGAAGAUUUCAAGUUCUCUGCAACGCUUCUUCAAUACCGUAAGACCAACGUUAAGUUCUUUUGCCGCUUUCAUUAUUGGUCUAUCAAAGUACUUUCUGAUCUCGGACAACUCCAACUUGUCCUGUCUCUUUGCCCUAGUGUUCUUCUUCUUUGAGGCUUUCUUUUCACGUCUCUCGUUGGUACUUGGACAGUGGUUGUUUUGGACAACCAAUGGUGAAGAGGAGUCACUUGAGAAGUAAGGUUCUUGAGUUAACAUGAGAAUAUCAGAUGAUAUUGUGUUGUUAUUCACUUCAAUGUUCUCGAAGAAAUCUUCAAAGCUAUUGUAUUGAUACUCAAAAUGCAACCCUGGAUCUGGUCUUAGAUACUCGGUAUCUAACAGAGACUCUAGCGGAGGCAACCUUCAGAUGGGAAAAAUGAUUUAAAUCCAAUUAAAAAAACUCAGAAACGAGGUUACUUGUAUAGCAAGAAACGAGUCAAGGGUUUCGAACUUACUUUUCUAGCAUGUCGAACAACGAAUCCGUUUCAUACUGGUUUUCGAUUUUCAUAGAAUCGAGUGGUUGAAGAAAUUUAGGAUCCAUUUCAAGAUAAUAACUAGCAGAAACAGAGCAGAUUAGUUUAGAAGAAAGUACACAAAGGAGACUGUGUUGACGAAGGCAUAUAUAGUCUCUGGAAAGAAAAAUUAAUGUCCACAGGGAAUUGUGUGCAAUGUAAUGGGAGUUGCGAGUUCCAAAGGGUACAAUCAUUAAUUGAAAGAGAUUACCGUGUGACUUGAAUUAAUUGUGUGAUCAUGGGGACUGAAUUGUUGGUUAGUCAAUUCUUCAAUGAUGCUAAGGAUGUAACUUAUUUUCUUUUUAUUCCUCCAGUCAAAGUCAAUGCAUGAAGUAGAUAACAUCUAAAUUUCCGAAAAUUCGUGAUCUAUAAUUAAUGAACGAACUUUCUUUUCCGUAUUAGAUUAUGCCUGUGAUUAUAUGUUAUGGUUAUAGUGUGCAUUACCUUUCAACUUUGGGUUAGGUUCCGAUUUAGUUUGGUUAGAUUAACUCAGUUUUGAUAAAACUUUAACUAAAUUUAAACAGAGUUAGUUGGUUUAGUUUGCAUUCAAUAAAAGUUUAUAAACAUUUUCAAAAUAUAAUUGAAAAUACAUUUAAUAUUGUCAUAUAGUAUAAAUUUGAAGAAAAUUGAGAAAUUAAUGAAUAAAUAAAUAAAUAUAUAAACAUUUAAGAAAAUAAUAUAAAUAAUGUCGAGAUGAUCCAGUGGUAAAAAAAGUGCUUGUAGCCUUCCGUUCCUCGGGUUCGAUAUGUUGGGAGGAACUAUUUAACAAAUGCAAAAGUUUUCUGGCAUAAAGGUGAAAACACUUUUUUAUUUUACCAUUCUUUAUCAAAAAAAAUUCUAAGAAAAUAAGUGUUAUAGAUACGGUAGAAAAAUAAAUUAAUACUAAACGAAGUAAAAAAAUUUCAUUUAUUAUACUAUUAUUUUCGAAAUGAUUUUUUGCAUUCAAGCUUUCACGUUAAAAAUUAGAGAGAGUAAUAUUUUUUAUACUCUUAAUGAAAAUUAAAACCUACAAACUAUAAGGUAAAUGAAGAUGACUAUAAGAAAGUUUCUAAACAUUAAAGAAAUGAAAAUACUAACCACCAAGGAUUAAAGUCUGUAAGUUGCGAGUUGAAAAUACUAACCACUAGGAUAAGAGUAUAUUUGUAUAUAUUAUCGAUAGUUUCUUUUAUAUAUUUGAUCAUUUUAUUUAUAUAUAUAAAAUAUUUUUUUGUUGUUAUUAUAUAAUUUCUUUCCGAUGGAUCAGAUCAAUUUUUAUUAAAAAUAAUGGAACAAAACUAUAAUUAAUACAUCAUGGGUUGAUCGGAUUGGACAUUAAACAAAUUAUGACAUAAAAACCUUAUUUUUUCCAUCGAACACAUUCUUGAAAAAAGUGAUCAGUAUUGUUUUCACAGUUGAAUUAUUUUGACUUUUAUCGUCCAUAUGGUUUUGAAAGCUUUCAAAUCAACCAUCGAAUUGAUACAUGUCAUUUUAAUGUUGUUAUUCGUAUACUUAAGGAAAACAUACGUUUUUGUAAUUUAAAGUCAUUUUAAAAAAUCCAAAAUAUAACAUAUUAGAAAAUAUCUAACAUAUAAGAAAAAUAUAACAUAUAAGGUGUCCUCAUUUUUGUAUUUAAAAGCUGUUUUAAAAAAAAUAUAACAUAUAAGGUUUCUUCAUUUUUGUAAUUUAAAGUCAUUUAAAAAAAUUCAAAAUAUAACAUAUAAGAAAAAAUCUAAUUUUUUUAUUAUAUGGUUAAGGUGAUUUUUUAUUUUUUUAAUAAUAUAAAAUUAAACAAAAUGAAGAAGGAUGCAAAAAAUGUUAUCAUAUCUUUAUUAUUCAUAAUCAUUAAUUGUCAUAUAUAUGUAAAUCAAAUUAGGUAAUUUUGUACCUUUUAUUUAGGGAAAUAAUACACAUUUUUUAUAUUUUAGGUUAAUAUAAUGUUCUCUAGUAGACAUUAAACAAAUUAUGACAUAAAAACCUUAUAUUUUCCCUCGAACACAUUAUUGAAAAAAUGAACAGUAUUGUUUUCACAGUUGAAUUAUUUUGACUUUUCUCUUACAUAUGGUUUUGAAAGCUUUCAAAUCAACCAUCGAACUGAUACAUGUCAUUUUAAUGUUUUUAGUCGUAUACUUAAGGAAAACUUACAUAUUUGUAAUUUAAAGUCGUUUUAAAAAAUUCAAAAUAUAACAUAUAAGAAAAAAUCUAACAUAUAAGAAAAAUAUAACAUAUAAGGUGUUCUCAUUUUUGUAUUUUAAAGUCGUUUAAAAAAUAUAUAUAUAACAUAUAAGGUUUCCUCAUUUUUGUACUUUAAAGUCAUUUUAAAAAAUUCAAAAUAUAACAUGUAAGAAAAAUCUAAUUUUUUAUUAUAUGAUUGAUGUGAUUGUUUAUUUUUUUUAAUAAUAUAAAAUUAAACAAAAAUGAAGAAGGAUGCGAAAAUUGUUAUCAAAUCUUUUUUAUUCAUAAUCAUUAAUUGUCAUAUAUAUGUAAAUCAUAUUAGGUAAUUCUGUAGCUUUUAUUUAAGGAAAGAAUACAUACUUCUUAUAUUUUAGGUUAAUAUAAUGUACUAUAGUGGACAUUAAACAAAUAAUGACAUAAAAACCUUAUUUUUUCCAUCGAACACAUUCUUGAAAAAAGUGAACAGAAUUAUUUUCACAGUUAAAUUAUUUUGACUUUUCUCUUCCAUAUGGUUUUGAAAGCUUUCAAAUCAACCAUCGAAUUGAUACAUGUCAUUUUAAUGUUUUUAGUCGUAUACUUAAGAAAAACUUAAAUUUUUGUAGUUUAAAGUCGUUUUAAAAAAAUCAAAAUAUAACAUAUAAGAAAAUUCUAACAUAUAAGAAAAAUAUAACAUAUAAGGUGUCCUCAUUUUUGUAUUUUAAAGUCGUUUUAAGAAAAUUUAUAUAACAUAUAAGGUUUCCUCACUUUUGUAAUUUAAAAUAAUUUUAAAAAAUUCAAAAUAUAACAUAUAAGAAAAAAAUCUAAUUUUUUUAUUAUAUUGUUAAUGUGAUUGUUUAUUUUUUUUAAUAAUAUAAAUUUAAACAAAAAUGAAGAAGGAUGCAACAAUUGUUAUCAAAUCUUUAUUAUUCAUAAUCAUUAAUUGUCGUAUAUAUGUAAAUCAUAUUAGGUAAUUUCGUAGCUUUUAUUUAAGGAAAGAAUACACACUUCCUAUAUUUUAGGUUAAUAUAAUGUUCUCUAGUGUUAUAUAAUUAUGGAAUAAUGUGACACCAUUAGAUUAAACUAUACUUUAUAUUAGAUGCUCUAGAAUUCUUUGAAAUGGAAUUUAGAAGGCAUUUAGAGUGUCACCUAGGAUUUGAGGGUUUUUUUAAUUAAUACAAAAUUAAGGUUCUAAUUUUUCAAAUGCUUCUCAAUUAAUAUAUAGGGGAUUUGAUUUUCUAUGAAUCGUUUUUUUUUUUGGUUUUUGACAUGUUAAUCUUUUAAUUUUAUCGGAGUGACAAGUAUUACAAUCCACAGUUACUAUAAGAGAAAAUGAAUAGGAUAACACUACAAAAGUUUUUGUCAUAAAUAUAGCUUAUAAGAAUAAAAAUGAUCAAAAUAACACUUAAUAUUUUAUCAAAAGAGAUAAAUAUACACUUAUACUCUAAUGAUAAAUUAAUUUAGACUUUAAGGUUUAGAGUUAAGGGGUGGGGUUUAUGAUUUAGGAUUUAGGAUUUAGAGUUUAGGGUUUAGUGUUUAGAGUUUAGGGUUUAGGGCUUAGGGUUUAGAGUUUAGGGGUGGGGUUUAGGGUUUAGGGUUUAGAGUUAAUGGGUGGUGUUUAGGAUUUAGGGUUUAGGGUUUAGGAUUUAGGGUUUAGGGUUUAGAGUUUAGGUUUUAGGGUUUAGAGUCGGGGAGUAGGGUUUUGGGAUAAGAUUUCAAAUUUUGAAUAAUAAAAAAAAUUUAAAUUUUUCAAAAGAUAAAUUGCUAUUUUGGUCAAUUUAGUUUUUGAGGGCUAUUUUUGUUACAUAAACUUAGAAAUGUGCUAUUUUGGAGAUUUACCGUUACUAUAAUGCAAAUAAUUCGUAGAUAAAAACUGAUGACAGUGCCGACCACGGAAGAAAGCGAAGGAAACAUGGGCUUCCGACUGUUGGAAGCUUACAAAUAUUUUCGGCCAAUUUAUAACUCAAUUUUCACUUAGUCUAGCGGCAAAACGCUAAUCUUCUUCACAUAAGAGGUUAUGUGUUUCAAUAUCCAGGUUGUACAUUUUCUAUUUUCAUUUAUACUGGCAAAAAAAAAUUUUGGUUGUGCUUCCAGUCCAACAAAAUUCUGGGCCGGUACCACUGAUGAGAGGUGACAAAAAAAUGUAGUGAACAAUAACGGCGGAACCAUAGAAAGAUUCAGAUCAAGAUUCAAAUAGAAAACCAUAGUGAAAUUGAACAGCCACAUCUUCAUGGGAUCGUAAGAUUCUAAUCUCAACAGCGAUGAAGAAACUCUAUGUUUUGCGGUCAACCCACUAACCCCUGACCGGGUUUGAACCGCCCACCCACAAACCUCAUGGGUCAGACCCGCCAGUUUAUGGAUUUAUAUGUCCAAGCCUACUCCUUUGCGGAUCUUUAUGGGCUCAACCCGCAGACCACGGCCUGUAUUGAUAUCUUUAGGUCCACCGGUGCCAUAUACAAUAAGACUUUGGGAAAAAUAAUCAUUAUCCGCAGACGCCGCCCUGUUUAAUUGUAGGGCGAUUUGAAAAAUUCAAACUGCGGUUGAAUGUAUUUUAUACCAGGUGGAAAAGAAAAUAAUAUCUAUAGCGAAAUGACGACAAUUUGGGCGAUUUUCUGCGACAGUUUCUUUUUUCUCUCUACGAGUGAUUGUCCGGCCGUUUUUCCUGUUUCUAGGGCACGAUGCGUCGGUUUUUCUCCACUAAGCAAGAUCUUUGGUGGUUUCAGUACGUCGGUAUUUAAGGAUCACUCUUAGCAUUGAAGAUGAACCGGUGGCUCUUCAUCCUUAUGUGUGCGUUCAAGCAGCGGCUAUCAAUCGAUUCUCGUUGGUGGUUGUUCCCAUUAACCGAAGAAAACAGAAUCUUCGUGCUAUGAUCAAUCAAUAUCCUUGUGUUUGGGGGCGUGGAUUCAGUCGUCGGUCGUAUCAUCGCAGCAAAUCGUGUCCAAUUUAUAUUCCAAUCUGAGGAGGCGAUGCUUUCUGUCCUUCAUCGUUCCCCUUGGUCGUUUGCGGAAUGGAUGAUCUCUGUUCAUCGUUGGUAUCCAAAUAUUGAUAGUGAAGAACUCAGGAUCAUUCCGUUCUGUGUUCAAAUUUGUGGUAUUCCUCUUCAAUUUCUUACUCGUCCGAUGAUUGAGAUGUAGGAGGAAUUUUGGCUCUGGUAUUUGAUGUGGAUUUUGAUGAAAACUCUACAAGAUAUGAUUUUGUGCGGGUCCAGUUGUUCUGGAAUGUUGAUAAUCCUCAUUGAUUCCAGUGCAAUUUCCAGUUCUCUGCAGAUGUCAAUACCCUACUCUCCUUCAAGCAUGAGAGGCUUCGAAGUUUCUGUCAAAUGUGUGGUCACCUAUCACAUGAGCGACAUGAUUGUCCCUUAGGAUUUGAUGAUGAUCAGCCUCCGGCGGCAUCAGAUGAUGACAAUGAUGAUGACGGUGAUGAUACAGAUUGCGAUGAUGAUGAUGGGUCGGAUCCUCAUGAAAUGCUGGUGCUGCUAACACUGAAGGCUAUUUGGGUGAGGCUCCUGGUGAUGAUAAUUCUCAGGAACAAAUUGAGAAAGGUUUAAAGAGAAAGCGUGUAGGAUCCUCUGAAAUAGAUCAUCAAGAGUCAGUCAUGGGUGAGGCUUCUGAUGCUCCUUUUACUCCUCGGGUGCUUGGUGAUUUCUCCUCGGAAGAACAGUUCUAGCGUCUCGCUCCGAUGGCUGAAAUACAUGUGGAAUUUGAUAGAAGAAUGAGACCAGAGCGAACGCCGCGAAAGUAUAAUUUCAUUGAGAAUCUCCUGGCUGGAUCUUCCUCUCAAGUUGCUCCUUUGGAUAUGGAAGGUCAGGUUGACGAGGAUGAGGAUGAUGAUGAUGAUGACGAUCAUAUUAUCUUGGAAAUAAAGGAACGUUGUGGUGCUGGUUCAAUUUUUGGCCAGUAUGGUUCCUUCAUACGCGUUAAUAAUCCUUUUCUAUCCCUAGCUGAAGAACUUGAUGUGUCUCAGAUUGAGUAUCCUGGUAACUCCUCUGCUCUGAAGCGGUCAAGACCAGAAUAUAUGGUGGUGGAUAAGUAUCAAGUUGGGAAGGAGAUCAUCUCGUUAGAGUUUUACGAUCUUCAUAAGAUCAGUGAGGAUUAUGGUGAGGAAGAGCUUAUUUCGGGAGCUACUAACCCAAUAGACAGAGGAGCGGUGGGCCUGGUUCUACCACCCGUUCAAUGAGAGUCAAGGUUUGGAACUGUCGGGGCUUAGGACAACACCUCACAGUUCGACGUCUUAAAGAAAUGCAAAGGUUGUAUGUCCCUGACUUGUUGUUCCUCAUUGAAACCAAGCUGAAAAAUGAUUAAGUUCGCGAUAUUGGUGUAUAUUUGGAGUUUGAGCAGAUGGUUUUAGUUCCAUCAGAUGGUCUUAGUGGUGGUUUAGCUGUAUUUUGGAAAUCUUAUGUUUUUGUUUCAUGUAUUUCCAGUAAUUCCAGACUUGUUGAUUUGGCUGUUCAAUAUAAAUCCUUUAAGUAUUACCUCUCAUGUGUAUAUGGUCAUCCCGUUCCUAAGUUUAGGAAUCAGUUGUGGGAAAGGCUUCAACGUAUAACCGUCAACAGAUCAGGACCUUAGAUGAUUUGUGGUGAUUGUAAUGAAAUAGUUGAUCCUGCGGAGAAGAAAUGUGGUCGUAUAAGGCAAGUUAGUAGUUGUAUAGACUUCAAUAAUAUGCUAAAAGCCUGGGAUAUGAAAGAUGUUCCUUUUAUAGGUAACACAUUCAUAUGGGUAAGAAGAAAGAGAAGGGAGAUUGCGGAGUGUUGUUUAGAUCGGGUUAUGGUCAAUUCAGAAUGGCGAAGACAAUUUCUGGUUAGUGAGACUGAGUUCUUAGAGAUGGAUGAAUCGGAUCACAGACCUAUGAUCAUUACUAUUGAUUAUGUGCAGAGAGAACAUAAGGGAUGGUUUCGGUAUGAUAAACAUUUAGUUGAGAAAAUAGAUUUUGUUGAUACUAUUUCAUCGGCCUGGAAUCAGACUCAGAUUAUGGAAGACUGGAAUAAAAAAACUUGAUUAUUGUUGUGGUGAAAUGGUUAUAUGGAAAUGAAGGAAUCACGCCAAAUCUUCAGUUCAGAUUCAAGAAAUUAGAGAUAAGAUUGAUCACGCCUCGAGAGACUGUGCUGUAUUUAUAGAGGUGGUUAAUGAGUACCAUAGAGAUUUGAAUAAAGCUUAUCGUGAUGAGGAGAAAUUUUGGAGAUUGAAGAGUCGUAAUAAGUGGCUCAAUUUGGGAGAUCGUAACUCUCGGUUCUAUCAUGGGGUUACUAAAGCCAGAAGAAGUAGGAAUAAUAUCAAAGGAAUGCAUGAAUCAAUGGGAUUAUGCAUACUAAAUAUGAAGCGAUAGCUCAAAUAGCUGAAGAUUAUUUUGUUACUAUGUAUUGUACUUCAAUGUGAUGCAGGGUAAUGAUGUUCUUCCUCAUAUUCAACGAAAUGUUACUUCUGAGAUGAACAUAAUCUUACUGAAAGAAGUGACUGAUGAUGAGAUAAAGAAUACAAUUUCAUGAUUGGAUCUGAACGAGUGCCGGGUCCAGAUGGGUUUACAACUUCCAUUUAUCAUUAGUUUUGGGAUACUAUUGCAUCUGAUGUUUGUUGGAUGGUUAGAAGUUUUUUUGCAACAUGAAUUAUGGAAGAAGGUAUCAAUCAUACUCAUAUUUGUUUGAUUCCAAAUUUCCGGGGGCGUCAGAUAUGAGCAAUUACCGUCCUAUUAGUCUAUGUUCAGUGGCAUACAAGUUGAUCUCAAAGAUUAUGUGCCAACGUCUUCAGCAAUGUUUAGCUAGUAUUAUUUCAGAAUCUCAAGCUGCUUUCGUUCCUCGACGAAAAAUAUCUGAUAACAUUUUGGUGGCCCAUGAAUUAGUGUCAGCUUUGUAUUCUAAAAUUGAUUGCUCUUACCAAUAUGUAGCAGUCAAAGCUGAUAUAAGCAAAGCUGAUAUAAGCAAGAAUGGUCUUUUUUGGAAGCUACAAUGACUCAGCUAGGAUUUGAUUCUCGAUGGGUGGCGUUAACAAUGGAAUGUGUUUGGCCUGUUUCUAAUUCAGUUUUAAUUGACGGUCUACCGUAUGGAAACAUUAAACCUUCACGAGGUCUGCGUCAGGGUGAUUCUAUGUCUCCAUAUCUAUUUUUUCUAUGUGGAAGUGCUUAGUCAAAUGCUUGAUUGGGCUCAGAUUACUAAUAAGAUGCAAGGUAUGAGAUUGGCAAGAAGGUGUCCAAGAGUUUUACAUCUUUUUUUGCUGAUGAUUCAUUAUUCUUCUGUCAUGCAAUGUUGGAGGAUGUCAAUUGUUUGGCGUCAAUAUUUGAUCAAUAUGAAAAGAUAUCAAGACAGAAGGUGAACUAUGAUAAGUCAUCGAUCAUAUUUGGUAAACAGAUUCAGCAAGAUGUUCGUUCUCAGAUCCAUCAAAUUUUGAAGAUAUAAACAAUUGGGGGAGGUGGAAGAUAUUUGGGUUUACCAGAAUAGUUUAGUCGUAGUAAGGUUUCUGAUUUCUAGGGAGUUGUUCAGAGUGUAAAGAAUCAAAUACAACUAUGGUAUAAUCAAUAGUUAUCUCCUGGCAAGGAUAUAUUGAUAAAAUCUGUUCUUCAAGCAAAUCCAGUUUAUCCUAUGAGCUGUUCUCUACUUCCAAAAACAGUGUGUGAUGAAGUCAACUCUCUCUUAUCUGGAUUCUGGUGGGGUCAGAAUGAAGUCAAAAGGAAAAUAUCUUGGAUAUCAUGAAAUAAAAUGUGUCUACUUAAAAAAGGAGGUAUGGAUUUUCGUGAUUUGAGAGCGUUUAAUGUGGCUAUUCUAGCUAAGCAGGCCUGAAAGAUUAUGCAGAAUCCUGAUUCAUUGCUUGCAAGAGUAUAUAAAGGAAGAUACUAUAACUCGUCGACAUGUUUACAGUCAACAAGUUCAACUAGUUCUUCGUAUGGAUGAAAAUCCAUUCAAGAGUGUAAAAAUCUUUUAAAGAAAAGUUUACUUAUGCAAGUAGGGGAUGGGUGUAAUAUACGAGUUUGGGAGGAUUGUUGGAUUUCAGUUACUCCUCCUAAGAGAUUGGUGUCCCCGUGUACUUAUCCAAACAUGAAGGUGUCAGAGUUCAUUGAUAGUGCUAAUGCAACUUGGAAAGGGGAUAAGUUGAAUGCGUUCCUGCUACCUGAAGAGGUUGAGCUAAUAAAAGCUAUCAGGUUAUCAAAACAAAAUCAAUGUGAUUAGUAUAUUUGGCCUUACACUACAGAUUUGAAAUAUACAGUUAUAUCAGGAUACUGGACAGCUACUUAUGACUUUAUAGAAGAAGAAAUUAUAGCUCCAGAUGGAUCCUUAGUACUAAAGCACAUAUUUGGAAGUAGAAAUCCUUCCUAAGAUUCAACAUUUCCUAUUGAAAGCUAUUUAUGGUGCCAUGCCUACAUAUGUGCAACUUUGCUUAAGAGGAAUCGAUACUGAUCCUACUUGUCAGAGAUGUUGUGUGGAAGAGGAGACUAUUAAUCAUGUUCUCUUUAUUUGCCCUCAAGCGCAAGCCACUUGGAGAUGUUCAGGUUUACCAUUCUUGAAUUUUCAAUCCCAGGACCUAGAAGAAAAUAUAUCAUCUCUAUUUGCUCUUAUGAAUAGUACAAACAUUCCAACUAUCUCUUGGGUGUUAUGGUAUAUUUGGAAAUCUAUGAAUGAACUUCUUUUUGCUAAAAGAAAUGUUCAUCUAAUGGAGGAUAUCUUUAUAGCAGUUGAAACCAAUGAUGAGUGGAUCUCAUUUUAUGUCAGUACUAAAUCAAAAUUGGGAAAUGCCAUAAAGCGUUAUACUUGGGAAACUCCUUCCCUGGGAUGGUUUAAGUGUAAUUUUGAUUGUAGUUUCAGAAAAGAAAUUGGUAUUGCUGGUGUUGGAUGGAUUGUUAGAAAUGAGAAUAGAUUGUUUAUGUGUGCUGGUAUGGUUAGGAUUCAUAAUGUACUAUCUGCAUUACAAGGAGAAGCUUUGGGUUUUCUAUUUGCAAUGCAACAAGUCUGGAGGAGAUAGUCUUGAAAUCGAUCGCAUAGUCAAUCGUGUGGUACUUCAACAUGUUCAACUUGGAAAUAUGCUCCAUGAUAUACGGCAUUGGAUGUCUUUAUUAUCGGAGUGUUCUUUAAGUCCGGUCAACCGAGAAAGAAACCGAGAAAAAAAAUGAGCAGCUGAUGUAUUAUCAAAACAAAUAUUAGAUGAUCCUCAAGAUGUAAUUAGUUUUUCAAUUUCUCCUAUAUAAUUGCUUGAUUACUUGUAUUGGCCGUGUAAAAUUUACAUAUCAAUGAAAUGUUGUUCUAAAAAAAAAUAUAUAUAUAUAUAUAUAUAUUUUUCUCACUUCUCAGAUUAAUUAGUCACCACCAUAAUAGUCCAAUGUUUGAUUAACGCUUCAAUAACCGAAUUGCAGCAGGGAAAUAAGAAAGAAUCAAACUUCUUGUUUCACACUGGUGUUUUACUUUUGCCCAAAUUCUUGAAUGGUUCUUGUGGCGAGAGAAAGAACGUCUACAAACGCAGAGAACGAUGCUCGGAGAAACCUCGCCUCUAAUGCCUCAAAGUGCCUGUACAGUUAUCCGGUGAAGAAAAAUAAUUAAAAACUAGUAAAGAAGUAUGAUGAUGAAAGGACUCUGAGAAACUCACACAGAAAGCUUGUUGUCUGAUACCGACAUAACUCUUCUCACUUUAUCAGGCUGCAACUGCAAAAUAUUGGUUGCAACACAAAAACAAUUCAGUGAAAUGAAAAAAAACAUGUAACGUGUGUAGGGAAAUCGAACUUCUUAUUCUUAUAUUGGUAGAAAAAUGUCAAACCUCUUUAUCAACGUCUAACGUUGUGUAUACAAUCAAAGCAUGUUCUUCUGAUUCGAAAUUCACAUCCAAUUUACUGCAAAUUUGGGGGAAAACAAACUCUGUCACAUACAAUCCCUAGCUUCAGUCAAUCUCUUAUUGAAUAAAAAUCCAAUUUUGUUCGUGUCAUUACAAUGUAAACGUAGAUAUUAUGGUGCAAUCCUAAACCAAUCUCUAAGCUAAACCAAUCUCUAAGAAGGAAGUUUAGAAAGCUAUAAUUAACCUAAUUGAGCGGAGACAAGGUCGUAUUGCCGUCUAUGAGUAAAGAUGGGAACUUUGAAGUUUAGAUCAAAGAAACUCCUUUCAGUUGUGGCAAACCAAAGAUUUCAAUAAUCGAAUCAGUAUGUUCUAACAUCAGAUACAGAGCAACCCAGAAAGCUAAGAACCCAAAUCAGAGAAGAUGAUUCAUAAGAUUUAAGUAAGAGAAGUUACCAGCUAAAAUCCCAACCUUGGUUAGAAGGAGCACUUGCAGUUGCAGGGACAGUCGCAGCCAUUCGUUUUUUUUUUUUUUUUUUUUUUGCAGCUUUCUUCCUUUCGUCGCCAAUAGAGGUUUUAGCCAAGAAAAAAUUGAAAGCUUUGUUUCGACAAAAAAUAACAGAGAAGCUGAGGGUUCGAGUGGGCUACAAAAAAAAGGUUUAAUGGGCUUUCGGCCCAAAAAUUCUCACUGCAAUAUAACUUGGCCGAAAUACCCUUUACCCGUAAACAAUGGUGUCAUGAAAAGUAUAUGCCAUGGGAAUAUUUUUGCAUGAAGGAAUAUUACCAGAAUCUCGUCUACGGUCUUACUCAUUUUUGCUAUCUCUUCGUUCUCUCUCCAUCUCUCUCAAAGCUUUUUCUAUUGUUAUGAAGAUUAAAACAGUUCAGCUAGACAUCAUCGUUCACGAUCACGAGAGAUAAUGCUUUCCAGCUUUGGUUUCAGACAAAAGCAGUAUACCACCAGGCAUGUUCUCUUCUCACCUCUUUGUUUUGUUUCUUUUGUACAUAUUAACUAGCUCGUCUUUGUUCGUAAUCUCAUAACAAAAAAAUUGUUCAAGUACUAGAAGCUUAGCUUCAUAUACUCAACAUAUAUAUUGUUUUCAUGAAACCUAGAAUAUUUUAGCAUUAAAUUGUUUUCCAGUUAGUGGUUAAUCUUAUCCUCGUAUCAAAAGAUCUUGGCGUUUAACCCUCUUUAUACAGAGAUAUAUAACCAUAGUCUGCAGAAACUUAAUCAGAAACUUGUGUAUGUUAUAUAGGAGGGGAGGUACACAGACAACAUUUAAAGUCUCAGUUGAGGUUAAGUCUUGUCUUUACAAUAGUACAUUUCGAUCCGAGGUAAAUAGAAUAUAACAAAAUGUUUCUCUCUCUACACAAGUACAUAUCAACAGUUUGUAUUAAUCUCUCUUCCUUGUAAUAGCAGCAUCUCCUUCUCUAGCGUCUGUACGUUUCACCAGCUUGAUCACUGAAGCACUGCAUAGUUGGUCUGUACCAAAACUCUGUCAAAAGCUGAAAGAGAAGGCAGAUUACAAUGAGUGUAGUUGCUAAAGUUCUAUCUUGGCAUUGUUAAGCAGUCAGGAGCUUACCCGUGUAUGAAUUGAAGUGUGAGAGGUUUGUUGGUUAUGUAAGAGAAGGACCAACUUUGAUGGGUUUCACCACCCUCAAAGCUCUUCUUGCAUACUCAUAAACCAACACCAGAAGCCCGAAGAGGAAAAGUAGACAGCGAUGAAACUUUUCCACUAUGAAAUGUGAAGGAGAAGCGGCACUCUUGCCUUCUGAUGAGCUUCUAAUAAGUGAUAUUCUCCUCUGGAAAUAACCUGAAAGAGAACAAAAGAGAGCAAGCAAAUACUGAUGUCAGUCUCAGAACAACAUUCAAAGAAGAAGACCUAUGGUCUUAAACAAUGGAUGAAUUGUGUAUUUCUAUACCGGGAUCUUCCAUGGCGAGGUUAGUCCAAUCAGUUGCUGUUUUUUUCACUCCUGACGCUUUGAUUAACUCAAGAAGAGAUUUAUUAACCUGUAAAUUGAUCAGUGAGGUAUGUUAAUCAUUUCUCACAGGUUUUGGGGGGAUAGAGAUACGGCUAAGAGCAAGACAUUUUUUCUCUCUCUCUACCACCAUAUUAUAGCACAAGAGCCUGGUAAGUCUUUAUACUUAUUAUAGCUGACAAGUUAGGUAUCAUUAUGAUUGCUUGCAAUGGUUGAUCAGUUACUACAGCAGUCGAGAGUUCUUCCUAAUAUGCUCACUGAGACUUUCUCCAUAUAAUAUGAUUAAAUCAGUUUAUCAAAUUCAUAGUCAACUCACUCUUAUUUUCAGAUUAGUAUGAUUCUAUUUCAGUCUUUUAUAUCUUUUCUGUUAAGUUGUGGUAUGAUAAGCAUAAACAUUAACUGCAGAUUAAAGGAGAUAAGGGACAACAAAGACGCAUUAGCGACCAAGUCUUUGCAAUACAUCAGAGAUGCAAGAGAGACAGAGACGUUAAGACACUAGUAAAUAGGACAGAACAGUACCUCCUCUGUUCUCUCGUGGCUUACAAGAUGGCCUCCAUGAAGAUCAACCAUUCUAGCGACAGGGUAUAGCCUCUGUGCCAGUCUUCUCGCGUGACAUAUCUGAGCAAUGACAUCAUGUCUGCAUAUAAACCCACCACACACGCUCAAUUUAAUUGUUCGUAUAGGUAGAAGAUUCUUUCUUUAAUUCUAACUUCAUCUGUGUCCACAUACCUUCCAUGAAUGACUGAGACAAGAAAUCCAGCAGAGCGGAUCCGUUCAGUCUCUGGUGUUGUGAUCUUGUGUAACCAACAAGCGUUAAGUUGGCCGUCAAGCCCGUCCUUUGACUGCAUUCCAGUUUCUGAUAUUCCUUUUACAUAUUGCUGCAAAUUUGCAUCUCUUCAAACAUUAGUUCCCUUAGAUCACAACAUCAUUAGUCAAAUGAAUGAUUUAUAUGUCUGCAUUAUCAAACCAGUGUGCUCACCUCAUAUAGGACAUCCUUCCUUGUGUUGGUGCCUAUGCGUUCUUUUAGGUAAUCCUGCAUAUAUAUAUAUAUAAACAGCAUAAGAACUUAACCUCCUCACAAUUUUCCUCUAGAGAGUAGUACAUCACAGAGAGUUUUAUAGCCAAAUCAUUCUGCUAGCAUCUCCAAGACCAAUAAUAAUAUGAUUCAAUUUCUCAAUCUAUGCAUCGCUCAUAACAACCACAACAGAGAAAAAACAGCAUCGGACUUUGCAUAGAAAGAAAAUUGCAGUAAAACAUUUUCCAAACUCCAAUCAUCAGAUUUAUUUACAACCGCUCUAUGUCAAAAAAAACUUUGUUCUUAUAAAAUUUUCAGCACAUCAAAAGAAGAUCUCUCCACCUGUGAAUAAUGUGUAUCCAAAUCAACUUUAGCUCUUUGUUGAGGGGUCUUUGCCAUCCAGAAACGUAUCGCAAUGGAAAGAGUUAGCCGGUCAAGCUGAACACAGAGAAACAAAAAAGGCUAAAAUCAGAUUUGUAUCCAAAUGAAACAGUAUAUGUCUGUCACAGAAACCAAUUACAAAAGAACAACUACUUAUCUUUACACAAAGAAAUCAACAGAUUCAACAACACGUAUGAACAAAAGUCAUUGCUAUCAAAGAAGAAGAUUGAAGAAAUAGAGCCGUGUGUUUCAUCCAAGUAUUACCUUGGGGAAGCACUCGAAACCUCCACCUGUAACGUUAAGCAACGCAAGAGAAAGAACCCGUUCAGGAACCAUUGCAGCUAACUUGCAAGCUACCAUAGCUCCUGUUGAAUCCACAAACACAACAAUAAGAAGGAAGACAUAAAACGUAUCAGUCAAAACGUCACUUGAAUGAUCAAAGGAGUUACCCAUAGAGUGGCCAAUUACGUGAGCCUUCUCCCAUCCCAAAUGAUCCAACAAACUAAUCGAAUCCUUGGCCAUUAUAGUUGUUCUGCAAAGCACAAAUCAAAGCAAACAAAACCAACUUCACAACUGAUGGAUGAAUCGAAGAAGUAAAGGAACAUAAAGCACAAAGCAUAGGUUAUUCACUAUGGAGAGUCCUCACGUGUAGUCAGAUUUGUGGGUGGGCACGGAGCUUCGACCCAUACCACGAUUGUCGAAGGCGCAGACCUCCAUGCCUUGGCCGCUUCCUGAAUCAUCAUCGGAAACGAUUCCGUCGUCGUCGUUGGGUUGAUCCGUUCCCGUCAAGCCCUUGAUUUGAGGUCCCCACGAUUCAUGGGUUCCGGCUAAACCUGCACAAAAAGAGGAAACCUUUGAGAAUUUCAUCGGAAACCCAAUUGAAAUCAAGCUCGGAGAUCGAGAGAGAGAGACCUAUGAUGAGAAGAGCUCUGGAAGGACCAUGACCGUAGGUUCUGUAGAAUAUCUUGACGCCGGCAUUGUUAAGCGUCGUUUCUGCGUCUACGUGUUCUUUCACAACCUCGCAAUACGGCAUCGUUUAACGAUUAUCUUCCUCUUGGAAAAUUGGGUGGGAUUCGGCGGAUUCAGCAACCGGAAUAAGAAAAUGAAGAACAGAUAUGACUUUUUCUUUUUUUCUCUAUAAAUGGACGGCGAUUGGUUUGGUGGUUUGGUUCGGUUUAGUUGCGGGUGGGGUAAGCGACUGCCACGUGGGACUGGUCGGGAUGAUGGCUUGGUAAUACCUGAAAAAAGUCAACGGUCAAAUUUGACAUAAAACAGUUGAGACUAUUCAAAAACAUUGGUUUUGGUAUUAAUACGCAACUGUUUAAGAAAUAAUUAUAAAAAGAUUGUCCUCUUAUCCCCCAAGUGGUCUUUAAAUCAUCACCACUACAGAUGUCCAUUUGUAAUUUUGUUUUGUUGCUCAUAGUCGGUUGAUACACCGACUUUGUUUCACUAGAAAUACAUAUACUCUCCUAUUGUAACAAAUAUAAAUCUGAGUACAAAAGUUAUUCUCUCUUUUGAGUCAACAUCACUCUCAACUUAUCUCUCUCUUUUUCACGUGAUUCCAUCCAAAACACAAAAGAAUAUAAUAUUGUAAUUAUUAAUACAUAUAUAUAUAUAUAUAUGUCUCACCUCUUAUUAUACAACACGUUAUAAGCACGAGCUCUCAUAUAUCGGUGAAUUCUAUCAAUCCGGAAGCUCUGACCAAUCGAAAACCAGCUGAGGUAAUGUUUAAUUUAUGUAUUUCCAUAUACUUAAUUUAUUUAAAUUUUAUUAUUGUUCUAGAGUGAGAGGCUAGGCCUUCUCCGUUUAUUUUUCGGGAUGAUAGGCGCUGCCUUCCCUGACUGAUCGUUAUGGUAGGCUAUGUCUUCACGAUCAGAGAAACGCGUGGUAGGCUUUGCCUCCGUGAAUAAAAGAAAAUGUCAAAAAUGGUAGACUAAGUCUCCUCGGACCUUGAAAAAAGUAAAAGUCAAAAUGGUAAACCAUGUCUCCUCAGAUUUUGAAAAAUGAUCAAUAUGGUACUCUAUGACUCCUCGGAUCAUGUGGUAGGCUAAGCCUCCUAAUUUUAUUUAUGCUAUUUAAAUUCCUGCAAUUUAAAUUUAUGCAAUUUAAGUUUAUGCUUUUAUUUUAUGCCUUUAAUUUAUGCAUUUAAAUUAUGCAUUUAAAUUCCCGCCUUUACUAUAUUUAUAUAUUAUUCUAUGAAUAUAGUUAUCAUGUCGAAUUUGACAAAGCUCAAAAUUAAUGCCAUGGAUAUUACGGGAAAUAAUUAUAUGACCUGGGCAGUGGGUGCAAAGAUGCACCUGAGAGGAAACUAGUUUUUGGAAACCAUCGAUAGUUCAAAAACGGUGUCGGAUGAGAAAAAGGCAAAAGCCAUGAUAUUUUUACGACACCACAUCCAUGAUAGUUUAAAGGAUGAAUAUAUUACGAAAGAGGAUCCUUGUGAUCUCUGGAAAUCUUUCAAAGAGAGGUUUGGUCACCAGAAAUAUGUGAUCUUACUGAAAGCUAAACACGAGUGGAUCCAUCUCCGGUUCUAGGAUUACAAAAGUGUUAGUGAGUUUAAUUCUGCGAUGUUCGGAAUUACUUCGAGGAAGAUGUUAUGUGGAGAGAAAAUAAGUGAUUAUGAUAUGAUCGAGAAAACUCUCUCCAUGUUCCAUCCUGAAGAUGUAAUCAUGCAGCAACAAUACCGAGUGAAUGGAUAUACCCGUUAUUUGGAGUUGAUGCAAGUCCUCCUUGUAGUGGAGCAGAAUAAUCAACUCCUGACUUUAAACCAUCAAGCUCGUCCCACUGGAUCUGCUUCAUUCCCGGAAGCGAAUGUUGCAUCAUCCAGUUAUGAUAAUAGGAGAGGACGAGGUCGUGGACGUGGUGGAAACCGUUAUCAUGGUCGUGGAAGAAGAUUUCGUCCCUAUGAUGAAAGAAAUAAUAAAGACUUCCACGAAAAUGAAAAGUCUGAAAAAGACCGGGAUGAUAAAUGGCAAACGGGAAAGGUUUGCUACAGAUGCGGCAUGAAAGGUCAUUGGGUACGUAACUGUCGUACGCCAAAACAUUUAGCCGAUCUGUAUAGAGAAUCCCAAAAGGGAAAAGAGAAAGGAAGAGGUGAAACUAACUUCAUCUCUGAUGAACCCGUGCCAUCCUUUCAUGGGUUAAAUGAUGAUACUCAUCUCGACGUAUCAGACUUUCUGGUUGAGCCAAAGAGUAUCGAUGAGUGAUAGAAUCAAUGUGAUAUAAGUUUACUGUAUAUAUUAUCUAUAUCUUUUGUUGUAAGAUAUAUGUUAUGUUUGUUAUGUUUCAUGUUUAAUAAUAUAUGUUUAUGAAUAUUUUAAAUUCAGAAAGAAUGCCAAACUUUGAGACCAUGGAUGGAGAUUUGUAUUUGGCAGAUAGUGCGUCAACGCACACGAUAAUUAAAGAUAAGAAAUAUUUCUCUAGUCUCAAAAUAAGAGAUUACGCUGGAAGCGUAAGUACAAUAUAUGGUAAUGCAAAGAUUAUUAUGGGCUCUGGAAGAGUAAAAUUUUCAAUGCCAGGGGGAACGAUAUUUGAAAUAAGUGAUGCAUUGUACUCCCCUGAGUCUCAUAGAAACUUGUUAAGUUUUAAGGAUAUCCGAAGAAAUGGAUAUCAUAUUGAGACUAUGAGUAAAGAUGGCAUUGAAUUUCUUCGCGAUAAGUCCGAGAGGAAACAUAUAUUGGAAGAGUUAAGAAUAUUAUCCUCUGGAAUAUAUUGUACGAAAAUAACCAUGACUGAGUCCUAUGCCGUGGUAAACAUGAAGUUUACUGAUACUUUUAAAAUCUGGCAUGAGAGGCUAGGACAUCCUGGUUCAGUUAUGAUGAGAAAGAUAGUGCAAAAUUCGAAUGGCCAUCCGUUGAAAAACGGAAUUUUUUUGCAAAUGGGCGAGUUUACAUGUAAUGCAUGUUCUCAAGGAAAACUUAUAACUCGGGCAUCACCAGUAAAAGUAGGCAAUGAAUCACCAAUAUUUUUGAAAAGAAUACAUGGUGAUAUAUGUGGGCCGAUCCACCCACCGUGCGGACCAUUUAAGUAUUUCAUGGUAUUGAUUGACGCAUCUAGUAGAUGGUCAAAUGUGUCUCUUUUGACGACACGAAAUACGGUUUUCGCAAAAUUCAUUGCCCAGAUAAUAAAGCUGAGAACGCAGUUCUCAGAGUAUGCCAUUAAGAAAGUAAGGCUUGAUAAUGCUGGUGAAUUUACAUCGCAAGCCUUUGAUGAUUAUUGUAUGUCAAUGGGGAUUGAUGUGGAGCAUCCAGUUCUCCAUGUGCAUACACAAAAUGGCAUGGCCGAGUCAUUGAUAAAACGGUUGCAGUUGAUUGCAAGACCGUUAGUCUGGAGAACAAAGCUCUCAAUUUAUCUAUGGGGACAUGCUAUAUUGCAUGCGGCUGCACUGGUUCGGUUAAGACCGAGUGCAUAUCAUAAGUACUCCCCAUUACAAUUGGCAUCUGAGCAAGAGCCAGAUGUAUCCCAUCUCCGUAUCUUUGGGUGUGCGGUCUAUGUUCCGAUAGCACCACCACAAAGAACAAAAAUGGGCCCACAAAAAAGUUUGGGAAUAUAUGUGGGUUAUACGUCACCAAGUAUAAUAAGAUAUCUGGAACCAGUAACUGGUGAUAUGUUUACGGCAAGGUUUGCAGAUUUCCAUUUUAAUGAGGAUGAAUUUCCAGCGUUAGGGGGAGGAAUUAGAGAAAUUCCUAAAGAGAUUACUUGGUGUACACCGUCGUUGUUACACCUUGAUCUCCCUACAAAUCAAAGAGAGCUGGAGGUUCAGAAAAUUGUGCAUUUGCAUAAUUUGGCAAACCAGUUACCAGAUGCGUUCACAUAUACAAGAAGGGUGACGAAAUCUUGUAUACCCGCUGAAAAUGUUCCAUCAAGAGUUGAUGUUCCUAAAGAACAAACUGACGGAAAUAAAAUGAAUGAACCUAAGGUUCAGUUAAAGAGGGGGAGGCCAGCGGGUUCUAAAGAUAAAAAUCCCCGGAAGAAAAAGAAAUUGGAUGAGCAAAAUAGUAAGGUUCCAGAAGAACCUGAUAUUGAAAGAUGUCUGAAAGAAGACAUAAAUGGAAAGAUUCCAAAAGAGCCUGUUAGUGAAAAAUGUCUGAAAGAAGGCAUAGAUAAAGAUGAUCCAGAUGACGAGAAUGGAACAGAAAAGUAUGAGAUUUCCAUUAACUACGUCCGAGAUGAAAAGUUAUGGAUCAAAAAUAAGAUAAAAGAUGUUGAUGGAAUGUUUUUUUUUUUCUGUGUCCAAAGAGAUUGAUCAUGAAAAUGAUGAUCCCGAUCCAAGGUCCAUUUUAGAAUGUCAAAAAAGACAUGAUUGGGAGGAGUGGAAGAAGGCAAUUCAAAUUGAAUUACUCUCCCUAAAUAAAAGGAAUGUCUUUGGACCUAUAGUCAUAACGCCUGAGAAUAUAUAUCUUGUUGGGUAUAAGUGGGUAUUCGUGAAAAAAAUAAAUGAAAAGAAUGAAGUAACACGAUAUAAAGCCCGAUUAGUUGCCCAAGGUUUUUCUCAGAGACCGGGAAUUGAUUUUGAGGAAACGUAUUCGCCGGUAAUGAAUGCAACUACAUUUAAAUUUUUGAUGAGCCUAACGGCGUCUAAAAUCUUGAAAUGCAUCUGAUGGAUGUUGUGACUGCAUAUUUGUAUGGAUCGUUGGAUAACGAUAUAUAUAUGAAACUCCCUGAGGGAUUGAAAAUGCCAGGGGCAUUGAAAGAAAAAUCCAGGGAGAUUUGUUCGGUCAAGUUACAGCGAUCACUUUACGGAUUAAAGCAAUCCGGUCGCAUGUGGUACAAUCGAUUAAGUGAAUAUCUUUUGAGUAAAGGAUAUGUGAAUAAUGCGAUAUGUCCAUGUGUUUUUAUAAAGAAAUCGUCAUCUGGCUUUGUGAUCAUAGCUGUAUAUGUAGAUGACCCGAACAUAAUUGAAACUCAAAAGGAGGUUGAUGAUGCUCGAACUCAUUUGAAAGAGGAGUUCGAAAUGAAAGAUCUCGGGAAGACAAAGUUUUGUCUUGGGCUCCAGAUAGAGCAUCUCCGAGAAAGAAUAUUUGUGCAUCAAUCAAACUAUACGAAAAUGUUAUUGAAACGCUUUUAUAUGGAUAAAGCGACUCCUUUGAGUACUCCAACGGUUGGUAGAACUCUCGAUGUUGAAAGAGACCCUUUUAGGCCCUGUGAAGAUAGCGAGAAGAUAUUAGGUCCUGAAGUACCUUAUAUGAGUGCUAUCGGUGGGCUUUUGUAUCUUGCAAACUGUACUAGGCCUGAUAUUGCUUUUGCUACUAAUCUACUAGCAAGAUAUAGCUCUGCUCCUACUCGCAGGCAUUGGGACGGAAUAAAGCAUGUAUUACGUUGCCUCCAAGGUACAGUUGAUUUAGGGUUGAUAUAUUUUAGAAAACCCGAGUUUGAUAUGGUUGGUUUUGCAGAUGCAGGAUACUUAUCAGAUCCUCAUAAGGCUCGAUCGCAAACCGGCUAUGUUUUUACGAUUGGUGGAACCGCGAUCUCUUGGCGGCCCCAGAAACAAACUAUGGUUGCGACAUCUUCGAAUCAUGCAUAAACUAUUGCACUUCAAGAAGCAUGUCGAGAAUGUGUGUGGCUUCGGUCAAUGAGUCACCACAUACAAGAAUCAAGUGGAAUAGUCAACGAGAAAGAGCCGACGAAAAUAUUUGAAGACAAUUCGGCGUGUGUCGCUCAACUUAAAGAAGGCUACAUUAAGAGUGACAGAACAAAGCACAUUCCUCCAAGAUUUUUCUCGUACAUAAGGGAGUUCGAGAAAAAUAAAGAAGUGGACAUCGAAUAUGUACGGUCAUGCGACAAUCCAGCUGAUUUGUUUACAAAAGCUUUUCCGACUACAACAUUCCGAAAACACGUCUACGGUAUCGGAAUGCGGCAUUUGCGUGACAUGUGACAAGAAAGUUAUGUCUACUAUUAUCAGGGGGAGAUUACGGCAGUGUACUCUUUUUUCCUUGUCAUGGUUUUUGUCCCAAUGAGCUUUUCCAUGACUAGGUUUUUAACGAGACACUACGUAACACAAGUUUGGAUAAUCAGGGGGGGGGUGUUAUAGAAAUAAUUAUAAAAAGAUGAUUAUCCAAAAGGACACUUCUCCUCUUCUCCCCAAGUGGUCCUUGCAUCAUCACCACUACAGAUGUCCAUUUGUAAUUUUGUCUUGUUGCUCAUAGUCGGUUGAUACACCAACUUUGUUUCACUAUAAAUACAUGUACUCUCCCUUUGUAACAAAUGUAUAUCUGAGUACAAAAUUUAUUCCCUCUCUCUUGAGUCAACAUCACUCUCAACUCAUCUCUCUCUUUCUCACGUGAUUCCACCCAAAACACAAAAGAAUAUAAUAUUGUAAUUAUUAAUACAUAUAUAUAAGUCUCACCUCUUAUUAUACAACAGGAACUUCUUUCUUUCUAACAUUUUGAAAGGUUUAGGAAUUAUUUUGUCGACAUAAUCCCAUAUGGAUUAGGUGCAUAUAAAAGAUUUGAAUAUGCUUAUUUAUUCUCAUGUGAUUUAACCCAAACUGGUUAAUAUUGUUCAAAGUGUCCAUAAAUUAUUAGUGUAUAUAGAAUUAUCUCAAAUCAAUCUUGUAGCAAACCAUAAGUAAAUUUAUAUGUAUAUGACUAAAACAAAAUGAAGAACAUAAAUGACUUUUUCUUUUCUCUCUAUAAAGGGAGAGAGAGAUUGGAUGGCGAUUGGUUUGGUGGUUUGGUUCGGUUUGGUUGUGGGUGGAGGAAAAGACUGCCACGUGGGACUGGUCGGUUGGAUGGCGAGUAAUACUAAUAUCUAAAAAAGUCAACGGUAAAAAAGUCAAUGGUCAAAUUUGACAUGGAACACUUGAGAUUUAUUCAGAAACAUUGCUUUUGUGGUAUUAAUAAGGAACUUCUUUCUAACUUUUUGAAAGGUUGCGCUAGGAAUUAUUUUUUUGACAUAGUCCCAUAUGGAUUAGGUGCAUAUAAAUAAUUUGAAAAUGCUUAUUUAUUCUCAAGUGAUUUAACUCGAACUGGUUAAUCUUUUUUUUGACACUGUUUUAUUAAAACUGAUUUGGAACAUAUUACAUCGAAGAAUAUGACAAAUAAUGAGAAACUAAUGGUCUUUCCACACCGGAAAAUAUAAAAGAUAAACAUGAUUGAUGACAUAUUAGCAAUACCAAACUAGUCUUGUUUUGAAAGCAAGGUGAAUUAGAUGUUUCCGUUCUAACAAAUAGCAGACAUACUUCUAAUACCUUCAACAAAUGACGACAAUAAUUCUCAUAGUUUAGAUAUGUCUUCUUCUUCUUCUUCAGUUGCUUUGAUCAAUUUUGUCCCGAGUUAGCUUCAGUUUAGAUACCGUUGAACAAGCUUGAACUACAAAGUACAAAUCAUGUAGAUAGUCGGGAUUGACGAUUCACGUCCCAAAACCAACACGACAAAAACACAAACCACACAAAAUGGACAAUAAAACCAUAAUUAGAUCCAAAACGAAGCAAGAUCCGUUUCUAGAAAAAGGUUCCACCUCAAUAUCAAGAUAAAUUGAUAUCUCUCACCACAAAAGCACCGCAAAAAGAUGCAGAAAUAAGAGAAACAUAGGUAUCCAACGAUAAAUUAUUGGUAGAAGUGUCCAUAAAUUAUUAUUGUAUAUAGGAUUAUCACAAAUCAAUGUUGUAGCAAACAGUGAACAGAAAACCAUAAGUAAGUAGCAGCCGUCUUUUGACAAAUCUAGAUCUGAGGCCGGUCGGUGUUUUUUCUAGAUCUGAGGCCGGUCGAUGUUUUUUCUAGCACUGGUACCGGUCUUCGUCACGGAUAUAAUCUUCUUGGUGGUGAGAGGUCCAACGGAGCGGAUGCCUGUAGGAACACUGAGAACUUUGUUUUGGUGUCUCUUCUCUAAGUUCUAUUGCCAUGGUUGGAUACCUAUGUUUCUAUUAAUUUUCCAUCUUUUUGCGGUGCUUUUGAGGUGAGAGAUAUUAGUUUCUCUCGAUAUUAAGGUGAACCUUCUUCGAGAUCUUGCUUCGUUUUGGAUCUGCUUAUGGUUCUAUUGUCCCUUUUGUGUGGUAUAUGUUUUUUUCGUGUUGGUUUUGGGACGUGAAUCGUCAAUCCCGACUAUAUACCUGAUUUGUACUUUGUAGUUCAAGCUUGUUCAACGAUAGCUUAACUUAAGUUAUCUCCAGACAAAAUUGAUCAAGGUAACUGAAGAAUGAGAUGUAUCUAAACUAUGAGAAUUAUUGUCGUGAUUUCGUUGAAAGUAUCAGAAGUCGAUCUGCUAUUUCUGGAACGAGAACACCUAAUUCACCUUACUUUCGAAACAAGACUAGUUUGGUAUUGCUAAUGUGUCAUCAACCAUGUUUUUAUUUUCUGGUGUGGAAAGUCCAUUAGUUUCUCAUUAUUUGUCAUAUUCUUCUAUGAUGUUAAAUUUUUCCAAAUAAGUUUCAAUAAAAAAAUGUUAAAAAAAGAAAACCAUAAGUAAGUUAUAUGUAUAUAACCAAACAAAAGAUGUUCAAUCAAAAUUCAAGCCAUUGAACUACUUUCAGGUCUAGAAAUGGCUUACAAUACACCUAUAAUACACUUCUAUCUCAUCUAUAAAUGAGCACCAUGUUUUAACUUGAACAUAGGUUCUAGGUUAUAAUCUGUAGAUUAAUAUAUUAGAAACGGUAAUUUAUGUGCUUAGUAACACAUGUAUUAAACAGAGUGAUCAAAACGAUGCAGUUUUGGCAUUGGACCGGAAAGGGAAAGCGGCCAAGAGGAACCGAACUCCAAACGAGAAGAGAGCCCACUCGCUUGUGUUUCAUCCGCACAACGGUCAUAUUCAAAAGCUGAGGUCAAAGACAAAAGCAAAGGACUGAUAAAGCAAGGAUGGAGAGUUGUUAAUGGAGUGAAGCUGUACAACAAGCUCUCAGCCCUUGAUUCAUUGAAGAACUAGGAUCUCUCCAUCAGUCUAGAACACUAGGUUUCGAUUGUGUUCUAUAAAUUUCAUCUCUUUGUGAUUGCUGAAACCUAAGAAUGAGUGUUAUGAAUUUUCAGUAAAACAAAGCUUCAUCUUCUUCAUUUCACCUUUACUCAAAACUCUUUAACAUGAUAUGAAAUGAAUUCAUUUAAAAGUCAUUGCAAAUUGAUGUAGUGUUGGCAACAAACUUGGUGUAUAGCUGAAUCAGUAAAUAAUUUGAUAUAAUAUUAUAGCAUAAUAAUUUAGUAAUCAGAGGUUAUUCUAUUUUGAGUACUUUCUUUUUGGUAGUUAAGACUUCAGUAUGUUCGGUCCCCCGGCCAUAUGUAUAUAUGCCUUUGUAUUGUUAGAGGUUAAUAAUGGAACUUUAUCUUAGCACUCCACGACUUAUUCAUCCUUCCUACUUCCCUCACUACUUCACUAUUUACGUACACUAUGUAUCGAGUUAGAGAUCCACAUGUUUAGUGGACUACGGGUUUGAGAUAUAUGCGACCACCAAUUAACAUUCUUAAGUUAAUCUUUAAAAUACCUUGUUUGGGUCGCCAUAGCAGCUCAGCAUGUUGGAUAUACUCAUUCUUCUUAUAUCGGUCUUUAUUUCAGGUUGUGGAGCAUGGUCUUGGUCAUUGAGAAACAAGCUGUCACUCCCACACGUAUGAGAAGAAAAUGUGUGAGAUGUAACAUAUUUUAUACACUUUCUUAUAAAAAAAUUUCUCUGGUAAACUCGAAAUGUUAAAAAAAGAGGAGAGCUGCUGAGUGUUGAUCUGAUUUUCGUAAAUGGAAAGGUUUGUAUUUUAAGAGUUGUUUCGGUUAAACACUUUUGCACCUGUGAAAAAACACAUGCUUACUGAUUGCGGUCUUUCUUUCCAAAGUCAAACAUGAUUCAGGGGUCUAUUGAUAUCUAUCGUUUAUUCAUUUUAGUUUCAGAUAUAAACACAAAAGAAAAACCAUAACACCACUAACCAAAGCUUUAUAUAGAGUAAAUUGCAGUUGCUUACUGUUACGAUAGUUUUAAAGAUUGUAAAAAAACAAAAGACACAUCUUAGAUAUUUAAUACUUGCUGCGUAAACUCAAUACCCAAUUAACAUGAAGAAAACUAAAAAAAAUCAUAAAUUGGGAAUUGAAAAGAAAUUAUUGUCAUAAAAUCCUUGAUCUUCAAAUGAUUAUUAUCAUAAAAUCCUUGAUCUUCAAAUGAUUAAACUUCAGUUUGGUAUUGUUGGUAUCCAUUACCAAGUGGUCUUGCCCUAGUGGUAAAGGAGCUCUAGCUGGAGCUUUUGCCCUGGAUUCGAUUCUCCUUGACCACUCAUAGACACCUUAAGUGGCAAGAAAACCCGGAUUUCUAUGGGCUUCUUGGUGAUUAGUCCUUGGACCUAGAAAGCCUUUGGGAUCAUACCAAAGUUAUCCAAAAAAAAAAUAUUGUUGGUAUCCAUUACUAAAUAGGUUAUCACACAAUCACUCUAAGCAUGUAAUCAAAGAAACCAUUAUGUCUGUCAAUGGAAUGUAUAUUAUCUUUCACUCCCACCAAUGCAUUGAGAACCGAUGAUUCUAUGGCUCAAUAAUUUACUGCAAACAAAACCAAAACAUUUGACCACAGACUCACUCUGUAUCUUCCCAUGGCAUUGUAGUACAAUUCUUGAUGGCUUUGAGGAUAGGACAAUCAUAAUUUGAGAAAAUUCCAUAGAAAUACCCCGAUUAAGUUUUGUUAAGUUCUUUAAUAUCCAUUUUUUUGUUACCAAGUUUAAUAUCUCAAUUAGUUAUUUUGUUCAUUUGAACACUAAAAUUAUGCUCAUUUUAAUACUCCAACUAUAUUUAUUUUAAUCAAUAAACAUUGAUAAGUUUCAAAAUAAAUUAAAAACCUCUCAAAUUCAAAAAUAAAUAUUAAACUUUUCUAAUUUUAUUUGAAGUUCUAGGAAUAAAAUAAAUUAAAUUGUGGAUAAAGUUAAACCUUUUAAUUUUAAUUUUAUUUUUUCACAAUCAAUUUUAUUUUAUUUUCUUAAACUUAAUAAUAAUUUAUUUAAUUUUUCAUUCAAUAUUACGUUUUACGUUUUUCUAUAAUUUAAAAUUCAAUUCAAAAUUUAUUUAUUUUAUUUAUAAAAUUUAAAACUAAAUUAUUAUAUUUAAAUAUUGUUUUUGAAUUUGAGAAUUUUUUUUAAAAUAUUUGAAACUUAUCAAUAUUUUUGAUUAAAAUAAACAUAGUUUGAAUAUAAUGAGCAUGUUCAAAAAACAACAUUGUAUUAAAAAGUUUAACAAAAUUUAGUUGAAGAUUUUUUAUAGAAUUUUCCCAAAAUAAUUGAUGAAUAUUUUUCCUUAUAUGCCAUGAAAGAAUUAGUGUUACAUUUAUAGAAUUGAUUUAAAUUAUAUCGUAACAACUAAAUCAUAUAUCAAAUUAUUUUAUUAAAAUAAGUUAAAUAAUUAGUAUUAAAACUAACAUAAAACAUGUAAAACGUAAACAAAUUAUUUUUAAAACUAAAUAAAUAAAUAAAAAUUCUGUGCGAAUCACAAGACAAAUUACAAUUACAUCAAUACUUAAGCCAGCAUACAUAUCAUUUUGACCAAUCUCCACAAAAGCGUCUCACAUUAAAACUGAGCAAUUCAACUCCAUUUUUCUUCAUUGAAUAAUACCAUUUUAUUUCAAAGGAACAACUAUACAAAGUAGCAUGGUACGAUGCUAAACAUCUACUAAUCCAACUAAUCAUCAACCUAAGAUCGAGCUCAAUCAAGGGCAACACCAGGAGAUAAACCCACAUGCCCUUACACAAAAAGAUCAGACAACCAAAAAGGGGAUCCGUGGUUGAGCAAAAUCCGACAAUAUCAUGCUUUGCAAAAUGCAAAAAACUCCAAAAAUUCAAUGACAACUAGCCUUCUCCAAUUUUCACUCAAGAAUAUAAUUGAAGAAAGGGCCUAAUGGAAGAAGAAAUCCAUUUAUAGGAUGGCCAAGCUUAAGUUCUUGUAACUGCUCCUACCAAUUCUUUUGAGUCCACGUCGAUUCAACUUCAUAUAACUAAGUUUAAUCUCCAUCAAAAAUCUUACUGCCUAAAAGUUAGUAGCCACAGUAAAAUAAUGUAUGGUGCUUUUCCACACCGUAUUACCUCGCCAAGGCUUCCAUAUGGAACUGGAAUUGGAAUCAGAAAAUUUUGGAAGCUUAUGGAAAUUCGCUUCCAAAAUGCUUCAAAAUAUCUUGUUUAAAAACAUGUUGGAAACUUACGAUUCCAUUUUGAAUCAUAAUUCCAUUUAAAAAACACAUUGUCAUAAAUAAAUAAAUAUAAAAUCAUGUUUUUAUCUUUUUGAAUAAAAUUUAAAAUUUAAUAAAAUUAAAAUAUAGAGAACAGAAAUAUGAAAAUAUAAAACUAAAACUAUAAAUUAUCUUUAUGCCCUUAAUUUUUAUUAGAGAUAUAGCAUAUAUAUUUAAAAUAUAUUGUGUCAAUUAUUUAUGAAAUAUUUAAAAUAAUUAAUUUUUAAUAUUUUUUAUAGAUUUAAUUUAUUUAUAUUUUCACAGUUAUAAUCUGAAAUCAUUUAAAAUUAUAAUAAAUGAAUAAUUUUUUUCUUUCAAUUUGAAUAAUAUUUUUUAGCCAUAAAUUUUAUCAAAUUUUCUUAUAUAUAUGUGGAUAUAUGAUUCCAAGAUGUAUAUGCUUCAUAUUGUUUUUAAAAAAAUAUUACUUCUAUUCUUUCAUAUAGUUCCGUUCGGCAUACUCAGUUUCCGAUCGUGCCUAUUCCUUUCUGAAUUUUGUAUUAAUGCGUAUUUCAUAUUGAACUAACCAAAUAUCCAAAAAUACUACAUGAACUUUACACGUCGUACCUUUUCAUUCCUGAACUUUAUAGUAGUGAAUAUUCCAUAUUGAACUAAGCAAAAAUUUAAAAAUACUACUUGAACUCUCAAAAUCGUGCUUAUAUAUAUUGACCGUCAAAGGUACUAGUCAUCCGUUAAUUUAUCAAACGACAUCAUUUUAGAUAAAUUUUGCAAAAUAAAAAAUUCAAAAAUACUACAUGAACUCUAAAAAUCGUGCUUAUAUAUAUUGAUUGUCAAAGAUGUUAGUCAUCCGUUAGUUUAUCAAAAUGUAUCAUUUUGGGAUAAAUUCUAUAAGAUGAAAAAUUAAUUUUUGGGAGAUUCGAACUCUCACACUAGUGGACAAGUAUAAACUAAAUAUUUGAAUUGAUAAUAAAUAAUUUAAACUUGUAUAAUAAUGAUCUUUAAAGUUAAAUUAAAAAAUAAUAAUUAUAGAUUUAUUUGAUAAAACUAAAACAAUAAAAAAAUUUAUAACAUUUAUUUGAUUAAGUUAAAACUGAUAUUUAAGCUAAUGUUUACACAAUGUAUACAAGAAAGUUAUUUGGUCUAGCAAUUAAUAUGUCCUUAUUUGUCCACCAGUGUGAGAGUUAGAACCUCUCAAAAGUUAAUUUUUAGUUUUACAGAAAUUUAUCCAAAAUGAAGUUGUUUUGAUAAAUUAACAGAUGACUUACACCUUUGACGAUCAAUAUAUAUAUAUAUAUAUAUAUAAAUAAGCAUAACUAUGAAAGUUCUUCUAGUAUUUAAAAAAAAUUAUUUUACAGAAUUUAUCCCAAAUGACGUAGUUUUAAUAAAUUAACGGUUGACUAACAUUUUUUACGGUUAAUAUAAAUAUAAAUAUAUAUAUAUAUAUAUACGAUUUUCAUCUGGUAUUUUUGAAUUUUUGGUUAGUUUAGUAUGAACAACGCACUAGUAUAAAGUUUCAAGUUGAAAUAUACCGUUUUCCCAAAUUAGUUCUAACAUUUUACCAAAAAAGUUAAGAAAAAAUAAAUAAAUUAUGAAGCAUUCCCAAAGUCUCAAACGAGUACGUUUAGCCUAUAAGCCAAAAAGCGAAGACCGUAAUGAGCGCACACCACUAACUUCGCACGGCGUCCUUCCACUCUCCCAACUUUAACAACUCCCUUCGCGAUUCUCAAGAACCCUCACGAUAAUCUGAAAACCUAUUUGCAUUGCUCCGUCUCCGAUUAUUACCCAGACAAAUUGACGGAAAGUUUCACUCCAUUUUCCCGAGAAAAAGGAAAGAAAAGUAAUUAACUGCCGAACUUGUAGGUUAUCUUGACUUGAAAUUUGGGGGCGAGAUCGAUGUAAUGACUAGUUGAUUGGACUUUUUGAUUUUUUUUUUUUGCGAUUAGCGACUGUGUGUGUAAUGGAGAGAUCUAGAUCGAAGAGGAACUAUCACUAUGACCAAGACUAUGACGGAGAUUCCAUCGGAAGGUCUAAACCUCGCUACAGCCACAACUUUGGCGGCGGAAAUAACAGAUACCGCGGCGGCGGAAACGGACGGCCGUCGAAGUCUCACUCGGACACGAUGGCGACGACCACUUACCGUGUCCUCUGCCACGACGCCAAAGCGGGAGGCGUUAUCGGCAAAUCCGGAUCCAUCAUCAAGUCCAUUCGACAGCACACCGGCGCGUGGAUCAACGUCCACGAGCUAGUUCCCGGAGACGUCGAGCGUAUCAUCGAGAUUUCCGAUAACCGUCGGCGUGACCCCGACGGGAGAAUGCCGGCGUUCUCUCCCGCUCAGGAGGCUUUGUUCAGUGUCCACGACCGGAUUUUGGAGAGCGAAGCUCAGUACGGGUACGGCGUAGCUCCGCCGCCGGAGGAUGAGGAGGAUUACGGUGGUGUGAGGCCUGGAGGAGGGAAAGUGGUGACGAGGCUUGUGGUUUCCAAGGUUAAUGUUGGUUGCUUGCUUGGUAGAGGUGGCAAGAUUAUCGAGCAGAUGAGGAUUGAAACCAAGACUCAUAUUAGGAUUCUUCCUCGAGAGACUAACUUACCUCGUUGUGUCUCUCAGUCUGAUGAGAUUGUCCAGGUCUGAAUAUUGCUUCAAAACAUAUAUGAAAUAUGAAAUGGUGAAUAUUGUUUUUUUUAAGACUUCAUAUGAAUGUGUGUUGCUUCUUUCAGAUUGUAGGUGAACCUGCUGCAGUGAGAAACGCUUUAGGUAUUGUAGCGUCGCGUCUAAGAGAGAGUCAGCAUCGUGAUCGCACUCAUUUCCAGGGGCGUGUACAUUCACCAGAACGGCUACCAGCUGAUGACUACAUCCCACAGCAGAGAAGACAAUCAUCAGAUAGGUUUAACCAUGGCAAUUACAGGAAUAACAGUUUCAGCUCACGCCAAUCUAACUACGCAGAUGAAGCUCCAGCAGCUUCAGGUGGUGAGAAUGUGCAGCAGCCUUUCUACACUGAAGACCUCGUGUUCAAGAUUCUAUGCCCUGUUGAUAAGAUUGUUAAGGUUGUUGGAGAAUCACAAGGAAUAGUAGAUUUGCUUCAGAACGAUGUGGGCGUGGACAUGAGUGUAUCUGACCCUGUUGCUGGAUCUGAUGAACAGAUAAUUACCAUUUCUUCAGAAGAGGUACUCUUUAACAUCCUUACAUCUUCUGCAGCAGUAUCUGUUACAUAUCAACUAUGAACUUGAAUUUCUGGGUUCUUUACUUUGCCUAGGCACCUGAUGAUCCGCUUUUCCCUGCUCAAGAAGCUUUGUUGCACAUUCAAACUCAGAUCGUAGACCUGAUUCCGGAUAAAGAUAACCUUAUAACGACGAAAUUGCUCGUCUCAUCUAGAGACUCAGGAUGUUUGGAAGGGAAAGCAGGAUCAGUAUCUGAGAUAUCACGAUUAACUGGAGCAAGCGUACAGAUUCUCGCUAGGGACGAAAUGCCCCAAUGUGUUUCCAUCAAUGAUGUUGUUGUACAGGUUUGUUUGUCUAAUUUCGAGGACUUGUGCAUAUAUUAUUAUAAAGUACUUUUGGUCUUAGAAGAGAAUUUUCAUGCGUAUGUAGAUUGCUGGCGAGAUCAAAGCAGCUCGGGAUGCACUUGUUGAAUUAACCUUACGAUUGAGGAGUCAUAUGUGCAAGGAGCUCUCUCAGAAGGAGACACCACCGGGUUCCACUUCCACAACUGGCCCUCUUGAAGGUGUUGCAGGAGUAAUGGAGGUAGCUUCAUCGAAUAACACAACUCAAUCCCGUGAAGGACUCGCAAUCGCGCCGCAAUAUAAGGUUUUGGUCUCAUCAACAAUCUUUUCAGUACAAAUGCGUUCAUAAUCAGUUAGGGUCCCACGUAUUGACAGCUAGCUAAACGUAACACUACCGAUGCACAAUCUGAAGGUAGCUAAAUGGUUUAAUGUUCUUGUAUUUAAAUAUACUUUUUGUCCUGAGUUUUUCUAGGAAGGUGGUGGAUCAGUUGCAAAGGCGGGUGAAAGUGAACACCGGGAUGAGGUUCCUGUCACGGCUAGCAGGUAGAGAGACUCCCAAACUUAGAAUUAUUAUUUCCUAUCUGUGAAACCAUAUACAAAAAAAAUAUAUUAGAACUAUUUGUUUCACACAUCUCCUUUCUGUUGUUAUUUAGAAUGCCGGUGGCACUUGUUACUAGGAGCACUCUUGAAAUUGUCUUACCAGACGAGGUUAUUCCUAAGCUUGUUACGAAAUCAAGAAACAAGCUUGCACAAGUCAGUGAGGUGAAACUCUCUCUAUUAACUGGAACUAGAUUGGUUGCAUUGCAAAUCAUGUCUUGAAAAUCUAAUCUUCUUUCCCUCUUUCCCAUUUGAUCACAGUGGUCUGGAGCUACUGUAACAUUAGUUGAAGACCGACCGGAAGAAACACAGAAUGUCAUUCGUAUUUCGGGUACGCCAGAGCAGGCAGAGAGAGCACAGAGCUUGCUUCAAGGCUUCGUCUUGAGCAGUAAGUUUGUCCGUCUCUUUUCAAACUGAAUACUGCCAAGUAUCAUAUAGGACUGAUCUUUCCUUUUUCUUUGUUUCAGUACAAGACGAUGGACCGUGAACUUUAGACAUGUGCAUUGGGUUAACGGAGGGAAGGAUUCAAUCAAGAAACUGCGAAAUGGAGUUUGUAUGAAUUGUUGAGUAUUAGGAUUUAAGUAACGGGUAGAGGUUUAGAGGAACAUUUUGAAGUUGACGCUUUGGUUUUUAUGUUGUCUAUUAGUCGUUUCCUUGCCCUUUCUAUAACCUAUAAAAGUCAUAUAGUUUAAUCCCUCCAAAGUACUCUUAAAAUCUCAAAAGACCUUUUCUCUACGUGUUCACGCAUACUUGUGCAGUGAUAGAAUAAGAGUUAACCGUCACAUAAACAAAAUUUAUCCAUAGCAUCCAUUAGGCCUGGGAAACAUUUACCGGAACAGAGAAACCAAACUGAAUUUCUUAAAUAUCUGAACGACAUGCUAGCUGCAAAAACAAAGCUCGAAUAGUACCUCCUAGUCCUAUAUCAUUCAGCAAUCCUCAAUAAACAUUCCAUAAGGAGAACGUCUAGUCUCAUGAAACAGUUAGCUAAAAAAAACAAUAUUUAAUUAAUAAAAGUUAAAAACAUAGGAGUAUAAACAUUAAUCUUUGCUAAACAACUGUUUAUUUCGACGGAAACUUAACAACAUGAUUUUAAAAGUAUAUGAAAAAAAACACACAAAUAUAAUGGUCAAUAAAAUACUAAACUUAUACAUUUUUACCAAAAAACACAAACACUUCAAUAAUCCAAAGCAUAUACUUAUAUUAACCAUGCCAAAUUAAAUAUAAAUUUAGUCAACAUUAAAUUCCUAAUUUCUCUUCAGAAUCUUUUGUGUUAUUUUUAAGUGCAUCAUUUGAAGAUACUCCAGCCGUUUCACAUGCUUUCUACCGUUUUAACACAUAUUAAAAUAACACAUUAAUUCAGUAUAAUAAUGUAUUAUUUUCUGUAAUUUUCAAUUUUCAAUAUCCUUUAACCAAUAGUAAUUAAAUAAUCAAUUAAUUUUUUUGAAGUUUACAAUUUUUUCAUAGAAAACACAAAAUAUCUAUCUCUGUGAAACAAUUUUUUUCUAAAACAUCUAUUUUUUUAAAAAACGGAGGGAGUACAAAAUAAGAGACUAAAACAAAAUGAUAUUCAUAUGCCAAUCAUUUUGUUCUUUCUCUAGUCUUAGUUUUUAUUAUUCAAAUAUUAUUUCUAAAUCUGUUAAGACUCGUCUUUGAAUUCAAUAUUUAGAGUUUAGAAUUUUGAUUUAAGAUUUAUGAUUUUUGUUAAUUUUUAAAAUGAUUUAUUUAAGAGAAAAUGACUAGGAUAGCACUAAAAUAGUUUUUGUCACAAAUAUAGUCUCUAAAAAUUAAAAUGACCAAAAUAGCACUUAAUGUUUUAUCAAAAGAGAUAAAUAUACACUUAUACCCCAAUGGUAAAUUAAUUUAGACAUUAGAUUUAGAGUUAAUGGUUGGGGUUUAGGAUUUAGGGUUUAGAGUUUAGGGUUUAGGGGUGGGGUUUAGGGUUUAGAGUUAAGGGGUGGGAUUUAGGAUUUAGGGUUUAGGGUUUAUGAUUUAGGGUUUAGGGUUUAGAGCUGGAGAGUGGAGUUUUGGGAUAAGAUUUCAAAUUUAAAAAAAUAAAAAAAAUUUAAAUUUUUCAAAAGAUAAAAUGAUAUUUUGGUCAUUUUAGUUUUUGAAGGCUAUUUUUGUGAGAUAAACUUAGAAAUGUGCUAUUUUGGAGAUUUGCCAUUUAUUUAAUUUUAUUAUUUCUGAAGAUUAAUUUAUAUUUUAUUAUUAAAUGAAAUUUAUUUUGUAUUUUUUUCAGCUAUGUGUUAUUUGGAGACAAAUUAUCAAUGAAAUUUAUUCUGUUUUUAUUUGUUGGUAAACAUAGAAAAAAAACUUUCCAUAUAAAACAAAAGUGACGUCUCGGCAACAGAAUGAUUGUUAGGAAUUACGGCGAGGUGUUUAUUUGGUUUGGUUAUAUUAAACCAGCAAGGAGUUUUAUUGAAACCCCUGGAACUUGCACGGCUUGUCGUUUAAAACAAACGUAAACGCUUGUCAUAGGGAUAGGGGCUAGAGUUGCAAAUCCAUAAUCUUUUUGGGUAGCAAAAACAAUUACUUGUAAAGUUUUAAUUUACAAAAAGAUCCCUAAGCUAAAACCUCGCCUGCGGUUCCCCCUUCCUUCUAGUUCGUGAAAAGGAGACGUUGAAUCGUAUCGAACCGCCGUCGCCGUCGCCGCCGCCUCACUGGUGAUUCUCCCGUAACUAACUCCCCCAUCUCUCUCUCUCUCUCUCUCUCAUGUUUGUUUAUACUGUUAAAUCUCUCGUACCCCGUCGCAGAGAAUCCCAAAAUGGCACAUGUCGCGCAAAGCCGAAACGUGAUCCGGCAUGUAGUAUCGAGAGGAAAAGCUUUCCAUAAAUCCGAAAACGCGAUCCAUCACCCUCUCCUUUUCGCCUGUCAAGGAGUUCGUUACAGAAAAUUGGAAGUGAUUCUCACCACGGUGGGUUCGGUUCGCUGACUCUUGAAUGCAUUUCUCUUCUCUUCGUCGGAUUUGAAUCGAAUCAGAUGCUGAGGGUUUGUUUUUGAUUUGAUAGGGCAUAGAGAAGCUUGGGAAAGGGGGUGAGACGGUGAAGGUAGCUCCUGGUUACUUCAGGAAUCACCUUAUGCCUAAGCUCCUUGCUGUCCCCAACAUUGACAAGUAUGCUCAUCUCAUCCGAGAGCAGCGCAAGGUAUACACUUUUACCUCAGCUUUGCCUCUCUUAACUUUGCAAGCUUGAUAUGGUGUCUGAUGCUAGUUGUUAUCUGAUUUGUUACUGAAUGUUUUAUGUUUCUUUGAUGCUUUGAUAGUGUUAUGGUACUAAGAUUAUCUCGGUGUAAGUGUUAGAUGCUUCCCCUUUGGUUAUUUGAUUUCUUGAUGUCAAUCUUGUUCAGAUGCGUAAUUUUGAAGAAAAGGAAGAGGUUAAAGUGGUUCAUAAAACUUCUGAAGUUCAGACCAAAGAGUUUGAAAAGGCCGCUAAGCGCCUCGCCAAUGCCAACUUGGUAAUUUUUUACCUUAACAGACUCUCAGUCUUCAACUUUUCUCUUGUGUGAGAUCCAUUUGUUUUGAUUUACAGGUACUGAGGAAGUUAAUUGACAAGGAAAAGUUCAAAAACCGUUCCUCAAAGGAGGAUAAACCGGAUGUACAAACACCUGUGACAAAGGAAGAGAUAGUCUCUGAGGUAAACUCUUCCUUCCUUCCUUCUUACAUUUUUAAACUGUGUGACAUGUAGACUUUUGUAAGUCGUUCUUAUCAUCAUUUUUAAAGGUGGCGAGGCAGCUCUGUGUGAAGAUUGAUCCGGACAAUGUGGUUCUUACGGAGCCAUUGACAACUUUUGGCGAGUAUGAGGUUCCUUUGAAAUUCCCAAAGACUAUUCCUUUGCCACCAGGAACUGUUCAGUGGAUUCUCAAACUCAAAGUCCGUGGCCAUUGAAAAUCUUCUUCUGCCUUUAGAAACUCUUCUCUGAUAAUUUUUCUACUUCCGUCUGCUUCAUGAAAUUGGAGAAAAGCAUUGUAGUUCGAUGGCACCAGAUCAGUUGCAUUUUCUUUCAUUCCCUUGUCUUUUUACUUGUAGUUAUGUAAACCGGGUAUAAUCCGGUUUACAGUUUAAACCAUGAUUUGAAGGGACAUUAAUAAGUUAGGUUUUGUGAAAUUAAUUGGACGUCCACAGAUGCGAUUGCGAAUGUGACUAUUUAGCAUUGUUUAGAAAACUUUUGGCCUAUUUUGUAAGAUUCUAUUAUUUUGGGCCAUCUUAGGAUUAUUGAGAUAGAUAAACGACUUUUCUACUCGCCUACUCAGACGAGCCGUAUCUACGACUUACAAUCUUUAAACGAAUAGCUUCACACUCCUUCUCUUGCUCUUUCUACAAGGGUGCUCUCUCUUUCUCUUCUCCCUUUAGCCACUCUGCUCUUUCCCGUGAGUACAUCAUUUAUUGAACCGAUAGGGAACUUUUUGCUUCUGUAUCACUACAAAUCCAUUACGAAUCUAUUCGUUCUAUCUCUGCCUUGGCUUUGAAGUUGAACUUUCUUUUUUGUGAAAAAUUAGCCUUUUAAUUUUCAGGGUUCAUAUAUAUUAUUAUGCUUCUAGAUAGGUCACCAUAUUUUCCAAGAUUCGUACAAUUUCAUCUUUCUUUUUCGAUGUGUGAUGCAAAAUGAAUUAUUUUAACCAUAUUUACGUACAUUAUUAUAUACCAAAAUCAGAAUGUUACAGAUUUAUAUACUGUUUGAUUUAUUACACUAAUGAAACGUACAUUAGAGAUGUCAAAUGGAAUAACCAUAUAUUCAAAUAGUCUCUCGUAUUACAAAAAUAGACUUACAUUCAUCUCAAGGACUAAUAAGAAUCUAUGAUAUCCAAUUUGAAACAGAUGGAAGUCGUCCCUUACAAUUUUCACAUUGUCACGUCCAAUGUCUCGUAUUACAAUUUUCACCUCCAAUUUCAAGGUGUGUUGGUCUCAGUCUACAUUGUCCAAGAGGGGGGCAAAUAUGCCCGAAUAGUUUUUCAAAAUCUCAUGUAAACCUUUAAACACUUUAGUAAUGCCCCUUUGUUUUGCUUAAUAAUAUAUAUACUACAUAUUUAUAAUAAUGUUUGUUUAUGAAAUGAUUUUAACAUUUUGCAACAACAAUCUUUACCGAUUAUAAAAUGAUGAAUACACAUAUUGGUAUCUUAAAUAUAUCAUCGUUGUUGAAGAGUUAAGAUAUUACAUCUCAUUUUAAUUAUUUUUAAGACUUCAUAUGCACAAAAGGAAAUUAAGUUUUGCGGCUGACACAAAUCACCAAAACCAAAUAGGCAACAUCGAUUGUAUAACGACGAAAGGGGAUUAGGUUUUCUGCUCUCGAUUUGUUUACUAUUAACUCUCCAUAAGUGAUUUCAUUUUCUAGCUCUAUAGAAUUUUGCUUUCGUUCUCGUAUUUGUUUCAUUGAUAUGAGUUAAGUUUCUUUUUUAACUUCUUUUAUGAAUUCAGUGAAUUACAUAAGUGUCAAUUAAAAAAAAUGGAUAUCUGUAAAAAUUACUUUCACUCCAUAUACAUAUCUAAGAAUCAAAAUUUUGAAAAAAAAUCACCGGCAAACUAUAUUAACAGGUUAGUGUUUAAAUCUACUAUAUCAAGCUAUUAUAGAAUAUAAGUGCAAACUCGAAAUAUAAAUGUUUGUCUAGUAUAUAUUCAGCAGCUCGGUCUAAAAAUCAUCUAAUUAGAACAACAAAACAAAUUACUUAUUUCACCAGUUCGGGUAAUAUCUGAAUCCGAACGUGUAAUAUCCGAACCCGAAUGGAUAUCCGAAGAUAACCAAACAUAAGUAUACUUAACUCUAUAUUUCUAGUUUAUUUCUCUCAUUUUAUUCAAAAUAUUUAUAUUAAUGAUUCUUAUUGCUCAAAAUUAGAUAAUAUACAUAUAAUUAUGUACAAAAUCAUUUGCUACUCACUUAAAAUACAUAUCAAGUUCUUGUUUCUUGCAUUAACAAAAGUUGCGUCUAAAAUUUCAAAACAACCACUAAAUUAGUGUCUUUCUACUUUUAAAAUUUUAUCUCCAAACCUAUUAAUAGUUUAAUCUUUUAAAAAUUAAAAAAAACAGUUAAAUUAAAAUAUAUUUUAAUUACAAAAAACUUAAACAAUGAAUAAUUUAUUAUUUUUCAAAAUUUAAAUAUUCUAACCCGACCCAAAAUAUCCGAACCCGAACAUAAAAUACCCGAACCCAACUCGAAGUGUAGAAAUACCCGAACGGGUUCUAUACCUUUAUACUGAAAUAUCCAAUACAGAUCCGAACAUGUAUCCAAACGCCCACCCCUAUAAUAUAUGAUCAUUUGUAUCUUGCUUGAACAAAAAAAGUUAAACCAUUGGUCACAAAAUUUUUAAUGUGGGACUUUUACUAUUUUUAGUAAUUUAUAGUCGUUUUUAAAAAUUCAAAAUAUAACAUAUAAAAAAAAUAUAAUUGUUUUUAUUAUAUGUUUAAUGUGAUUGUUUAAUUUUUUUUAAUAGUAUAAAAUUAAACAAAAAAGAGAGAUGUCAGAAUUUUUUUUAUCAAAUAUGUAUUAUUCAUAUAUAUGUUAACCAUAUUAGGUAAUUCCGUAACUUUUAUUUAAGGAAAGAAAAAAUCUUCUUUUGUACACUAUUAAUUAAUUUGAUAGUUAGUUAAAUAAAAAAACAUAGUAUAUGUUUAUAUGGACCAACUUAUUUUUCUAACAAUUCUAAGAAUCAUUUUCGUGAUGACACGUGGUUACGAAAAUAAUUCUCCGUAAUUAAUAUACAGGGGAUGUCCCAUGGGCUUGGUCUAACAAGACAUCCACUCGUGGGGUUGAAGAACGAUAGUGACUCGCGAGUUUGUUGAUAAUUCUUCUAUCGACAUACAUGUCCUAAAAGUCUUAUUUCUUGUGGAUGAGUAAACCAGGGACUGCACAUGGACUUAAUUUUCCAUGGAGAAAUUUCAUAGAAACAAUAUUUUGAAUUUAUCUAUGCAAUUUUUCAAAUUUAGCAUACAGUCGGGCAGGCCUUGAGAUAUCAGGGAUACUAUUCAAAACAAAAAUAUUUACAAUUAAAUUCGUAUUUUAUAAAUUUUAUAAACUAAAAUUUUAUUUUCAUAGUUAUUUCUUUUAUAAUUUAAAUUUUAUUAAAAUAUUAUGAUAGAAAAUUCAUCUUUUAUAGUAUUUCUAUAAACAAAAAUAUUUUUCAUCAACUAUACAUAUUUUUACAUUCAACAUUUGUAUAAUCAUAAAUAUAAAGUAUAUAUAAACACAUCUAGCAGUUUAAAAAAAAAGUUGGGAUCCCAUUCAAAUGUUUCAGUCCACUCCCCAUAUACCUGGCUCUGCAAUCGAGUUAGGUAUUCAUGGUUACUAAAUGUGAUAUCAAAUAAUUGAACUGGAUUUCCCAUAUUAAAUUUUAAACGUAAAACUAUUUCGAGAUAGGUAAUCAAGGUAUUAUUAAUUUAAAAUAACUGUUUAAGAGGUUUUCUAAUAGUUUAGCCUAGCCGUUUAGAAAAGGGGAAUGGAAUGGGUUGCAAAACUUGGGAAGAGAUAUUGAAAAUAGAGUCUUAAUUAAAACAAAAUAGAACCAGACCGAUCCAAAUCUAAUUUAUAAACAAAAACAACCAAACCGAAAAUAAAAUGCAGUUCUAUUUUUUUAAUUCAAGAAAUCAUGAGCCGAAGCUUGUAAUCUCUUUGGGUCAUGAACAAUAGUCGGCUGUUAAAUCUCUUCUAUGUAGCUUCUGAGUAUUGAACCUGACAUAUCUACCCUUAUGAUCAAAGGCUUUACCACUAAAGAUAUCAUCUUCAGAUAAGUCAUGUAUAUUUGAAAACUAUUUUAAAAGAAUUUUUUUUUUGCAAUUUAACCUGUUCCCAGGUUUAGAUAUGUUUAACCCUUCAGUUUGAGAUGCAUCUCAAUCAUUUACCAAAUAGUCCAUAAUAUAGUUCUCACCACUGUAUAAAUUUCGUGAUCCGUAUAUACUUCUGUAUAAAUUAUCAAAAUUAUGUCGUUUUGAGUUUUUUUUUAAAAUAUUGUAGAAGUGGAUAGAGCGAUUUUAUAGUCAAAAUUAUUUUAUUGUGUAGUUGGAACUUGGAAGAAUGUAUGCCAAUUUAUUUUUCAAAAACAAAAUUUCGUAAUCAAAUGGCAUUUAUAUUGCCAUGUUUUUCUGCAUACUGCCACUAAGGUAGGGUAUUCCCAAAUGGCCAUCCAAAAUAGUUUUCGUUUUGUCAAAGGCAUUUGAAUGUCGAGGUUGAUUUUCUUAAUGGAAAAUAACCACGAAAAGUUAUAGAAAUUAAUUAGAAUAUGCUUGCCAUAGCUGGCCCAAGAUUGAUGGGAGUGCCAGGGUAUUUUUCUUCUUGGUAGACCAAGCUAGCUUUAACAAGUAUUUUCACAGCGACACAGGUUCUCAAAUUCCAAUAUAUUGAGAAGAGUUAAAUUAAAACCGAUAACAAACCUGUGUGAGCAUUCAUAUCUCAAAGUUGUCAACUCAAACACUCUUCUGAAGAAGCUCAAAACAUUGAACAAAAUUUGGGAAAAGACACUUCUUCUUGAUGCACUGGAAAGGCUUAUAGAAGGUGAAGAGGUCCAACGUCGUUAUUGGAUUAAUUAAAAAUAAAUCUGUGAUUAGACUUUUCGUUAAUUAAUGUUGAAACAUUCUUUAUGGCUUACUGAAACGUGUUUUAGCAUUAUCUAACUAUUAUGCUCUGGCCAUUAGAAAGUAUUUGGAAUUUUGGUCAUAGUCAUACGCUCUUAGUUGUAUGGAAAGAGUUGAAUUUUGAAAGGAUUGAACAAAAGUAACAGUAUAUGAGUAUAUCUUCUCACUUCAAUAUAUAUUUUAACCGAUAAUCAACAAAGUGGUGAUUUUAAUUUUAUGGUUUUCCUUCUUUAAUUUAAAACUCAAUUAAUUUUCUCCUUUCGUGUACAUGAAUAUACUCGAAAUCUCUUUUCUGACCCAUUCCAUGCAUAUUUUAUAUAAUAAAUAAACGAAAUAGACAGAAUACUACAGGUGCAGACAAAAAAAGACAUAAUAACUUAUACAGUAUAUCAUAUGAUUACGUCAGUGCCGUAAAAUAAAAUACAAAUGAUUACGUGCAUUAUGGGUCCAUUUUCAAUUACAAAUAGGAUUGGGUCACUGCUUUAGUUUUCCGACACCAAACCAAAAAGGAAUAUGGAGUUUACUACAAAAAUAACAUCAUUCUCUCUCUUAUUUCUCUCUCUCAUAAACCCGACCUUGACCACUGCCACAUGCAGUACCGCCGUUUGUCGCAAUGGCGAUCCAAUUAUCCGUUUCCCUUUCCGUUUAAAAUCCCACCAACCCCAAUCUUGCGGUUAUGACAAAGGGUUCGACCUAACCUGCGGUAAUAAUAACGGCGUUAACAGAACCACCAUAAGACUACCAUUCUCUGGUAACUUCACCAUCGAGAUGAUCGAUUACGCAGCUCAAGAGAUUUUACUCGCCGACCCAAAUAACUGUCUUCCUAAACGCCUCUUAACGCUAAACCUCACUUCGACGCCGUUUGAUGGCGUUUACACACGUCGGUUCACGUUUUUUAGCUUCCCGACGUCGGGAUAUCUUCGUUUUGGGAGGUUCAAUCCGAUAACGUGUUUGAGCGAUGAAAACAGCACCGUGUUUGCCACUGCUUUUCCUAGAGCGGUGAACUACCUGUCCGCUCAGUCGUGCCGGUUAAUGAAAACCGUUAACGUUCCGGUUCGUUGGCCGGCUUAUGAGCAUGCCGUUUCGUAUUGGGGACUCAGUGAUAACCUAUGGCUCACUUGGAGGGUCCCGAGAUGCCGCCGGUGUGAGAGUAGAGGUGGUAAGUGUGGGAUUAAGAGUAAUUCUUCUCGUGAAAUCAUAUGCUCUGAUGCUCCUAAGCCAGGUAACUAAUUUUAUAAUCACCGUUAUCUUCCAUUUUUAAUAGUAUUACAGAAUGAUUAAAAUUGUCUUUGAUCUUAAAUUUUGAUGGCAAGAGUACAAUUUAAUAUAUAUCAAGUCAAAAAUGCAACUAAUACGACGAUUAGAGUAUAUUAGUUAAAGUUGACGUAGACCAUGACGAAAUUUCGUGUUGAAUGAGUCAUGCGUAUUUGCGUGUUAGUGUUUAUAUAUAUAGAAUGAUGAAUAUAAACAAAUUUGGAAAAAUGGCAAGUUUAACAACCAAAUAGUUUGUCGGUUUUAAUUGUCUAACUAUGAAAACGUCAUGAGACGGCUCAAGACGAUAUAAUAUUGUAGAUAUGCGUAUUGUACACAUAUGCAAAUUCUUCUACGGACGAAACAAAUCUAGUAGAAAUAGUAAACCUACCUACCGUAUAAAAAAGAGAAAAUGACUAGGAUAACAAUAAAAUUUUUUUUGUCAUAAAUAUAGUUUUUAAGAAUAAAAAUGACCAAAAUAGCAUUUAAUGUUUUAUCAAAAUAGAUAAAUAUACACUUAUACUCCAAUGGUAAAUUAAUUUAGACAUUAGGGUUUAAAGUUAAGGGAUGAAGUUUAGGAUUUAGGCUUUAGGGUUUAGGAUCUAGGGUCUAGGGUUUAGGGUUUAGAGUUAAGGGGUGGGGUUUAGAAUUUAGGAUUUAGGGUUUAGGGUUUAGAGUUUAGAGUUUAGGGCUUAGGGUUUAGAGUUUAGGUUUUAAGGUUUAGAGUUGGGGAGUGGGGUUUUGGGAUAAAAUUUUAAAUUUUGAAAAAUAAAAUAAAAUUAAAUUUUUCAAAAGAUAAAAUGCUAUUUUGGUCAUUUUAGUUUUUG
This 118200-nucleotide long non-coding RNA is filed under the name Brassica napus (rape). Its description in RNAcentral is "long non-coding RNA (BNAP_LNC023254)". The record is from RNAcentral. Lineage: Eukaryota; Viridiplantae; Streptophyta; Magnoliopsida; Brassicales; Brassicaceae.